This 91249-nucleotide long non-coding RNA is filed under the name Arabidopsis lyrata. RNAcentral's name for it is "long non-coding RNA (ALYR_LNC001307)". Lineage: Eukaryota; Viridiplantae; Streptophyta; Magnoliopsida; Brassicales; Brassicaceae. The record is from RNAcentral.
GUAUUCAACGUCCACAUCGGCUAAACUUUUUAGACAAUAAUUAUAAGUUAUAUUUUAAAUAAGAUCAAAAUGAAUCAAAAUCCGAAUAAGCAUGAACCUUAACCUAACAAGCAUCCAAAUUUAAAAGUUUGUAUUCGGUUUAAUUCAGUUUUUAGUUAAACUGUUUAAUUUUACUGGAAAUGUUUAAUUUUAAAAUUUUAAAUAUUAUAAUUGUUAUAUUUAAAAUAAAUAAAAUUUUUAUAAUAUUAUGAACAUUUGAACGUAUAAUAAAAUAAAAUAACACGGGACAAGGUUAUAUGGCGGGACGGGUUUGAAUCAAUAUUAAUAAAAAUUUAAAAUAUCAUUAAUCCAAGUUAAAUCCUCAUUUUAUUCUUUUUAAACACAACUAAUAUUAGAUAUAUCAAAUCAGUCUGAUUUAGAUAAAAUUGUAUACUAUUAUUUAAUAACAAUUGUAAGUUGGGAAAUUAUUAAAAAUACCCCUUUUGGUGUGCCCCUUUUCAAAAAUGCUCCUUUUAGAUGUCCAUUUUUAAAAAUGCCCCUUUUUAAAUCUGAAAUUUUUAUAAAGUUUUAUUAGGUUUAUAAGGUACUUAUGGAUUGUAACUACUACUUGAAGACUCGAUACAAGUAUUUAUAAGGUUUUAUAAGGUGUUUUAAAAGGUUUUACAAGUUAUUUUAAAGGAUUUUUAAGGUUUUUCAAAGGUUUUACAAAAUAUUUUAAAAGUUUUUAAAGGUAUUUAAAAUGUAUUUAUAAGAUAUUUAUAAAGUAUUUAUAAGAUUUUAGAUAUAUAGAAAUGUAGUUUGUGUAUGUUUUAAUAAUAUUACAUACAUAUUUGGGUAAAUCUUAUAUUUUUAUAAGGUUUUUAAAAAGGGAUAUUUUUGAAAAGUGACAUUGAAAAAGUGGCAUUUUUGCAAAAGCCCCUUGUAAGUUAUAUAAUAUAAAUGUAUUAUAAAUAAUAUAAUUUACAAACAUUUUUAUAUAAUACAUAAUCAUUAAAGUUUUAAAAUCCAAUUUUUUUUAAAAAGUAAAAUUUUUAGGUGUAACACAGAUUAAAAUCUAGUUUUUAGUAAAACAAUUAUGAUUUAUUAAAGGUGAAGACGUGAAGCAAAAAAUUAAGUGUGCAUAAUUUUUUUUUUUUGUUUUUCAUAAUUAAGUGUGCAUAAAUAAAUAAGCUACUUUAUUUUCAUAGUGCGGGAAAAAAAAAAAAAAAAAAAACAGGGUCCUGCAGUAAAAUCUGAACGUGAACCACACGCGUCUCUUCUUCAUCUAGAUACGUUGCGUCUUAAAACACAACACGUAGCAACUCUUUUUAAAAAGAAAAUACGUUUAUUAUUUCUCAACAAUAUAAAAAAAACACAGUCGAGGAAGGCAAUGACCUUUCUCAGCCGUCAGAUUCUCAGUUGAAUACAGUCGCCACUAAGAUUGAACGACUCAGAUUAAUCCAUGACGACCUACUUUCUUUAAUUAUUUUUUUGUCGUGACCUAAUCUUCUAGUUGUUAUUCAUUAGUCACUUAUUUUUAUAUUUAUUUUCUUAGGUCUAUGUGGACCACAGUGAUUGGAAAAGAAAAAGAAAAAAAAAACAUUUUUGUCAACCAUAAAUAAUUAACUUAUUUUUUCAAACGCAUUGUUUGUAGCGUACUGAUUUAUUAAAUACUUUUUUGCUUUGAAUAUUUCCCGAAAUAUUGUAUGGUUAAUUUAUGAUGUCGGGUUUUUGAUUUUUUCCCACAAUAUCACUAUAGAAGAAAUUUUAUAAAUCAUGGUUUCUUUUUUGUUAAAUCAAAACAUUUUAUCAGUUGACUUGAUAACACUAGGUGACAUCAAUUUUCGUUAUAUGUUUGAAUUUCACUUUUCUGAUACAAAAGUUAAUCUAUUGUGAAAAUCUAUAUUUUUUUGCGACUUGUUAAAUAGUUUCCAAAAUCAUAAUAGUCUGUUAAUUAAAUAUUCUUCUGUACUUAAUUAGCAUUUGAACAAAAUGUUUAACAAAUAAACUUCCCGUAAUUUUAAUUAAUUUUUUUUUGUUUUUUUUUUUUUGUAAACAACUUUAUUAAGUUAGUUUAAAAUAGCCAAUUCUAAGAAAUAUUGUUUACAUAGAUGAUAAUUUUGAUAAUUUUUUUUUGUCUUACUUGAUAAAAGAAAUCAAUUUUCCCUAGUAGUAUUAUUUUUUAUAUUUAAUUCCAUAUAAUAUUUUUGAUAAAUAGGUUGCAAAAAAUAAGAAAGAAUAAAUAUCGGAAUAAAUGGUCAUCUCUCAGCUCUGUGCAAGUCUGAACACACCCACACAUAUAUACUCAGAUAUACAUACACACAUAUACACACCACAAAAACCAAUUAUUUUCCAAUUAAUAAAAAAAAAAGUUUCUGUGUUUUUUUUUUUUUUUUGAUAAUUGAAACAUAUGAAACAAUCGUCAUAGAAGCAGAAGCAGCAGAGAUUCACCUUCUUCUCUUUCUUUCUUUAUCUUUCCCUCUCAUCAACAGGAAAAUAAUUCAAAAAAAAAAAAAAAAAGUCAAGCCAAAACGAUGGCGUUUCAUCACAAUCAUCUCUCUCAAGACCUCUCCUUCAAUCAUUUCACCGACCAACACCAACCUCCUCCUCCACAACCGCCUCCUCCUCCGCCGCAACAACAACAACAUUUUCAAGAAGCUCCGCCUCCUAAUUGGCUCAACACGGCGCUUCUUCGUUCCUCCGUUAACAACAAUUUUCUUAACCUCCACACAGCUACCGCUAACACCACCACCGCAAGCAGCUCCGAUUCUCCUUCCUCCGCCGCCGCUGCUGCUAACCAGUGGCUUUCUCGCUCCUCCUCUUUCCUCCAACGAAACAACAACGCAACAGCCUCCACCGUUGUCGGAGACGGAAUCGAUGAUGUCACUGGAGGAGCAGAGACUAUGAUUCAGGGAGAUAUGAAAAGCGGCGGUGGAGAAAACAAAAACGACGGCGGAGGAGCUGCGGCGGCGGACGGAGUUGUGAGCUGGCAAAAUGCGAGACACAAGGCGGAGAUCCUCUCUCAUCCUCUUUACGAGCAGCUUUUGUCGGCGCACGUUGCUUGUUUGAGAAUCGCAACUCCGGUUGAUCAGCUUCCGAGAAUCGAUGCUCAGCUUGCUCAGUCGCAACAUGUCGUCGCUAAAUACUCAGCUUUAGGCGCCGCCGCUCAAGGACUCGUCGGUGACGACAAAGAGCUUGACCAGUUCAUGGUAAUACAUAGAUUUCGGCUUUUAUAUUUUCUUUUCUUUUUCUUAUAAUUUAUAAUUAACGAUUUCAUAAUUUAUUAUUUAGCACAAAUUUUAAUAACACACACCGAGUUAAAUUUACGAAAUAUAUGUUUCUUGAUUUUGAAAUCUUAAAAUCAAGAUUUGUGUUUUUUUUUUUGGGGGAUAAACAAGAUUAAAAUCCCCCAAAAAAUAGCUUAUGAUAUAUUAAUGGUGUUUUUUUUUUGGAAAAAGAUAUAAUAAUGGUGUUGAUGGUGAAGAAGAUACAAAUUUUGUUCUUUGUCAAUGUUUAUUAUUGUGUGUUUGAUUAAUGUUUUUUGUGGUUACAGACACAUUAUGUGUUGUUACUGUGUUCUUUCAAAGAGCAAUUGCAACAACAUGUUCGUGUUCAUGCAAUGGAAGCUGUGAUGGCUUGUUGGGAGAUUGAGCAGUCUCUUCAAAGCUUAACAGGUGAGAAAAUGAAUCUUGUGACCUCUUUUAUGUGUGUUUAUGAAUUUAGUAGUGUUAUCUCAUUGAAAGUUUUUGACAUUUUUGAAUGAGAUAGGUGUGUCUCCUGGUGAAGGGAUGGGAGCAACAAUGUCUGACGAUGAAGAUGAACAAGUAGAGAGUGAUGCUAAUUUGUUCGAUGGGAGCUUAGAUGUGUUGGGGUUUGGUCCUUUGGUUCCUACUGAGAGUGAGAGGUCGUUGAUGGAAAGAGUUAGACAAGAACUCAAACAUGAACUCAAACAGGUAAUAUCUUCUUGAUCAAGUAGUAGUAUAUGGAUUGAAUUGUUUGCGAAGCGAAGUUCAUGAUCUAACAAUGUAGAGGAUUUGUUUUGGUGAAAAGGGUUACAAGGAGAAGAUAGUAGACAUAAGAGAGGAGAUAUUAAGGAAGAGAAGAGCUGGGAAAUUACCAGGAGACACUACCUCUGUUCUUAAAGCAUGGUGGCAAUCUCAUUCUAAGUGGCCUUACCCUACUGUGAGUUCUCACUCUCUUUCACUCAUUCCAAAAUCUCUUUCUAACUUCUCAAAGCAUAUUUAUGAACAUUAAUAUCAAAUUACUGAUUUUGCAGGAGGAAGAUAAGGCAAGGUUGGUGCAAGAGACAGGUUUGCAGUUAAAGCAGAUAAACAAUUGGUUCAUCAAUCAGAGAAAGAGGAACUGGCAUAGCAAUCCAUCUUCUUCCACUGUCUUGAAGAACAAACGCAAAAGGUAUAUAUACUAUAUCAGUUUAUUGUCUUUACAUAACCGAAAACUUAUUCGAUUGGACUUAAAGACUGAGACUUUUGUUUGGAUGAUGAAAGCAAUGCAGGUGACAAUAGCGGAAGAGAGCGGUUCGCGUAGAAAGAACGAACAUAUGAUGUGAAUUGGGAGGUGGAAGAUGGGAUUCGAAUGCAGGGUUUAGGGGUUUAAAGUUUGAGAAAUUUAUGGAGGAGUUUGGGUUAUACAGAGAGAGAGGGGACAGUAUUAGAAAGUAACUUUUUGUGCAAUUACAUAGUACGUAGUUUGGUUAUGUGAUGCCCAUAUAUUUUAUUAAGUAGUACACAAACCAAAAAAAAAAAAAAAGAUGAAAAAAGAAGAUUCAGGCUUUUGUUUAAUGUUUUUUGUUUGUUUGUUUGUCUGCAUGAGUUUUUAGUUAUGAACCAUCAGAUAAUCAUCAUCAUCAUCAUCGUAAUAUAUCUUGUGAAUAAAGUUAGUGAGAGGAGAAGAUUGGGAUGCACAAGUUUUCUAGCCUUUUUAUUUCUUAAAUACUGACUUUCUAUGCAUAAGUUUUCCAUUUGUUUUUUUUUUUGUUUUAAUUGUAUUACACCAUUUGAUUCGCUUUCAUUAAAUGGAUGUUGCGGACAAAGCGAUCUAAUUUGUCAGUGGUUUAGUCCAUUCUAUUUUUGGGGUGGACAACAAUCUGCCGCGGACCAAGUUUAUUUCUACGUAAAAACGGUUUGUAGUUAGUCAGCGACGGAUUUCUUCUAUUUUCUUUAACCCGUACCACUACAGAUUAUAAUUUAUGACUCGUAAAUAAAAAGCAGUCCAUCUACAAACGGAUUUCUCCGCUCCAACCGCCGUAACUAUUCGAACCCUUAUAUGUUUCGCAUUACUGGUACUUGUUCCAUUUUAUCUGUUUGUUUCGUAGUAUUUAUUGCGAUGUCACAUUACAACUCGUGAUAUUUAAGGAAAAGACAUAUACAUGGUAGAUGAAGACAAAUAUAUAACAUACCCUAUCUUAGAUAAUGUAGCUUGCUGCGUACUUUUGUUAUUUAAUAUUUUGAAACGUGUUUCUUUUCUAGUCAAUUUUUUAUCCUCAUCUUGUUGUUUCGUUUUGUCACGUUUGUGACUGAUAGCUACAAGUUACAGGAAAACGUUUUCGAGAGAUUUUUCUAUCGGAGUUUCUGCACAUAUGAACAAGAUAAUUAGAGUGUCCUUAGUUAUUUUGGCCGCCUGUCAAAGAUAGUCAAAGUGCAAGGACGAACAACGUGAUCAUCAAAUUUGGAAAUGGGCUUGCUGAAUGAUUUGUGGUUCAGCUCUAAUCAGUCGAAUAUCAUUGGUGACGAUCUUCUUGUAUUCUUGGGAGAUUUGAGGAAAGCAUUAUCUUCAUGCCACUAGGUUACAUGAAGUUAAAACUAUGGAUGUGGAGUUUCUGUUUAUAUCAAAAUCAAGCAGUUAUAGUUUAAUUUUUACAUAAAAUUAUUUAGUUGUUAAUUUUCAUGGAUGAUUCGACUGAAUUUAGACAUUUCCAGACCAUAUACAGAAACGUACAUAUAUCUGUUUUUCAUAAGUUUUUGUUAUUAGCAUGCUUUUCAUAAGUUCUUGAGUCGAAAAAUAUGUAUUUGGAGUAAACAAAUAGCAAAAAUGGAUGAAUAUCCUCCUAUUUUUCCUAAGAUAUGAGAACAUGAUCCUAAAAGAUGACACAUUAAAAAGACCUUUUCAAUCGACUUAUCAUCAUCCUUAACUUAAAUACAAUAUAUGUAACGUACAACACUCUACCCCAAGCCCACAAAACCGGUCCGGUUUGUUUGGAAUAAAUUGGACCUACACCCUAGAAAAGCCCAUAAAUCCACUAUGAGGUAGAAACCCCAAGCGGCCACCCACCACUCCACCUGACCUGCACUAUUGACCAAGUCAUUCGCAACCGUAUUAGCUGGUAAAUAUGGAGGCCUCCAAAUUCGUUGGCUUAGCCAUCAAAAUCCUUCUCUAAACUAGCUAUAUUCUAGCCUAAGUAGCACCGAGAUGGAUACGGGAAUAUGAAACGGGGACGGGAAAGGGCAAAAGAAAUAAUUUAUAGAAACGGGUACGACAUGGGUACAAUGAGAAGCAAAAACGAAAUUUAGAUGUUUGUUUUUUCUUCACAAAUGACAUAUGGACUAGAUCGUACUUAUAUGAAACAUGACAUUUGUCCGCAAAACCUUCUAUUGUUUCCGUGAAACAAAACCACAAGCACAUUUUUAGCAAUAAUACUAAUCCAUGACUAAAACUUACACACAACUAAAACUUAACUACAACGGCCAUGUCCUCCCUCACAACUUAUGCAAGUUCAAGUGAAUUGAAGUACUUGCGGAUUUUGAAGCUCCACAGAAUGGUCUGAUGAAGUUAUUGUUUAAUUUUAUAGUAAAGUUGCUACGUAUACUAAGACUAAUCCAUAUUUUUGUAAGUGGACUACAAAUAUUGCCAUUCAUAUAAAAUCAUUUCAACAACACAUGUUCAUAAACCGGAUCACUUUGCAAACAUCUUUUGGCUCUAGCAUGUUCGAGUUUUGAAUAUCUAUCGUCUUUUUUUUUCUUUUCUUUUUUUCCCUCAAAAUAUCUAUCGUCGAAAUUUGGGCAUUUCACAUUUGUAAAUUUACACGCACCAAUAAUUUUUUUUAUAGUAUAUGUGUAUCUUAGUUAGAUAAGCACACGUAUAUUUAAGAUUUUGAGAUAAGUACUAAUAUAUUCGGGAUAAACAUCUGAACCAAAGUGAAUCAGUACAAAAUCUGAAGCAAUUUUAUAGUUUUGUGCUAAUAACUCUUUAAACUAUAAUUUACCCAAUCACGAAUCUAGUUAGUGACGAUCGAACAUCAAAGUUAGACCUAAUUUAAUACGAAAUUAAUUGUAACUCCUUAUAUAUGUUUGUAUUAACAUAAAAACCAAUAAUAAAAAAUUAUACAAUUAAAAGAUAAGUAAAAAGAAAUUAAACUUUUAUGACAACCGGAGCUACAAACCUCUCCGGUGAAGAAUCUUCGCCGUCGCCGCAGCCGCCGUCAUCGAAAUUAAGACUAUAGUUUUUCAGAUCAUAAGUAAAAUCAACAUCUCUCUUCAUCUUCUUUCUGCCACUACUAAAACUUCUUAUAAAGUUUUUCCACUUUGGCCCCGCAAUUUUCUCAGAUAUCUCUUUUAGCCCCUUAAGUUUCUCACUUCCCCACUUUCCUCCUCUUUCUUCCUGCAAACAACCACUCCAACCACCGCGACUGCGAGACUCGUCGUCUCUUCUCCGCCACCGGACUACACAUAAUUUACGAAAAAACCCACAUCCACAAAACGUCGCCGUUUCUUCAUAAUCAUCAGCGAGCAGAUUCUCUCUAUCAGUGGCCAUGAUAAAGAAAACAAAAACAGAGAGUUUUGAUUAAUAGAAGAGACUCGAUACAUGUAUAUAUAUAGGUGAAUGAGAUUAUGACACGUGGCGUAUCGACCGUUAGGUGAUUGUAGUGAUGGGGUCUGUUAUUGGACUGUUAUGCUAAUAGUGUGACAGUGAUGUGAGAGUAGCGAGAUUAGGAUUCGCUGGCUAAUGAUGAAAUACAGCUGUGAAGGCGGGAGCGAAACGGUUGCUUUCUUUUCUUUUUUGUCUUUAAGGAUAAUUAUGAAACGAUUUAUUGAUAAAUAUUGAGUAAAUAUUAAAACUUUAGAAGAUAUCUGAAAAAAAGUGUAAAGUGUUUACAAUUAUUAUUUUAAGAACUGAUUGAUGAUGAUGAUGAUAAUAACUGAUUGAUAUUUUUAUUUUGUUUUUGUAUUUUUUUGUUGUUGUUCAUAUAAUAAUUAAAUUUUGUUUGCAACUUUUUUUUUUUUUUUUUUUUUUUUCAUAUAUACAGUAGAAGAGAAAAAUCUUGACCAAAACAUGAUUCUAAAAACGUUGAAUUACCAAAACAUUUUAUACUAGUUUUGGAAUGAACUUCCAUAUUUUUGAAAUUUUAAUUUCAAUUUCCAUCAUAUUGUUUAGGUAAAUUCUUGUAUUGACUAUUUACGUAUGAAAUUCUUUGAAUCUUGUAAGGUAUAUUUUACAAUCAAAUCUCGUAUAAAUUGUAGAGUAUGACUUGAUUUAGUUAUAUUAAACUUUAGUCGCUAAGAACAGUGAUAAUAAGUGAUAAAUAAGUAAGAUUAAAAAGUGCUAAGUAAGACAAAAAGAUUAGAGGUAACAGCGUAACAGCCUGGCAAAUGAUGAUUAGCCGUUGGGUUAAAAAGCAAAACUAGUGUAAGAGAUUUGCUAAACCAAAUCAAACCAAACCAACUCACACAAUAUUUAAAAAAGGCAGUCCAUGUUGCAUUGUUGCCUAAACUUAUCUCAUUAUUAUAACGAUGACUCACUGAUCAGCCACUAAUCAUUAUAACAAAGAUUGCAUUAUGGAAAGUUUUUGUUUAGUUAAAUACUUGAUCCAAUCUAGAGUAUAGAUUCAAACAAGACUUGGCUAAACUGAGAAACAGUGGUCUUCUAAAUUGCUUCAGAUUUUUUACUAAUUCACUUUGGUUCAUAUGCUUAUCCCGAAUAUAUUAGUAGUACUUAGCUAAUUAGUCCAACAAUUUCAGUGCUAUCUUCAGUUUUUGAGGCUUUUAGAUGGGCCUAAUUAUCUAUCUACAGUUUGGGCUUUGAUAUCUUUCAAUUACAGAGAUUUCAUGAAAAUUUUAAAUGUUUUCACGUAACAAAUAUUUUAUUUAAAUUAUGCAUUUUGUUUCAUGAAUAAAUUGUUCUUAUAAAAAAAAUUUAAUUCUUACGAAAAAAUAAUUUUAAUUUUUUCUUAUGAAUAUUUUUUUUUUUUUGGUAAGGUUUUCUUAUGAAUAUUUGUAUACAGAAAAAAAAAUUAUUGUUUAGAAAAUAAUGGCAAAAUAAGAAAAGUGAAGAUUUGAAUGGUAUGACGAGAUUUUGCACAAGAAAUGGUAUGACGAGAUUUGCACAAGAAAAAUAAAAUCUACAACAAUAAAUUCAGUAAGUAACCGCGUGGAGAAAAUAAGGGAAGAUCAUAACAAAACAAAUCAAAUUAAAAUAAGUUGCCAAAAUAGAAAAUCCGACUCAUAUGAUUUGAAAUUGCAAAACUUACCCAUUAGCCACUUAAAGCAAAAACCAAAAACCAAAAAGAGAAAAAAAUCAUUAAAAAGGAGUAACUAAAGGACUCCAUAUUUAAUAAAAAAGAAAAACUCAAGUCUCUAGCCGCCAAUAAGCGAUUGCUUCUCUAAUUUGGUAAUACAGAUUUUUAUUUUAUAGUUUUAAAACCUCAAAAAAUUAAAAAUGUAGUUUCUUGGAAAUGCGUCGAAGCCUUUUUUUUUUUUUUUUUUUCUUUAAGACCAAGUCUUGUUACAUAUUGACAACUAUAUAUAUAAUAAUCAGUUCUUAAGAACUCAAAACAAAGUCUUCUAAAUCAUUUGGGAGAAAAGUCCCAAAUCAUCAAAUCAAAUCCUAAAGAUGUUCAAAGUUGCAAGAGCGUCACAGUAUUUGGCGAUCACCGGUGCUGGUAUCGAAGACAUAAAGCUUUCGAAGAAGUCAUGGGUGUUUCCAUGGCAAUCUUGCACCAUCUUCGAUGUUUCUCCGGUGAACUACACUUUCAAAGUCCAAGCCAUGAGUGCAGAGAAGCUUCCUUUUGUUCUCCCUGCUGUUUUUACGAUUGGUCCUCGUGUCGAUGACGAUGAAGCGCUGAUUCUGUACGCUAGGUUGAUUUCUCCUCAUGAUAAAGAAUCUAAUCAUGUUCAUGAGCUUGUUGAAGGUGUUAUUGAAGGAGAGACUCGUGUUCUUGCUGCUUCCAUGACUAUGGAAGAGAUCUUUAAAGGUAAACUCCAAAUUCAGGGUUUUAGAUGUUAAGUUUAUAGGUGAAUGUGAAUGAGGAUGUUGAAAAGUAAGUUAGAAUUUGUGUAGCCUAGAAAUAGUUUUCGGGUUUGAUUGGUGACCUAAAGCGGUAAGAGUUUCUUAGUCGUAGGAGAGGACGGUAAGCGAUUGCGGAAUAGGUAAAAGAACGGUAAGACUAGGGUUUUGUACAGCUAGUCCGCUAUUACUUAUUGGUUACAAUAGUAGCGGACUAGCUGUAUGUACACCCCUUACUGCAUCAGUAAAUGGUUACCAAUCGCAUUUCUGAACGAUUUAAUAAACAGAGAGUUUCAAAUUUGAGAAUCCGUAAUCUCUGUUUACUAAACGCGUUUUCUGAACGAUUUGGCUAAGUCCUUGAUUAAAUGUUAGAUUGAGUGGUUAUAACUUAUAAGUUAUAGAAACAGUAUCAAUUGGUAAAAUAACUCUUGAGGAAUUAUUGGUUUAUGUUUGUUGAAAUUAUCAUAUUUGAAGUUCUCUCUUUUCAUUAGUAAACUUUAUAAUGUUUUUUAGAUACAUUUUGUGAAACUUUUGGUUAAUAGAGUUUUUGAUUUUGUGAAUUUGAAGGGACAAAGGAGUUUAAGAAGGAAGUGUUUGAUAAGGUACAAUUGGAACUAAAUCAGUUUGGUUUAGUAAUCUACAAUGCCAAUGUGAAGCAGCUUGUUGAUGUGCCUGGACAUGAAUACUUCUCUUACUUGGGUCAGAAAACCCAAAUGGAAGCAGCAAAUCAGGCGAGGAUCGAUGUGUCUGAGGCCAAGAUGAAGGGAGAGAUCGGUGCCAAGGAACGGACUGGUCUUACCCUCCAGAACGCAGCGAAGAUUGAUGCGGAAUCAAAGAUCAUAUCGAUGCAGAGGCAAGGAGAAGGGACAAAAGAAGAGAUAAAAGUAAAGACUGAGGUUAAAGUGUUUGAGAAUCAGAAGGAGGCUGAUGUAGCUAAGGCCAAUGCCGAGCUAGCGAUGAAAAAAGCUGCUUGGACCAAGGAUGCUCAGGUUGCUGAGGUUGAAGCAACCAAAGCAGUGGCUUUGAGAGAAGCUGAGCUUCAAACUCAGGUCGAGAAAAUGAAUGCAUUGACCCGAACCGAGAAGCUUAAAGCCGAGUUCCUUAGUAAAGCCAGUGUUGAGUAUGAAACCAAGGUUCAAGAAGCAAAUUGGGAACUAUACAACAAGCAGAAGCAAGCAGAGGCGGUUCUAUAUGAGAAACAAAAGCAAGCCGAGGCACAGAAAGCGCAAGCAGACGCAUCAUUCUACUCAAAGCAGAAAGAAGCAGAGGGACUUGUUGCCUUAGCUAGUGCUCAAGGGACUUAUCUAAGAACCCUCUUAGACGCUGUUCAGAAUGACUAUUCUUGUCUUAGAGACUUCUUGAUGAUUAACAAUGGUAUUUAUCAAGAGAUCGCUAAGACUAAUGCGAUGGCGGUUAGAGACUUGCAGCCCAAGAUUAGUGUUUGGAACCAUGGUGGAGAACAGGGUGGUGGUAGUGGGAAUGCUAUGAAGGAUAUAGCUGGACUUUACAAGAUGUUGCCUCCGGCUCUUGAUACGGUUUAUGAGCAGACUGGGAUGAAGCCACCGGCUUGGAUCGGUACUCUAGGCGAUGUGGAACCGAAGCAAGUGACGCGAAACUGAGAGGUUGAGGUUUGGAUAGUGGCAUGGUUUGGUUAUUUACUUGUGGUUGAAGAUACAUCCUUGUCCUUGAGAAUGUAAAUUUUUAUUUUUUAAUCCCGUUGGAAAAAACUUGGCUUAUUCUGAAAUGUUUUUUUGAAGAGUUUUAUUUUUUUUUUCUUAAUUCAAUCGUAUUCUUAUAUGUUGAAAUUAAAAUAAAAUGAGGGACAAAUACAAGAUGGUAUUCGACACUUGUUUGAAAUGAGGUAAACUAUGUAUGGUUCGGUUAAAAAGUUAUCUUCGGAAAGGGUUUCAGAUGCUGGGAAUGAUAGUUCGUCCUUUGGGGAACAACCAAAACCAACGCUUUCCGAAUUGCGGCCUUGCGGGCAAGGCAGAGCCGGCCCUGGACUAAAGCAUAUAAGACGUGGACAUUGGGCCCCUAAUUUGUUUUGAUGUUAGUAAUAAAAAUAGCCCCCCCCCCCCCCUGCCCCCCUAAUUUUUUUUUGUUUUGCAAAAAAAGACUCACCAAAUAAAAAUCUCUUCAUUGUUUUCAUUUAUAAGAACAUAUCUAUAAAAAAACCUCCAAAAAAGAUUUGGUUUGGGACCCUCUAAAUUUCAGGCCCGGCCCUGCUUGCGGGGUGAACUUCUCUUGAGAGAAAAUUAGUUCGGAUGGUGGCUACACAAAACAAAAUUCUGCGGUUUUGGUGAAAAAACACAUCAUGGGACUGAAAAGUGCUAUGCGCAUAGUCUAAUGGGAGAUGAUCUAGUAACUGACUGACUAGGAAGUGUUAUGCGUGCAGUCUAAUGGACGGUGAAUGUAGGAGUAGCCAUUGGCGAAUUAGGACGCGCUUUGGUCAUCGACCACGACAGGAGCAGCUACAAGCUGACUAUACAAAGUCUUCUUCAUUGUUGAUGUAUAUAUAUACGUAUUCUAAAAUGUGUAGUUUCUUGGAAGUGGGUUGAAGUUUUAUCUUAUUAAGGAAUUUUCAAAAAGUCUCCUUUUUAUUCUAAUACCAUUUGUCAUAGUCAAACAAGUUUGGAGAGAUUUUGGCAAACUCAAUGCCUUUUAUUAUCAAAAUGCCUUUAAUGAAAAUUCAGAAAUUGUAAAUGUAUAUAAACUUGGUCAUGGUCAACAUUUAAUAUAAUAUGCAUGUAUACCUAUACGUAAACAUUCGUGAUUAAAUUAGGUUUACGUUUUUUUUUUUUUUCCUUCCAAAAGCUUUAUUAAAAUUCAUGUGACAAGUCACUGUUUACAGAGUUUAAGAGGAAAGGAGGACAAGAGUGGUACAGAGACCAUUGAUUAGUACAUGCCACUGCUUUUUUUGCUAAAGUAUCUGCGCAGAUGUUUUGCUAAAGUAUCUGCGCAGAUGUUUUGCUCCCUGGGCUGAUAAGAGAAACUUAUAGAAGUGAACAUUUGUUGCCAGAGUUUAAUGGUUUCCAGGUAGUGCUGAAGCCGUGGGUUAGAGCCGCUGCCGUUGAUAAGGUUGGUGAUAUUGCUAUUAUCACCUUCAAACUCGACUUUCCUGUAUCCAAGUCCCCAAGUGGAUUGCAUAGCCCAAAUUAGUGUCGUACAUUCCGCUUCCUCCGCGGUUGUUCUGCCUUGGAAUUUUCCCAUCCCGCAGUCAUGGAAAAUGCCAAUCGAGUUCCGGAUUAUCCAACCGAGGCCAGAGGGCCUGUCUCCUUCAUGAUGAGAAGCAUCAUAAUUGCAUUUCAUCUAGACAGAUCGUGGGCAGCUCCACUUCUUCUUCUGUGCCCUUGCUAUUUGUUUCCUUGAAGUGCUUUCACUUGCAGUGAUUGUGUUGUCCAACCAUUCUUUUGUAUCCAGAUGUGCUUGACUAACAAUUUCCGGUGUCUCGGUCCUUUUCCGGUUGAAAACCAAAUCGUUUCGACUCUUCCAAAUCCUCCAUAGUAACCAGAAGGGGAGAUAACAAAUGACUCUAUCAAUGUUGUCACCGUUAUGUAUUUUAAAGAUAUACCUGAGCUUGUCUUCUAUAGGGAUGUCGGGAUUGCAAAGUUGUUGUGUUGGGAUUCCAGCAGCUCGCCAUACUACAAGUAUAUGUGGGCAGGAAAAAAAGGCAUGGUCACUUGUUUCUAUUGCCGUACAGCAGCGGGAACAAUAGGGGUUAACAUUGAUGUUCCGUCGGCGAAGAUUUUCCGCAACUCCUAUUGCUCUUGAGGCUAGCCUCCAUAAAAAGUGCUUGAGUUUUGUGGUGAUGUGUAGCUUCCAGGUACUUGUAGCUAUGUCCGGCGAGGUUGUCAAAGGUGGUUUUGGAGUAUCUUCAUCUAUAGUCAGAUUUACUGCCGUCCAAUACCCCGAUUUAACUGUAUAGAUGCCAUUUUUCAUUGGGCUCCAUAUGUAUGAAUCAGGACGUGGUGGUGAAGGCAACAAGAUCUUUCGAAUGAGAUGGUGAUCCUCCGCUAGGAUAAGCUUUGUUAAUUGACAUUCAUCCCACUGGUGAGUUUGUUGAUUAAUCAGCUCCUUGACAUUGAGCUCCGGAUCCGCUGCCGGCAUCAACUUUGGUGGUCGUGGUGGUGUUGUUGGGAGCCACGGGUCUAUUCCCAGUUUUGCUGUUCUACCAUUGCCAAUGCUGACUUGUAUUCUUGUUUCUAGGAGGUCCCGACCAAAGCGAAGUGAGUUCCAACCGUAAGAUGGUUGUGUGCCUCGCGUUGCGGAGAAGAAAGUCCCAUCACGGAAAUAUCUACCUUUGAGGAUACGAUAGAGUAGGCUGUGUGGUUUUUGUAAGAUUUUCCACACUUGGUUUGCAAGAAGGGCUUGAUUGAAUAGAUGUAUAUCACAGAACCCUAGGCCACCAAUUUUCUUUGGUGUCUUUAAUUUCCUCCAAGCAAUCCAUGAGAUUUUUCGCUUAUCUUUUGUUGAUCCCCACCAGAAUCGUGCGAUCAUACUAUCAACCUCGGAGCAGAGUUCCAUCGACAACUGAAAGUAGUUCAUAGAGUAGACGGGCAUUGCAUACGCCACUGCUUUUAUUAGCGUUUCUUUUCCGACGGCCGUAAAAAAUCUUGUUUGCCAUCCUUCGAGUUUCUGCUGCACCCUCUCUUGUAUAUAUUGCAACAUUUCUUUUUUCUUUCUACCAAAUUGUUCCGGUAGACCCAAGUACUUGCCACCACCACCAGUGUUGGGAAUUUGUAGUGUCCUCAUGAUGCUAUCCCUAGUAUUUUGGUAAACUCGGUUCCCAAAUAUGAUGGAUGAUUUCUCAAGAUUGAUCAUUUGCCCCGAUGCUUCCUCGUAUUCUUUGAAAAUUUGUGAUAUAUAGGUUCUGGCUGUUUUUGUAGUCCGCUUUGAGAAAAAAUAGGGAAUCGUACUGCUACGAGAAUAUGAUAUCCCUAUAAAUGAUCUNNNNNNNNNNNNNNNNNNNNNNNNNNNNNNNNNNNNNNNNNNNNNNNNNNNNNNNNNNNNNNNNNNNNNNNNNNNNNNNNNNNNNNNNNNNNNNNNNNNNUUCUUGGUUUGCUUUUGUCAAUAGUGAACUAAAAACAUCAGCACAGAGGAUAAAGAGAUACGGAGAGAGAGGGUCUCCUUGACGCAGGUCGCGGCUAGCUUUAAAGGAUCCAUAGGGGCUCCCAUUGAUCAGAACUGAAAAGGAGACCGAUCUUACACACUCCAUGAUCCAUGUUAUCCAUUGUUCGGCAAAGCCUUUCUUCUUAAGGACCUCUUCCAAGAAUUUCCACUCGAUCUACUUGUUUCUCAGAUUCCCUUUGAGGUUAGGAGAGUGAGUCGAUUCGACGAGUCGAUACGAUCGUACGCUUUGCUUAUGUCUGUUUUAACAGCCAUAUAAGAGUUGGCACACCGCUUUCGUACGCGUGAGGAGUGCAUGAUUUCAUGCGCAAUAAGGACGUUGUCGGUGAUGAAUCUACCCGGAAUAAACGCAGCUUGGUUUUCCGAGACAACGGAUGGCAACACAUUUUUGAGGCGCUUAACCAAGAUUUUCAAAAUAAUCUUGUACGUGACGUUACACAACCUGAUGGGUCAGAAAUCUUUCAUUGUUUUUGGGUGGUUGAGCUUGUGUAUUAGACAAAGGUUGGUGUGGUUCCAUUCAGUUGGAAGUUUCUCUGAGAUAAAGAAAUUUUGUACCUCAGUUACUAUCGCUGGACCAACUAUCUCCCAAUAGUUAUGGUAAAAGGCUGCAUUGAAUCCAUCCGGUCCUGGUGCACGGGUUGCUCCGAUAGAAAAGAGGGCCUCACGGAUUUCUUGAUCAGUAACUUCAUUGGUUAGAGACAGAUUCAUGGACUCUGUAACAAUCGGCUGAAUGUUGCAGAGUGUUUUAUGUGGGUCAGUGUGGUUAUUACUCGAGAAUAAAUCACUGUAAUAGCGAAUAGCUUUCGUAGCAAUAUCUCUGUUCCCGUGAAACUCUGUGCCAUUCAAAUCUUCAAUGGAUGUGAGUCGAUUUCGUGCGACUCUGUUUUUUGUGAUGGCAUGAAAAAACCGAGUGUUGCAAUCUCUUUCAUUUAGCCACUGAUUACGACUUUUAAAUUUCCAAAAAGUCAACAGAUCUCUUCGAAGGCUACGAAUCUGUUCCAUCGUAGUAGAGUUAUCCGUGUGUGCCAUAUCAAUGGCUCGAGUGAGUUCCUUGAUUCUAGUUGCAGAGUUGUUAUUGUUUUCCCUCUUCCAUGUAGAUAUAUCACGUCUGCAACGUUGAAUCCUUUCUGCAACAGAGCUAUUCUCCAUGAUUAAGUUACUGUUCCAGCUUUCAAAGACUACUUUUUCAAAGUCUGGGAUUUUGCAGAGUCUUGUGUCAAAAUGGAAAGGUUUGAAGCCUUGAUCUGUCUUUUUUCUGAUUUUAAUUAUUGCUGGCCUAUGAUCCGAUUCUACCAUCUCCAAGUACUUUACCUCCGAAGCCGGGAACGUUGCUCUCCAUUGAUCAUUUGCCAUAGUUCGAUCUAGCUAACUCUCUACCACAUAUGUUCCACGUUUUCCAAGCCAAGUCAUGUUGUUUCCUUUAAAUGGGAGAUCAGAAACUCUACAAGUAUGAACCAUAUUUCUGAAAUCUACUAAGCUCCAUGGUUCUCUUUGACGCCCACCUCUUUUUUCAUUUGCAUUAAGGACUUCAUUAAAAUCUCCACACAUAAGCCAAAGACCAUUUCGUUUGAGUGCUAUGCGUUGGAGUCUUUUCCAUAAGAUAUGUCGUAGUUUUCGUUUUGGAUGACCAUAAACACAAGAGAAGUAGAAAGACACAUCUUUAUUACUUAUUUUACAAUCGAUGAGUCUUGGAUCAACAUCAUUAAAGCAAACAGAAAUAGACUUGUUCCAUAACAAAGCUAAGCCACCCCCAACUCCCAACGGAGAAACACACUUCACAUAAUCGUAACCCAAUUGAGCAGCUACAUCACGGACGACAUCAUCGGGAUUCUUCGUCUCGACCAAAAAGAGUAAGUCCGGGGAAUAAGUUGCCUUAAUUCCCUUUAGGCGUCGAACUACCAGGGACCCUUUUAAGCCCCGGCAAUUCCAAAAGGCUGUAUUCAUGACGGCUCAGGUGGCUUUUGGCCCACCGUGCCUUCUCGGUUGGUUGUUGGGGUAGUCAGAGCAGAUCUCCCGGUGUUGGUUGGUUGUGCUGCAAGAGUUGCGGGUAUCCAUAACCAGUUGCGAACCUCAUUUGCUUCUGAUUGUCGACGGCGUCUGGUGACAGCAUCAUCAAUGUCUUCAAUGGCGUAGCCCUGUCUCAUUUUACAAACCAGAAAUGGGUAAGCAGUGACAUGUUCCAUAGGUGGAGACUCGAUUUUCCUCUUCUUAGAUACAGACUGCGAAUCUUCAUCUUGUCCAUUAUUCUCGCCACACUUAUAGUCCUUUGGUGUAGUACCUUCCUUAGGUUGAUUGUUUCCUGGCGCCUCAGGAUCGUAGUCCGGAUCCUCAUCAUCAUCUGCUGGUGGGGGAGGAGGAGGAUCAUUGUUCAGAGGGCAGUCUGGUGAUUCGUGUGUGAGGAGUCCACACAUGGAACAGAAGUUUCGCAAUUUCUCGUAUCUGAACUUAAGAACACAGGCUUGGUCCCCAAAUUGGAAAAGACGUUGCAAGCGCAAAGGAUCUUCUAUGUUUCAGAGGAGACGAACACGAACAUAGUCAACAAGCACUGCACCGUCACCGCCAAAAUCUGUUUCCAGAAAAUGGCCUAGCCUUUCUCCGAUUGAAGUUAUCAUUCGCAGUGUAAGGAAAUGGAGGGGAAUUCCCCUAAUUUGGACCCAGAAAGGUAUUUGCUUCAAAUCAUUGUCGGUGUGGAGUGGAUUCCACUUUUGAGUUACACACAUCCACUCGUUAAAGGACCACGGCCCGCGGCGGAGAACAGAACUCAUCGCCUCUUCGGAUUGGAAAAGGAACUGAAUCUUUUGAUUCUCCAAAAUACGCCCCGUGACUUCGUCACCCACACCCCAAAGACGAGGCAUAGUACUGAGCAUUGCUCGAAGGUUUUAUUUCCGCGGGUUCACAGGUUUGACGACUAGACUGAAUUGUGUUUCAGUAAUCGCCUCUUCACAUAAAUCGACCGGGAGAUUGAUCGCAUCAUCUUCAAUUCCUAAAGCAAUUUCUUGCAAUUGUCUCCGGAUUCUAUCCGCCAUGAUCAAUAUGAACAAAGGAAAUGAAAUUGUUUCACUCUGAUCAACCCAAGGAGAACAGAGACAUGCGCAGGGAUUAAAUAGGUUUGCGAUGAGAGCAGUUAAGGGAUCAAUAACCGCCAGCCUGUUAUCCCACCCUGAAGAAACCGCCGGUAACCGGCGACCAACGCUCACAGACAAGAGACACGAAGAGAAAGUCAACAGAUGCGAUCGCACAAAAAAUCGCUUUUUCUCUCUCAUUUUUUUUAGUCAAAAUAUCCUAUAUUAUUUUCAUUAAAUUAGGUUUAUGUAAAUGGUGUACAAUUCAUAUUAAAUAUUUUUAUGAAUUAUGAUAUAUUUUUUUUGUUUAUGUAUGGUGCACUUAUGUAUAGUUUUGGUUUUGUUUAAUGUACAUCUACAUAUAAAUCCUGAAUUUUAUCAAAAAAAAUUUCAUCUAAUUUUAUUAAAAUGACAAAACUUUCAAUAACAAUUUUAGCUUGACAAACUCUACAUAGAAAGUCAAUAAUGAAACAUUCUACACAACCAUCCUUUUUUGUAUGUGAUAUAUACUCGUUUGUGAAAUUUCAUGAACAUUUCUCUAACAGUGACAGACAAAGUCUUCUAACAUGUCGACGACUAUAUGUAAUAUAUAACAACUUGAUCUCACGAAAUAAAAAAAAACAAGUAUAGCUACUCAUUCUUCGUCUUCAAAGUUCAAAACCAUUUCGUCGAAAAACUUAAAACCAUCAAAUCCUUAGAUCUUAGACAUGUUCAAGGUUGCAAGAGCAUCACAAUAUUUGGCCAUCACCGGUGGUGGGAUCGAAGACAUCAAGCUCUCGAAGAAAUCAUGGGUGCUUCCAUGGCAAAAAUGCACCGUUUUCGACGUGUCUCCAGUGAACUACACUUUCAAAGUCCAGGCUAUGAGUGCAGAGAAGCUACCUUUUGUUCUUCCUGCUGUCUUCACUAUCGGCCCUCGUGUUGAUGACACUGAAGCGCUUAUUCUGUACGCUAGGCUGAUUUCGCCUCACGACAAACAGUCAAAUCAUGUCAAUGAGCUUGUUGAAGGUGUUAUUGAGGGAGAGACUCGUGUUCUCGCUGCUUCCAUGACCAUGGAAGAGAUCUUCAAAGGUAACCCAAAGAUUUAUUUCUAUUAUUGUUUUGUUAAAACAUAUGGUGGCAUUACUAGCACACAAACUUAUUAAGCUAUAUGUCAUGGUCUAUUCAUCUCCUAAAUAAGGAUUUAGAUUAAAAAAAAAAUUAGGAGGUUUGAGUAUAAUGUCUAAGGCGUAAUAUUUAAAUUUAUGUCGCCUAGAAAUAGUUUUAAAUUGGCAAUAUUACAUUAUCAUAAAUUGAUUGGUUUUCUAAAAGAUAUGGUUUUGUUUUUAUGAAUCUGAAGGGACAAAGGAGUUUAAGAAGGAGGUGUUUGAUAAGGUUCAACUAGAACUGGACCAGUUUGGACUGGUAAUCUACAAUGCCAAUGUCAAACAGCUGGUUGAUGUGCCCGGACAUGAGUACUUCUCUUACUUGGGUCAGAAAACCCAAAUGGAAGCGGCCAAUCAGGCCAGGAUCGAUGUGGCUGAGGCCAAGAUGAAGGGAGAGAUCGGUGCCAAGGAACGGACAGGGCUUACGCUACAGAACGCAGCGAAAAUUGACGCGGAGUCAAAGAUCAUAUCGAUGCAGAGGCAAGGAGAAGGGACAAAGGCGGAGAUCAAAGUGAAGACUGAGGUAAAAGUGUUUGAGAAUCAGAAGGAAGCUGAUGUAGCUAAGGCCAACUCGGAGCUUGCCAUGAAAAAAGCUGCUUGGACCAAGGAUGCUAAGGUUGCUGAGGUUGAAGCAACCAAGGCUGUGGCUUUGAGAGAAGCUGAGCUUCAGACUCAAGUUGAAAAAAUGAACGCUUUGACUCGAACCGAGAAGCUCAAGGCCGAGUUCCUUAGCAAAGCCAGUGUUGAGUAUGAAACCAAGGUUCAAGAAGCAAAUUGGGAAUUGUACAAUAAGCAGAAGCAAGCAGAGGCGGUUUUAUACGAGAAGCAAAAGCAAGCUGAGGCACAGAAAGCUGAAGCAGACGCUACGUUCUACUCAAAGCAGAGAGAAGCAGAGGGACUUGUUGCUCUAGCCAGUGCUCAAGGAACAUAUCUCAGAACCCUUCUAGACGCUGUUCAGAAUGACUAUUCUUGCCUUAGAGACUUCUUGAUGAUUAACAAUGGCACUUAUCAGGAGAUCGCUAAGACUAACGCACUUGCAGUCAGAGACUUGCAGCCCAAGAUUAGCGUUUGGAACCAUGGUGGAGAACAGGGGAUUGGUGGUGCUGGUGGGAGUGGGAAUGCUAUGAAGGAUAUAGCUGGACUUUACAAGAUGCUGCCUCCAGUUCUUGAUACGGUUUACCAGCAGACUGGGAUGCAGCCACCGGCUUGGAUCGGUACUCUAAGCAAGUGACGCUGCCUCAACAGCUAAAAGGUUGAGAGCAUGGUUUGGUCGUUUGUUUGUGAAUUGUGAUUGAAGAUACAUCCAUGAAAAUGCAAUUUUUCUUUUUUUAUUUAUUUUAAUCUCGUUGGAAAACUUGGCUUAUUUCUUAAGUGUUUGAGGUUGUAUUUGUUUUUAAUUUAAUUGUAUUCUUAUGUGUUAAAAGUGAAAUAAAAAUGAGAGACAAAUAUAAGAGGGUACUUAGACACUUUUUGUUUGAAAUGAAGUAAACAAAAAUAAUAUUUCAUGAAUUUGCAGAGACCAUGAAGGUUGUUUUGUAGUAUGAUGUAUGUACAUAUUUGAGUGGUAUAUGUAUGUGUAUCAAGUCUAGGCUUAUUGUAAUUUCUCCUUUGGGAUGCUUGAGGACAUCAAAGUCUAGUAGAGACCAGACUGAAAUUGGAGAAGUUAAAUGCCAAAGAAAGGCUUUGUUUGGAAUGCUAUAUAUGUUACACAUCUAACCACAACAAGGGAGAAACUAAAGAGCAGGACAAGGUAUUUUGAAAAGAAAUGAGCAACUCACAGGUACAUAUAGAUUACGGCUUCUUUCUCGUUGUCUCUCUCUAUGAUCCCCAGUUUGGUAUGUUGGCCGUGGCUUCAUUGAUCAUCUUUACUAAUGUUACCUGUCAAUACAUUAAUGAAGAGAACUGAGCUGUGCUUGUAAUCAUUUGGCCUAAACAUUCUGACCCAUGGACUGUAACAGAAAAUGGGUAAUGUGUUUUCAGAAAAAUGAAGGCCGGAGGACAUGUAAACAUACCACACUUUGUGAAACACCGGGUGGAGGCAUUGUAAGGUUCCUCGGUGGUGGUGUGCUAUCAUACGAUCUUUUGUCAAAUCUCCAUUGCCCAAUUUUCCCAUAGGUUAAUUUACCCUGAAAUCACCACAAUCAUUCUUUUACAUUCUCUGUUAUCAAUUUCAAAUCAUAUGCUAAUCUCAAUAAUCAAUUUCUCAAGUUUGUAUAUAUCGUUGAUUACUGUUGUUCAUAUAUCAGAUCAGAAUUUGAAAACUUACCUUCAUAUCGUAGUCACAUCCAUAAGUGUAGUGUAUGAUGUACUUGUCACCAACCUCUAUAUCCCAUGGAGGCUGAUUCAUUACCACAAACAAAACCAAACCAAAGUCCAAAUCUCUUUAGUUUAAUGCAUAGAAAAAAUAUUAUCCAUGUAACAAGAAACAACACAGAGAAUUUCUGAGGUCCAGGCCAUAACUAUUUCACUCUCCAAAACCUCAUUUAGUAUCAACAAAGUUCAUGGAACAUUUCCCACCCUUGGCCACGACGACGUACUCUAGAUUAUUUAUUCAUUUUAUAUUGUACUAGCUCACGCAAAUGGACAUGGUGAUACACUUUUGCUUCCAUUCAUAACCGCUACACGCUUAAAAACGAUAUACAAAUUUGAAAAAAGCCAAAAUGUGUGUAUAUGGUUACCUGAAUCAUGAAGUCUUUGUGUAGAAUAUUGCUAACACCAUGCAAUGCAGAUGAGACAGCAUAAGCAUACCUAUACUUCCACAAAAGAUAACAAAAAUUUGUCGUCAAGUCUACCCAAUCGACAAUCUAAACAACACAUUCGAUAUCAUAUCAAGAUAUUUUUACAUUUCAAGAACCCAUCCAAAAGCCUUGUCUGCUUCAGGAUCCUUCUUCAUAGCCAAAGAAACAUUCAUCCAAGUUGGAGCAAUCUUCUUUAAAGCAUCCUAAAAAACCAUAACAUCAAAAAUCUUUAGCGAGAGACACCCUUUACAACCUAAUCCCAAAUCGUACUUUCUACGCAACAAAAACAAACCUUUCCCACAAUGACAGGAGAGUUUCCUAUCGGAUCGAUAUUAGUAACCGGUCCUCUCUCUUCUGGAUAAUACUUCCUCAACACCUUCUCAUACUUUUUCGGCUCAAUGUAAAAGAAAGGAAAUGCAGCACCAAGCCCAUCUUUAGCUAAAUUUGGUAUAGGUUUAACAAUGAUAUGAUCAGGCUCAGACAUCAAAAUAUAACUGCACACAACCAAAAAACAACAUAUCAGCACAACAAUCACCCCUAAGUCAAUCACCAAAACAAAGAGUAAAAUCAAAAGCAUCUUAACUCUUCUUUAAUAUCUGUUUGUUGAAGCCAUUGUACAAAAGCCCAUGGCCUAUUCAACACAACAUAACCCUACAAAAUUAACCAAAAACCACACUCAAAAAAUCAAUGUUCAAUUUCUCAAAAGAACCAAAAUCAAUACACAUUACCUGAUCCAUCCCAGAAGGUAAAGGCUGAGCAACAAAAGUAGGAAUCUCAUCCAUAUACUGAUCCGGUUUACCAGAAUGCAAGAUCCGAGUAAACCCACCCAUUUCAGAACCGGGUCCAGCAGAAGCUUGAACCUUUUUGAACCAAUAGUACAUAACUCUACAUUGCCAAGUGUUGUAGACGGAAUCAGACGCAGUCACCGCCGUGUGGAAAAGUCUCGUCCUUUUACCAUUGUUGCGGUUUCUGGAUCCGCCGCCACGAGGUAAUUCGAUGACUGGGUCAAUGGAGAUAUCGGAAGAUGAAGAUCGUCCGGGGAAGCCUUGUUUGAGAGGAGCAUUAGCGGAGAUGAUGAUGUUGUAAGUGAUUAGAGCAACGGAGAGAGUUAUGAGAAGUGGGUAGAACAAAGUUCCACCACAACCCAUUUGAGAGAGAUUGAGAUUUGGAUUUGAGGAAGAGAUUGUUUCUUCAAAGUCGUCGUCUUUGUCUUUGUCUUCUUCUUCUGCUGCCUAUGCCAGUUGGUGAAGAAGAAGAAGAUGCCGAAGAAAUGGCUUACCUUUUUAUAAGUUCUAUAUUGCUUUUACAGUUUCACUCUUUAUUUUGUUUCUCUGUUUUAUAAAUUUUACUAUUAUUACUAUAAGUAAAAACAUUUUGGUUUUUCGGUUUAGUUCGGUUUUAUAAGACCAUAUUUAUCGGAAUAACUUAUUUGGGUGUUCUUAGGGUUAAUUAAGUAUUAAAAUAAUGUAGAUAGAAAAACAGUUCUUGGGUAAAGAGAAGAACAUGUCUAAACAGUUGUUGGGUGUUCUAAGACCAUUUUCUUUUAUUUUAUUAUUUUUUUGAUGGUAAGAACAUGAGAUAAAUUAUCCCCUUACAUAUGCCCUAAGAAUGCCAACCAAUAUUACUUUGGUUUGGUAUACUACAAGGUUCAUGCUCUAAGAUUGCAAUGUAGAGAGAUUUACAAGAUCUUGAAAAAUAAACCAAAAAAAUUCAUCAUUUCAACUGAGGACUUACUAUUUAGUAUUUACCAAAGGUAUUAAGUAGGACUGCUACGGUUAACCAACCCAAACUGUGCUGGUUUUUUUGGUUAACAUAACUAUUUCUAGAGGGUUACCCAAAUUAACCGAAGAAAAUUUGGUUUUGAGAAUUAAUUCUGGUUAAUUCUGGUUUUGAGAAUUAUAGUUUUUUUUUUCCAUAAUUACAUUUCGAGGGAGUAAAAAAUUUCCAAUGUGUUUAAAAAUUUUCAGUGUCUAGACAGAAACUCUCUCCCAAUGUAAGAGUUUACAAUAGAAACCUCUUAUAUAGGGAGAGAGUUUCGGUCUAGACACUGAACCAAUUACAAUUAACCGGUUUAUCAUAAACCGUUGAAUCAAUUUCAUUUAUAUGUCUAAUAGCUACUUCAGUUGACCGAACCAAAUCGUGUCGGUUUUUUGGUUAACCAAACUAUUUCUAGAGGGUUGCCAAAAUUAACUGAAAAGAAAUUUGGUUCGGUUCUUGGUUAAUUUCGACUCUUUUUUGAGAUUUGGAGAAUUCGAGGGAGUAAAUUUUGUCAAAUGUGUUUAACAAACUAUUGAGUACCAAAUACUUUGUUAAACACAUCAAGAAGUUGCUCGCUACUACUGUCCACCUUCCAAGUACAUAUUGUUCCUUCUUUGAUUGAUUAGCUUCCCGAUAUUGAUUUCCAUGUGUUUCGUCCAUUCAUGAAACACAAAGUUUGCAACAACUUUUGCUUGAUUGUCACAUCACAUGCUUGUUUGUGUAUGCGUCACAUCUAACUCAACAACAUCAAAUAUCAUAUACUGAAUCAACCGUGUAAAACCACAUUAUGCUCAUACAUAUGAUCCAUUUCUCGAUUCUCGACUGCAACCACUUUCAAAAACAUUCGAACAAUAGACAUUUUUGGAAGAAACACAAAUGUUUUCGAAUGCCUUUCUUACUACAUAUGCCCAAGCAAUACCAGUAUUUUAUGCGCUCACAACACAAUACGAGAUUGGCUCUGUUUUUGCACUUACAAAAUUGACCAGAAAUUUAAAAUGAUCAAAACCAAUUUUGGUGUCCUCGACCACAUUUAUUGUAAACAUUAAGCUAAAGAGUUCCACUGCAGAAACUUGUCCUUGUGGUCCUCAAACACAAAGUCAAGAAAUUUGGCUACCAAACUUCACUUUUGACCAGAAAUUUUUUUUUUUUUUUUUGACUCUCCCUCUUAAAUACUCUCAUGCCUUAGCAUCCCCUCCUCUAUAAUUCGGUACUAAUCUAUAUAUGCACUUAUGUUUAUUAUUCGAGUACAAGAUCUGAAAAUAUUUUGGGUGAGAGAAAGUAACAUAAAAACAAAAAAAAAAAUGGAGAUGUUUUGGUUAACACCACCAAUACCAUUGAAAGAAAGAACAAUCAAAGCUCAGAAUAAAUUACCACAUAAGUAAAAAAAAAAAAAAAAACUAUCGUUCUUCAAAAAGUGUGCUUCCCCACUCUUCGCUUUUGCGCCAACAAUCUCUCACUCUCUCUGCAUUAACAUCAUCACAUGUUUAAGUAAACACAGACCAAAUGAACACAAACCAAAUCAAUCUUCAUAUUUACCCUCUGACGUUUCGACUCUGGAGGUGACGGUGGUUCAGGUCUCCGAUUUGAAUUUCCUCGCGCUGUACCUUCCUCCUCCUGCACCUCGUAUUUAUCCGCAACCAACACUCAUUAACACAUUUGUAUAUUCUCACCAGUUACCAUUUAUCAGAUUUUAGUAACCCCUAAGCACCGGCUUUGAUAAGGUUUACCACUUCUACUCCUACACAUCUGUAUAAUUCUAUACACAACCCAAAGCUCUACGAUCUUUCGCUAUCCAAUUACUCCAACAGGAAUUCCCCACAAGUCAAUGACAUGUUGCAUAAGGCUUCUAAGGAAAUAACUAAAUAUGUAACAUGUUAAAAGGUCAAAAAAAUGGUGGAGAUAACAAAGUACCUCUCUUGAAGAGGCUUGUCUACUGCUGUUGCUGCCUCUGCCUGUAGCAGCUUCACCUGAGCUUGACGAGGCUACGUUUUGAGAUAUAAAAGGCAUGAUCUGCUGAAGAACACUUGAUAUGAAAUUCCCUUCAUCCAUCGUAGUUGCCGGCUCUGCUUGUGCAUUUGCAACUGCUUCGUUUGUUUCUGUGGACGCUGUGGCAGAGGGGUUUGCUGCACCCUGAGACUCCGUGCUCCCGGCUUGGUGUUCUCGACGAGAUAAGGGCCUCAAAAACUGAUGGAUUCUGUUUCUCAAUUCAGACAAACCCCGACCGCCAGGAGAAGCACUGCUAUCACCUACAUAUUUCAGAGAAGCAAAGAUUUAUGACAUAGCCUGCCUUAAGGUAAAACAUCAUCUACAGCAAAGGGAAACAUCAAAUCAAACAUAAUUUGAGACAACCCAGUAAUAAGAGGCAACAGACGUGAAGUUUUCUCUUAUCGACAAUUCAACAAAUAAAUCAGUACAAUACUGUAGGGAAGUUAUGUUAAAACUAACCUUCUCUUCCUGGAGUACUGGCGCUCUGUGGCUGCCUAGAAGAUUCAGUAACAGGCUGAUGUACACCAUCCAAUCCAGUAGAGCUGCGUUCACCAAGAGAUAUCUGCUGAUAUCGAGCAACAACUGGUAUAACUAAGGCCACAGGGUUUCGAGGAGGUUCAGCCGAACCUCUUGUUGAGGGGGCAGAAUCAGUAGUGCUACUAGGUGCUGAAGGGAUUGACUGCCCAGGGGUUUGUUGUGUAGUACUUUCUUCUCUCUGGUUGGUCCCACUGGCGGGCACCCAAGAUCCUAAUAUAACGUCCAUUUUUCAAGAUUAAAAAAGGAACUUAAGCUGAAGAUUUUCAAUAUAGCAGGAAAGAACAGUUUAUACUUAGAAAUUAAGUGUAUGAAUAGCACCUGUACGUAUUCUUAUCUCAAUAUUUCUUGGGGCAGAGGCAAGUGAUUGUCCAGCAAAAGGGUUAGAAUGUGCGGUUCCUGCUUGUAAGCCUCCAAUACUCGUCCCCAGCCGAGAGGAGUGUGACUACAAAAAUUAAAGGUAGACACAAAGGUAAUGAUGAGCAGGACAAGUGGACACACUGGUAAUGAUGAGGGAAAGAAACAGAGAGACAGACAGGCAAGGGAUUUCUCCCUGUAGGGGAUAUGAACACUGCAGGCCCAGCAUUAACAACAGCAUCAUCCUGACAUGUAACAUACCAAGUGUCAUAUAGAUGUACGGGUAUAUCAUAUUCUGUGAACAAAAUCAUAUGCAAACUAAUGCAUCAUUAAAAAAAUUGUAAGAUUCAGAUCCACGAUAUGUAGGAAAAGAAUACGCACAGGUGUUUGUCCCAAACGAAGCAUCAUCGUGGCACGGCCAAGCUCCAGGAGUGAAAUGCCUAAACUCUCCAAGAGGGAUCCUGAUUGAAGCAUGUUUGACUGGCACAACCUUCGGGUUGGCGGAUCGGUCACAUUUACAUGAUCCACGAGCUGCCUCGAAAGAUUCUGCAGAAGAGAGAUAUGAAACGGUUAUUCUUGUUUCCCUGGAUUUGAGUAACCAAUUCCAGCUCAAGUCAGUCAGUAAAAAGAUAACAAAAACACUGCAUGUCACUAAUGUUGAACUAGCCUUGCUAACUUCAAUGUUUCUCACAUUGCAACUUUCACAAAAAAGAAACAGUUAUUCCCAUGGCACAAAAGUCGGAAACAAUGAGUCUACAGGGCUUGGAGGUUUCUAUUAAAAGUUUAUCUGAGUCCCAUAAAUUGAUGUAAUAAUUUCCGCAUUGGUUAAGACUGUCAAAGCAAAGACACAAGUAGCUUUCUCAAAAAGAAUGUAAGAAGCAAAAGUAAAAGAGCAUACAGUUAAGCAAGCUGCUACUUCACCGAUCAACAAUUGCCUUGUCGAUUGCAGCACUUCUGCCAAGUGAGAUGGUCUUGGAAUCCGACUCUCUCCAGUAGUAGAAGCAGAAUCUUGCACAUUGCCCAUUGAAUUUUCAGAAUCUUGCAAGUUAUUAGCAUUGCUACCUGCAAAAAUCACAGUACCACUGUCAGGCUCUCGAGACUUGUUUUCAACACAGAACCAAACAUUUAAAAAUUAGUCUAACCGUUAGCAGCAAAUUCUUGUCUCAGAUGAUUCAGAUAUUCAGAUAAGGUUGUCAAUGAAUCUGGAAUCGCCUGCAGUGGUAAAAAGUAUAGCUUUCUCAUGAACAAAAACAUGAUGUGCCUUACAAAAAUUAUGUAACAUGAGUAAUCAUGGAAACUAGGGAGCUCGUACUGCUGGUUGUGAAGAUGUCAAGGGGGUAGACGUCUGGUCCACAGCAUUUGGUGUGGCAGCUCGCCCUCCGGAAGAAUCUCUUACAGUGCUAGGACCAGAACUCCGAGACAGCCUCUCAUGAAGAGGACCCUGAAAAACAAAGGGAACUCUAUAACAUCCAAAACCGAUAUAUAGAAAUACGCAGCAAAUUAUAGGCAAUUACCAUAGUAUCAAUCCCUUCAAUACCACCUUCUGGAUUAGAGAUCCCAAGUGAACCCAGAACUGCUGAAACUAUCUGCCAGACAUAAAACAAAGCUCAUGAAAAGGAUCACAUCUAAUCCAACACACAAAAAUAAAAACAGAUCAAACAGAUAAAAGAGGGUAUACCUGACCAAGAUCUGAAUAGACUCCAUCUGCUUGUUCAGCAAUGUUGAAGGAUCCUACUACAACUCGUGAUCGUUGACUGCCCUGGCUGUCACCAGCACUCAAAGCAGGAUCAGCCGCUAAGAAAACAAGUUCUCCACUUAGCAUGUUGAAAUAUAGUCUCACAAAUUGGUAUGUUGAAAUUCAAAGAUGAUUAGGAGCAGUUUUUUGGGACCACAAAUUUGUAAGGGAACUUGAGACUACCUGCAUUACUAGUUGAACUCUCUGAUACAGGUUGUCUGACUACCAAAUGCAGAGUGUGGCCAUCUUCAACAUCUAAGAUGGAACCGUUAAAAGAAUUUUACCGGUAAAAGGAAAAGAAAUUACUGGCUAUCAUACGACACUGGAAUUGUUAACAAGGAAGUCAAAACCAAGGUCUUGACAAACAACAUUAGCAAACUAGGGUUCACAAAUCACAACUGAAAAGGAAAGCUCUAAGAAAGAACCGAUGCAAUAUGCUGGAAAGAACAAAAAGGAUACGAUAGGCUGAUAGGAGUUGAUCGUCCUUCAUAACUUUUCCACGACAUAUCAAGCGUUGUUGUUCCGUAACGACACCAGUAACGGAAGCAACCUGCUCCUUCAAUGCAGGAACAGGGACCUGAAAUGAAACAAGAAAACAGAAAGCAAAUAUAUGAAAGGCUAUCUAGGACACAAAUAAAGAAGUGAGGACUGAAAUAAGGCAUUAGUUCCACGAUUUUAGUCAAAGGAUUGAUAUUAGUAAUUAGAAACUUCAUUAUGCAACACAUGCAUGCGACGAAAGACAGACCUUACAGGUAGUAGUCUCAGUUCAUGGAACCAAAUUGUAUAAUACAGUGACAAGAAUUCACAAUAGAGAAAAUGAAACAUCAAAGAAAAGUAAACUACUAUGGCUCGUUUUUCUUACGCAUUUAUCUACUCGUAAGGUGUACGUUUGAGAAUCCAAAGUCUUUAUCUUUAUCUCAACCAUAGCACUGGCGCAUUGCGAUGCCUCGACCAUAAUUUCAUCUUUCCCAUUGUCUCCCAUCCUUUCAAAUGCCUUCAAACACCUGGAAACAAAAAAAAACUAUCAGCUUACAUCUAUCUCAGCUGCAUGCAAAAACAACCUUUGAUCAAACUGGUGUUAAAAAAUGACUCAUCAAACACUGAGACAAAACUCAACACUUUUUCGAGUCUAUCGAAGAAAUUUUUCAUCCAAAACCCUAAAAAAACAAACUUUCAUGGACGGCACUAAUAACAAUUUCAACAUGAAAAUCAAACUCGUUCAAAUCAUGUAGACAUCUUAAUCAUACAACUCGUUCAAAUACCUUUUGCCAAAGACGAAAUUCUUAGCUAAAAUCUCUCAAAAUUCGUAAAGCUGGACACUUUUCAAUCAAAUUCAAGAGGAGGAUCAUGUCUUUAGCUACUCCAACUCCAAAGAAGCAAACUGGUAAAAGAUGUGAUCAUAACCAAUAAACACUUAACGCAAUCUCAACUUCGAGAAUUCUUAAUAAAUAGCAAAACAUAUUCAUCAAAUUCAAUCAAAACACCAGAAGAGUUCUAAGCUUUUCCGGUGAAGAAAAACAGAAGAAUCGAUCUAAAACCCUAGAAAAACGAACAAAAAGCAAUCAAGAAGACGAAUCAUUAUGAAAUUAGUAACAGAGAGGAAUCAAAACCUAGAAAAUUGAUCGGAGUUGAAAUUAGCUGAGGAAGAGAGAAGGAGAUUUGGGGCUAAGAAUCUGUAACCCUAAGAGUCCUUUCGCGGCUCCGAGAGACGAUUCCGCGGCGAAGGAGAGUGAUGAGAGAAGCCUGGAAAAAAAAAAACGAAUUUUUCUGAAUUUUGCCUUUCUUAUUAUUAUUAUCACGUGAGUAUUUUUUAAAGUAAUUUCAAAUUUGAUGAUUUUAAUUUUUAGGCAAGUAAUUUUAAUUUUGCUGAAUUAUAAGAAAUAAAUUUUGGUUUUUGCAUUAUAGGAGAGGUUUAUAAAGUAAAAAUAUCUUUGACUUGGCAUUUUAGUAAAGAGGAUAUUAAUUUAUACAGAUUUGGUAUUUUUUGUAUUUACAUGUAAAGGAAUUUUAUAUCAAUAUUAUUUUAGAAAUAAAAAUGAGUGAUUUUUUUUUAAGCAUUGUCGUGAUUGAUGAAAGUUUUUUUUUCUAGAACUAAAUGAGUUGUAAAUGUAAACUUUAUUUAUAUGAAAAUGGUUCGGAAAAAAUCAUUUUGGUGAAUGUGAACUUCAUUAAUUUGGUGAAUCUAUACUAUAUAAAAGUCGAGGCUAUAAGCUCCUUAAGCCGUCCAUCUAGGAUUUUAAAUCACCAAUCGCGGUUUGACAUCUCAUUAACUAACUUUUUUAACCAAGACAUUAAUUAACAUUUUUAAAUUUGGAUAUUUUCUAUACUAAAAUAUUAAUUAAAAGGAAAACAAAUUAUGGAAAGAAGAGAAAUGUGAAUAUUUGAAACAACAACAUAUAGAAAUAAGACAAAUGUAAAGUAUAGAUUACAAUAUUAUUUUUUAUAUAUAAAAGUCGAAGCUAUUAGCUCCUGAGACAGUUCACGUGAUUUUAAACGACAAGUCGCAGUUAGUCAUCUUGCUAAUUAACAAAUUUUGCCAUUACAUUAAUUAACAUUUAUAAAUUCGGAUAUUUUCUAUACUAAAAUAUUAAUUAAAAGGAAAAAAAAAACAGUAUAUGAAAAGAAGAAAAAUGUGAAUUUUUGAAACAACAACAUAUAGAAAUAAGACAAAUGUAAAACAAUUAUGGAAAGAAGAGAAAUGUGAAUGUUUGAAACAACAACAUAUAGAAAUAAGACAAAUGUAAAGUAUAGAUUGUAAAAAAAUUAUGGAAAGAAGAGAAAUGUGAAUAUUUGAAACAACAACAUAUAGAAAUAAGACAAAUGUAAAGUAUAGAUUACAAUAUUAUUUUCUAUAUAUAAAAGUCGAAGCUAUGAGCUCCUGAGACAGUCCACGUGAUUUUAAACGACCAGUCGCAGUUAGUCAUCUUGCUAAUUAACAAAUUUUGCCAUUACGUUAAUUAACAUUUAUAAAUUCGGAUAUUUUCUAUACUAAAAUAUUAAUUAAAAUGAAAAAAAAACAGUAUAUGAAAAAAAAGAGAAAUGUGAAUUUCUGAAACAACAACAUAUAGAAAUAAGACAAAUGUAAAAUAAUUAUGGAAAGAAGAGAAAUGUGAAUAUUUGAAACAACAACAUAUAGAAAUAAGACAAAUGUAAAGUAUAGAUUGUAAAAAAAUUAUGGAAAGAAGAGAAAUGUGAAUAUUUGAAACAACAACAUGUAGUAAUAAGACAAAUGUAAAGUAUCAAUUACAAUAUUAUUUUCUAUAUAUAAAAGUCGAAGCUAUGAGCUCCUGAGACAGUCCACGUGAUUUUAAACGACCACUCGCAGUUAGUCAUCUUGCCAUUACGUUAAUUAACAUUUAUAAAUUCGGAUAUUUUCUAUACUAAAAUAUUAAUUAAAAGGAAAAAAAAAACAGUAUAUGAAAAAAAAGAGAAAUGUGAAUUUCUGAAACAACAACAUAUAGAAAUAAGACAAAUGUAAAAUAAUUAUGGAAAGAAGAGAAAUGUGAAUAUUUGAAACAACAACAUAUAGAAAUAAGACAAAUGUAAAGUAUAGAUUGUAAAAAAAUUAUGGAAAGAAGAGAAAUGUGAAUAUUUGAAACAACAACAUGUAGUAAUAAGACAAAUGUAAAGUAUCAAUUACAAUAUUAUUUUCUAUAUAUAAAAGUCGAAGCUAUGAGCUCCUGAGACAGUCCACGUGAUUUUAAACGACCACUCGCAGUUAGUCAUCUUGCCAUUACGUUAAUUAACAUUUAUAAAUUCGGAUAUUUUCUAUACUAAAAUAUUAAUUAAAAGGAAAAAAAAAACAGUAUAUGAAAAGAAGAGAAAUGUGAAUUUUUGAAACAGCAACAUAUAGAAAUAAGACAAAUACAAAGUAUAGAUUACAAUAUUAUUUUUGGUUAUAUUUUAUCGAUUAAUAUCUUUUAAGAUAGUGAUGAAAAAUAUUAAAAAUAUUUAUUUAUUAUUUUUACUUAAAUUUCGUUGAAAAAUAUUAGUCCAUAAAUCUUUGACCGCCUAUUUUUUCCUAGCUAUAUCUUUCACAAAUUAUAGGAAAUGUUUUAUAAAAACUAAGCUGAUAGUGACAUGUGUAUAUAGAAAAACAUUAUUAUUCUUGUAUAGAUAUCGUCAAGUUGAAAAAUAAAUCCUAAAAUUUCCUUCGCCUCUUAGUUUCCUAUAAUUACCUUGAUGAGAGUUUUUGUUUAGCUCAUAUCAAGUUCGGCGAGCUUUUGUUAAAAGAAAAUCUUUUUGUUUAGCUCAUAUCAAGUUCGGCAAGCUUUUUUUAAAAGAAAAUCAGACGGUAAGUUUGUAGAAACGUGCAUGUGCUGCCGUUUCAUGGGCAGAAGAACCAUACACAGCUUUUAAGUAGAAGAUGUAAAUAACAAAUGAAAAGACCUUUAUUUUAUUAUAGCAGACUGAUAGUUCGUUUGUAGGUUGGAUGAGAAGAGAAUGUGCAUAUUGCAUCCGCUUUUUUUACUUUAUUUCUGAAUAGAGGUGAAGAUCACAACAUAUAUGAAAUCGGAUCAAAAGUUACGAAUUUUGAUGAUUCAUGAUUGUAAUGGGCAUGAUGACGUUUGUGUAAAUUUUCAAGAGUGACGCAGAUGCUACGUUAGUGUGAAGGCGGAGAGAGGGAUCUAUACUUUUGUCGCUCAUAAGUCAUAACCAUGUUUUUAUGCUUGAAUGUUAAUAUAUAUAUAUAUAUAUAUAUAUAACAUAUUUUUUUUUAAUUUUAACUCUCAUCAUCAAUUGUUACGAUCGCUUUUUGUUGGAUCUAACUUUUCUCCAUCCCAGAUGUUAUAUCCUGUGGAGAUCAACCUCUAUGUUACUUGGAGGUCUUCACCACCACUUAAUAUAUUAUGGUUCUGUUUAUUAGAUUGUUUGUCAUGUGAAACUGAAAGUUAUUUUUAUUGUUUUGGUGAGAGUAGUUUUUAUAUUAAGCUUCUAAACGAGUCUGGUUGAGUUUGUGUAUGGUAAAUGUGCUAAUUGGGAUAGAGAAUGAAACAAAGACAUUGAGUGCUUACAAAAAGAUAGAAAUAGUGAUACCUCUCGAAAAAAAAUUGUAAAGACGGAAAUUCAUAUACAUAUUGAAAAUAAUGUAAGAAAAAUAUGAUUUGUUAACAAGAAAGUAUAGAUAAGCUAGCUUAGUAAUGUUAAAACGGGCUACCCGGUCUGUUUAGGCCCGAACCCGUUUAACAAAAAAAUUAAAGCCCGUUUAGGUUCAUACCCGUUUAAGCCCGCCAAAUUUAUAAAAGCCCGUUUAGACCCGUCUAUUGUCUUCCCUGAUUUUAAAAAAAAAAUGCUAUACUAACUAAUGCAGAAAAUAUCCUUUAGUAAGGAUCUUAUAUUUAGAAGAGCUAUACUAAGUUAGUAUACUUUAGUAUUUCUAACUAAUGAAGUAAAUAUACUUUUGUAAGGAUCUGAUCUUAUACUUAUCAUAAGCUUAUGAGUAAACUUUUGUAAGGAUCUAAUAUUUAGAAGAGCUAUACAAAUUAAUAAAGUGAAUAUAGACGAAAUACAAUAGUGAAAUUGCAAUUACAAAAAUGAGAAAUUCGUCGAAGUUAGACCCAUAAAAAAUUUAUUUAUUUCAUGAAAAAUCUUGUCAUCCAAAUAUCUAAAGCUAAAGAGAGCGAGCUAUUAAACAAAAAAGAUAUACUUUUGAUAAAUGUUGUAAAAACCUAAAUGUUGUAUUAGAAUUUUUUUAAGUUGUAUAUUUUAAUUGAACUAUUUGUCAUGGUAAUUUUAAAAUUCAAAGAAUUUGAACUAUUAACAAUAACAAUAAGUAGAAAUAUAAAAACAUAUAUUCAAAGAGUUUAAUAAAUAUUACUAAUCACACAAAAUUUUAUUAAAACAAAUUUAAAAAUAGACCCACGCAUAGCGUCGGUUCAGAACCUAGUAAUGCAAAUAAAUUUUGGUUUUUUUCAAAAUAUGAGAGGUACUUAAAGAAAAAUAUCUUUGAUUUUCAGCAAAUUAGUAAAGAGGCUAUUAAUUUAAUAAUUUAUACAGAUUUGGUAUAUUUUUAAUUUUCAUAUAAAUCAAGUUUAUAUAAAACAUUAAACUAAAAAUGAUUUUUCAAAAUAUUUUGGUAUUUGAUGAAUGUUUUUCCAGUGAGAUUCCGGAGAGAAAAGACGACAUAUUUAGAAGGGUGGAUGGGAUCUAUGCGAGAUGUUUGGGUUUUUAAAGAAUUUGUUUCUUGUAAAGUCGCAAACUUGAUCUAUUGUUUGGAUUUUUGCAAAAUUUGUGUUUGUUUAGUUUGCAUAUAUGUGCAAAUAUUCGGAUCUCGUAUCGAAUUCAAGUCUAGAAAUAGUAUCUUGUUCUAUUCCCUAAGUACUUUCAAUGAUUUGAUUUUAUUUUCAAGCUCUAAGUGAUGUUUUCUUUGGGUAUUUGUCUUCUUUAAUUUUUCCAAAACUUGUGUAUACCCUUUUUUAAGGGGAAUUAUUACAAAAUGCCUUCUUCUAAAUGCAUCUUUUAAAAAUGUCCUAUCUAUAACACCUUAUAAAAAAUACCUCUAAAAAUCUGAGAUCUACUCAAAUACGUGUGUAACGUUAUAAAAACAUACACAAACUACAUUUACACGAAUAGUAGUUACCAUUAUUAAGUACUUUAUAAAACCUUAUUAAAUGUUCCGAUUUAAAGAGAGGUGUUUUUGAAAAUAAACAACUAAAUUGAGCAAUUUAGAAAAAAGACACCCUUAAAAAGUGUUGAUAACAAAUAAUUAGAUCAUCACUUUUUCUUUUCAUUUUGGAUUUUUUCACCUUAAUUGACCGUAGAGAUGGAGAUUUACGAAUAAUAUAUUAACCAUCAUCUAAAUUUAAAGAGAACGAAGACAUAUUUUCUAUGUUUUUAAUUAUUUAUUAAUAUUGUGUAAUGUAAUUUCUAUAUAAGAAGUUUUAAAUAAAAAUAAUAUGUUAUUUGUUGCUUAUCGUUUAAAAUAAAAUAAUUGCGUUGAGUUUAUAAUUUUAAUAAAUAGAUGCUCAUUACAAAUAUUAGUAACUAAAUAUGAAAAAUAUAUCUAAAAUAUUAUUUUUAGAAUAAAAAAACGGAGAAAUGGAUUGGAGGAAAAUCCAACUCCAAAAUAUAAAAAUGAGUUUGAGAUGCUUUUAGAGAUGUCCAUUUUUUCUUUUUUUCUUUUUUUUUUUUUUUGUUAAAGAAAUGUAAGAUUCGUCCAUUUUUUCCUUAAAUUUGAGUAACUCCAUUUUGGAGUUGAAUUUUUCUCCGACCCCUAAAAUAGAGAUUUCUAAAUUUAAGUGUAAAUUAAAAAUAGAGAACUUCAAAUAUAGAAAAAAAAAAAUUCUCUAUUUUGUAGUUGAAAAUGGAGAUAGGUUGAAGAACUCUUACCCCAAAAUAAAGUUUGGGAAGUGAAUAUGAAGAUGGUCUAAGCCUCUAUAUAAAUGAUCUUAAUAUGAUGUCAUGUUGUUCUUUAGAGUAACAAUGGGCACUCGGUUAAUCAAUUAAAUAGGUUCGAUUUUUUUGUUUUCAGGUUUUUUGAAUUUCUGAACUUUUAUUUGGUUUGGUUCGGUUUGAAACUUAUUUUUUUUCUGUUCAGUAAUAGGAUUUAAAAUCAAUUCUGAAAUAAACAGAAUUUUUGAUAAUUCGGUUAAUUCAAAUCGAAUUAGACAAAAAUGAAAGUGAAGAUAAUGGGGCUAAUCUAACAAAUUUACGAUACAAAUCAAUAAAAUAAUGGGUUACUCCCAAUAAAAUACAAACCCAACUUAAAUAACAAACUCAAACUCGUCAAAAUUUAGGGUUUUCGCCAACCAUGUCGUGAAAGAGAAUAAGAUGAUUAAAAAAAAAGAGGUGGUGAAGAAGAAGAUAAGAAAAGAACGAAGAAGGAGGAUCUCGGACUGCGGAGAAGAGACUGAAAACAAGAGAGGUAUGAUUAGAAAUCUAGGGUUUUUUACUUUUAUAUGGUGUUCGCUAAACUAAUAAAAAUGAUCAGUUUUGAUGUAUCGAACCAAAAAUAACAGAGAACCAAAAUUAGUUUAGAACUUCGUCGAUCGGUUUAUAACUCUGAACCGAAUUGAAGCCAAAAACCAAUAUUAUUAGUUCGGUCAGAUUGGUUUAAACGGUUUAUGAUGAUUGUUUAAGGCUACUUUAAAGUAUUAAAUAUAUAUGUAGAUAUGAGAUGAACUCAUAAUUUUAUUACAAUGCUCUAACACAAAAUUAGAACGGUGUUAUGGUUCUUAUGACUUAGUUCAUAUGACAUGAAAUACAAAGAGAACUUAAAUUAAGAUUAGUUCUACAAAGAAGCGGCUGAUAGCCUAUAAUGUUUUAUCAUUUAGGAGGGUUAUUAGGGUCUCUUACCAUCCAUGGAAGUACAAAUCCUGGUGGUUUAUCGUGAUGUUUGGUAAAGUAAAUCCCAUCUUUAUAUGCAAUCCAUCGACGUAGCUCCCCACAUCGACGAAAAGUAGCUGCUCUAUAUACUUGAAUAUCAUAAUAAUAUUCUAGUUUAUAUUUUUUAGAUAUAUACGAUAAACGACACAUCCAUGCUCUCUUUUUGUGAUCGAUGGAUUUAUCCUGGAAUUCCAUGAUAAUUGGGACAAUAGCAUCUUUUAAUUGUUUUACUCCUACAUCACCGUUUGGAUUCUUGGAACGACAGUGAACUUGUAGAAUUGUUCCAGGAGGAAGGUGGUUUUGAAUUUCUAUACGAUUAUACCUGCAAGCUUCAUUCAACCAAAAAAACAUAGCAAUGUAGAAUAUUGUUGUUGUUGAAAUAAAGAUAGUUUUUGGAGUAAUAAAGGAAUCAAUGUAGAAUAUUUAUACUUUGUUUUGUAGAAAACAUUUUACCUUAAUUUAUCAAACAAACUAUUUAUGGUGUUGGUCAAAGGAGAGUUUAGUGUCUAAAAGUAUGGUUAACCAAUAGGAUCAACUAAUCUUUUCUUAUUUUUUUGGUUAACACUAGCCAUUCACUGAUCCACAUCAGCUAAUAACGUUUUCUAAAAUCAUACCAUGAUAGCAAAUACAAAUGGGCUAAAUAAAAGUAUUGGUGGGCUAAAUUAGCAACAACUCAAAUUAAUUCUUUUGCCAGCAAAACGCUUUGCAUAAGAAAUUAUUUUAACGUUUUUUUUCAAAUACUAUUUAAAGUUUAAUUUUCGUGGUAGAGAAAUACUAUCUAUCUACAUAUACAUUUUUACAGGGUUUUUUUUGCAUAAAUUCAUUUGGAUCCGGUUUUACCCGGGUUUAACUCUAUCCGGAUCUUGAAUAAGAAAUUUUAGGAAUGUUGUAAUAAAAACAAACAAAUAUUUUGAGUAUAAUUGCUCUUAUAAUUUGGUUUAAUGUUAUUACCUAAACUAAUUGCCAUAUUAAUCGGCUCUAUUCCUUUUUAUCUCUAAUUGAUUUCGAAUCUUUACACAAUCUAAGCUAAGAAAAUUCGUUAAGGAAAUCUUAAAUAAAAAACGACAUUAACUCUUAAAUUACCCAUAUUUUAUGGCAAUUGGAUCUUCAAUUAAAAAUCUGCAAAAUAAAAACAAAUAAGAACAUAAAUGGUUGAGUAUAUGACGAAAUCAAUAAUAUAUAUUGAAAUCGGAAGUUAAUAUACGCCCUGAUUUUAGGUAAUUACCAUAAUUACUCGAUAUCUAAUAAAAUAAAUAUUCGAAAUUUAAAUUCAUAUCUCAUAUAUUAAGCAACUACCAAAUCAACAAAUAAUCAACAAAAUCCUAAUGAAUAACAAUAAGCUUCGUUUUUUCCUAAAAUAUCGAAAUCAUUAACUAUAACCGCACGAAAUCAGGAACGUAAUUUUAUCAAAUCAAAAAUUAAGGAAUGAUGAUUUGAAAUAUUUUAUAUGUUCACUGAAUGAAAGAUUUGAGAUAUUCAAAAUUUAUGGGAGAAUAUUCCUAAACCAGAAACUAAAUAUUGUAUACUUGAAAGAUAAUGUAUAGAUUUAUUCAUAUUUAACCUAAAAGUAACACUGCAUAAGGCGAUCUUCUUGACUAUAAAUACAUCAUCCCAUUUCUACAAUUCUCAAUAACCCAAACGUGUUGGAUUCACGUACCUUGACGACAAUGAGCCUUUCAAUAUAAGUUGGCACAGUCAUGUGGAAACGUGUGGUAUCAAGUUGUUUCUAAUUAUUUUUAUUUUUUUUAUUAUUGUGGAACUAAGGUUGUGUUUUCUCACAUGCAUGCUAUCAUAUGUGGGAAAAAAAAUCGGUGAAAGAUAUGAAGAGACUCUCAAUGUGCAUUAACACUCCUAGAUCGUUCAUUUGAUGAGCAAUGUCCAAGUAUACAAAAUCUUCUUCUUAUAAUGAUUUAAUUGUAGUGUUUCUUAUAAUUAAGUGAGAAAUAAUGAGAUUCACAAAUGAUAUACUAUAUCUUACUAACUAUUCUUUGUUUUUAACUACAGAUUCAAGACCUAAAAUAAGGAGGUAUCUACUCCUAACUAUAAAUCUAAUGAUUUGAAUGAUUUGAAUGUUUUGAACGUUUUUCGUUAAUCUCACUAUCCUCUUUUCCCUACGUUUUACUAAUAGUAGUGAAAACUAAUAAGUUACAAUGUCCACUUUAUCUACAGCAUCAUCUACGAGUAGAAUAAACGACUCGGUACUGAGGUAUAAUAUCUAUACAUUCUUCUUAACAAAAACCAGCUUCUACUGGAUUAGGACAUACACUACUAAGAAUUCUAUUGUACAGGAUCUAAAUUUGUGUGGGAUACUUGAAGAAAUAGCGAGGCGUGGAAUGUCAUUCGAUGAAUUACUCACCAUCCCUGAACAGGAUGAAUGGGUUUAUAGUGACGGGAAAUCAACAGCAUGUGUUGCUUUCAUCCUUGCAAUGUACAAAGCCGCUGGUGUAUUCGGCCCUCUCGCUAAUCACAUUCAAGUCACUGAAUUCACGGUGCGUUUCUUUUCUUCUUUCGAUAUCAAGUCUUUCCAUUUAACAUCACUCUUGAGCAUUUAUUUCUUUCCUAUUCUCAGAUCCGAGAUGCGUACACUCCGAAGUUAUUUGAGUCUAACCAGACUCGGCUACCGAGUUGGUGCAACACAGAGGAAGAGAAGCUUGACUUCUGUCAGAUUCUAGGUGAAUACAGAAUGGAGUUGUUUUGUUGUUUGUAGCAAAGCAAUUGGGUUCAAAGUAAUUGUGAUGAUGGAUACACAUUAAUUCCAAAUACGCUUUUUUGUUUUUUUUGUUACAUAACAACAUUCAUAUCGAUUUUAUUUAUAAUGGAUACACAAUUACACACAUUCAACACUUUAAUUUUAUUUGCACAAAAGACAUGUAUAUAGAUAUUGGAAUUUUUAAUAUUUAUUUGCUGAAUAAAAAUUUACAAACUAAAUCUAAACUCAUAUAUUAUGUAAAGAAGAAAAUAAAUGCAUAUUUUAAUACUCUAUACAUGAGUGCGUAAUGAACUAUAUAUCUCUAUCUCUAUAUUUUCAAGAAUAAAUUUAAAAUAUACUAAUCCUACAAUAUAUAGAUAUAUAUAAAUCUAUAUAUAUAUAUAUACAUUUAAAUCAUAAAAAAUAGCAUAUAUGUAAAAGAAAAACCUUAAAAUAAAAAUUCAAAUCUUUAUUAAACAAAAAUAUAGGCCCGCGGUGUACCGCGGGUUAAUUUCUAGUAUAUAUACAUUUUUGGUGAAGAUUUGGCCUCAAAAAUCCUUUUACAAGUUCAAUAUUAUACAAUUAGUCCCUACAAAUAAAAUCUGACAAAAUAUUUAUCUUAAUGAAAUUUACAAAUCAAUUAAUAAACUCUUCUAACAUUUCCUAUUUUUUUAAAAACGAGAUUUGAGAUCCUAACAUAUGGAAAUCAAAUAUUCGAAAUUAAAUAAAUUCCUAAUUUUGCGAUAACGAGAUUUGAUAUUCAAAGAUAUGGAAACCAAAUAUUCAAUUUUAAAUGAUAUAAAACUUUAUAAGAAUUAAAGAUGUUAACAAAAGAAUUAAAACUUUCUAAAUAAUAUAUGGUAUAUAUUAUUUGUUUCUAUAAUCUCGAUCGGAUUUUCCAUUAAUUAUUUUUCUAAACAACUAACUUAAUUUAAUACAUUUUAAUCGAAAUUUUUGGAAUAUUAAUCACUUACCAUAAAUACAUUUUUUAGAAAAACGUUUAAUGCUGAAAUAUUUUAAUUCAAUAAAUUAUUUGAAAAGAUAUUCCAAACGAUUUAUAAAUUAAUUUGUUUCUAAAAAUCUCGAGGUAAAUCUUUCCAUAUAUCUCACCAUUUCUCAGUUUUUGAAAUCAUAAAUCGUUAACACACACAUCUUUGCCAAUAUUCUCGGCACAAUCUUAGUAAAAAAUCUCUACACAAUUAAUUGAUACUCUACAAAAUAUUCAUACCUUAGAUUUUAUGGAAACUAAUAACUAUUAUUAAUACUCCCAUUUUCAGCAUAUACCUAAAAACAUUCCAAUUACAUAUGGUUGAUUCCAUAUUUAGUUAAGAUUGCGACUUAUUUUUUGCGUGAUCACCAAGAGAAUAUUGACCUAAUCGUCUGAACCUAUAUAUACUCUAUGGAUUUACGUCUCAUCACAUCAUCAAAAACACACAUGUCAUUUAUAAACCCUGCAAACAUUUCUUCAACUGCAAAUGGCUGCUAUAUUUGCUUAACGAAAAGACCUUUACAUAUCUAAAGGUAGGGAGAAGAAGAAGAUGAGCUUUUGUUAUCCAGCAGUAAUAGAACGGCUAUGGCGGAAGCCUAAGAGCUUUUCGACUACGAAGCUCUCUGUGCCAAAAUCGAUAGUUGCGAUGGCGUUUUUCACACUGCUUCUCCGAUGACCGACGAUCCCGUAAGUUCAUAAUUUUUUUAAUCGGUUGAGGAGUAUUAGUAUAAGUAUAAUACAUAUGUUUUCUUAGUUUUAAUUUUCUAAAUUAAUCUAACUAAUUAGGAGACAAUGUUGGAGCCGGCGGUAAACGGAGCCAAGUUCGUGAUUGAUGCAGCGGCUAAAGCCAAGUUCAAGCCCGUGGUUUUCACGUCAUCAAUUGGUUUAGUUUACAUUAACCCUAACCGUGACCCUCAAGCCAUAGUUGACGAAAACUGCUGGAGUGAUCUUGAUUUCUGCAAAAAUACUAAGGUAUGGUUUUAUCUAUGUUAUAAGUUUUGGAGAUGUGCUUCUGCAAUAAAAUCGAACAUGCGGCUAGAUUAAGGUUUAGGUCUUUAACCUUAAAAGUUAAAACCUAGACCAUGUUACUUUUGGAAUUCUAACUUUUCUUUUUAAUAAUCUUCCUUAUAGAAUUGGUAUUGCUACGGGAAGAUGGUGGUGGAACAAUCGGCGUGGGAGACGGCGAAGGAAAAAGGUGUAGACUUGCUGGUGAAUUAAAUCUAGCGGUAACUUUUUUAUUUUGUUCGUUUGCAUAAAUAAGUUUAUUUCUAUUGAUAUGGUUAUGGUUAUUUCUAUUAACAAAAAAAAUUCUUAUAUUGCUUCCCCAAUUUGAGUGCAGUUUAACUUUCUAGCACAUGACGAUGAGCAGUAUGUGUGGGAGUCUCAGGCCGGUGGGUCUUUCACUGUGACCAGAGACACCUCUGGGGAGGCUCUUGGUAGAGGAACCAAGAUGGUCCUUUACCUCAAGGAAGACCAGUUGGUUAGAAUAUUGUUUUUCUCUUAUUAGUUUUUGAAGAUGAUGGCCGAUUGAUUUUGUAAGAUUUACAAUCUUUUAUUUUAGGUGACAGGUGAGGAAGCUAUUAAAACAGCCUUAGGGGAAAUGGAUUCAACCAAAGAAUCUUUACUAUUCUGGAAAGACCAUUCAAAAUUUGAUGUUGGAACAUCUUUGUUAACCAAGUUUUUAAUGCAUUCAACAGAUGAAUUUUCCUAUUAAAGUUUUUUUUUGUUUGGAUUUUUAAUUUUCCAAUCAACGAUGGUAUGUUUCAUCUCUCCGUUUUUAGGGUUUCUUUAACUGUAAGCUCAUUAAGUGAUAAUGAAAUCAAUUACUUCAAUAUAUUAAUUUGAAUCUAUAAAAAAGAUGAACUGGAAGAUUCCAGUUGCACAUGUAACUCCAGGUGUGUUUUCUCAUCUUUGAGUUUUAUGAAAAGAUUUGUGUGAUGUAUUAUUUUGAUGAUUAAAGCCAAGUUGAAUUAGAAUUUGGUUUCUGAUUCUUGAUAUAUUUUUAUUUGGGUUGUAGAAGCUAACAGAAGCUAUGAAGAAGAAGAGGAAGCCCCAUUACACUCUUCAGCAAGGAUAUAUGAGGGGUUAUUGGUUCAUAGAUUUAUAUGGAAUUAGAAAUCCAAACAAAAAUCAUUUGUUAUUCAAUCAUUGAUUUUAAAAUCCUAAUUAAAUUCAUGUGUUAUUGGUUCUAUGAUUUAUAAAUACUAGUUAAAAUCUUAUGUUAUUCGUUUAGUCAUUUGUUUUUGGAUUUGAGAAUCCAAAUUAUGUUUUAAAUGGAAUUGAAUGGAAUUGAAAGAGAAAAAUAGAAGGAUUCAAAUCCAUGGGUAAACACAUGUUAUUUCAAAAUCCAUAUAUCUUGAUUUCAUAAUUAAUAGAAAUUUUCAAAUUCUAUAUGGAUUUACAAAUUAACAAACUAAUAACACCCCCAUAGAUUAUUGUGAAACUGAGAUUUCUGGCUUAAGUUUUUUUUUCUACUUAUUGUAACAUAGGAUUUUGAUGGUUUCACUUUCAUCUACAUAUUUUCAAUUUACUACUUUAUCCACUUUCAUAUAUUACAAAUAGCAUACUCUCUAUUUUCUUAUCUCCAUUACUUUAUAAGAGUGAUUUAUAUGUUUAAAUUUAAGAUAUAAAUACAAUCCUUUCAUAUUAUUUCAAAUUAAAUACAUGUUUGUUUGUAACUAACAUACAAUGACAGAGUCAAAUAAAAUUUCUUAAAUGUAGUGUAUUACCAGGUUAGUCGACUAAUGUUCAGACCCAUCUAAAUUCUAACCCGCAGUGUCUAACAUGAGAAGAGAAUGGUAACAACGACCAACACUAAAAUGAGUUUUAUACUUGAUUAACAUAUGCACUUCAUAACUCCAAUAAAAUUUUACAAUAUAAACACAUUGUAUAUUACUUGGCUUGGAAUUAAAACACAAAAUUCAGUUCUACCACUAUAUUUCAAAUUAAAAAUAUUAUACUCAAUACCACACAAAAAUUCUCAACCAAAAUCUAUACUAAUAGAUAACAAAAUUUCGCAUAUAUUAACAACACAUAAGACUCGGGCGAAGCACGGGUUAUGGUUGAUGUUAAUAUGGGAAGGUAUACCACAAGUGAAAUUCUAGAAUUAACAAUCAAAAUAUAAUUAUAUAAUCUUAAACACUAAACAUAACAAACAAUAUUAACAUAUCAAAUAUAACUUACAAUUAAAAUUUAUAGUUAAAGAAAAAUUGAUUCUCAGUGUACCCAAAAUCAAACAUAAAUUUAUACCAAUAAAACAUCAAAAAUUAAUACAACAAUAUAAUAAAUUUAUAACUAUAUAUAUAUAUAUAUUACCCCGCGGUACACCGCGGGGUCAAAUCCUAGUUUAAAGUUAUAUCAUGUAUUGUAAUAUUCUACUAAUUACGAACCAAUCUUUGUUACAAUUGACAUGGGUGGCAUGAAGCGUUAAGCAUAUAAAUUUUCAUUUCUUGAAUGGGUUACAUGAUUCCAGUGCUAUAUUUACAUGACAACUACCUUUUGACAUUAAAAAAAAACCUUCGUUGCUUUUCUUAUUGUUAAAUAAACGACCUUCAUGGUUUGUAUGAAAUAGAAGCACACUUUUGAUGUGCAAGCUCGACAGAAAACAAUAAGCAUCAGUAAAUGGCAUUAAUAUACAUACCAAUUUAAAAAUAAAAAUUUAAUUUAAAUUUGUAAAUAUAACUUACAAUAAAAAUGAUAUAUAAAAUGAAUAAUUAAUAAUAACACAUACAAUUUUUAGUUUAAAAAUAGGUUAUCAUCUUUUUAAUCUUCUAUAUAUACAUUUUUGGAGUACACUUACUAAAUAAAUCCUAGAGUUGCUAAGUAUUUACAAAGAAUGCCAUUAUCAUAAAUGUUUAUCUAUUAAUUAAUAUUACAAAAUAUAUUCGAAAAAAUCUUUUAGAAACUAUGGCUUCCAAAUAUGAAUUGAUUUUGUUUCUAAAUUUUCCUAAAACAUCUCUACCUAAUUUAAAAAUUAAUGUAUGAUUCUUCUUUCACUUUUAUAUGAUCUUAUAGUAAUUUAUUUGGAAUUUAUAUAAAAUACAUAUAAUUAAUAAAAUAAUAAAAAAAAUUUUGCAUAUAAUGUACACAUAUUUCGACGAUAUUAAUUAUAAUAUAAAAUAAUUAAUUAUUUUAUUUCUACACCUACAACUCUUCUAAGUACACAUAUUUCGACGAUAUUAAUUAUAAUAUAAAAUAAUUAAAUGAAUUUUUUUAUUUAAUAUCAAAUUAAAAUCCAAUAAAUUAUAUAUUAUUAUAUAAAAUACAUAAAAUACAAUUUUGUCCCGCGGUGUACCGCGGGUUAAAUCCUAGUGUAAUGUUAAAUUUUAUUCAAGAAAAGUUAGUGUCUGUUACAUCAAAUGCCAAUGUUUUUGAAUAAAUUUGAGUAGGUAAUAAGUAAUAACACAUGAAGAUGACAAUUAACUUCUAGAGGCAAACCAUACUUGGAGAUAUAGCUCGUAUCUAUUAUAGCUUGUAGCCAGAAUCAUUGAGCGUUAAUUGCGGAUGUGAUGUUAUUCGAAUGCGGUUCCAAAUGUCUUUCGUUGCGAAUGUAGCUUUAUAAACCACAUGGUGGUUGGCGAGUGGUUCUCGUUUGGUUGGAAGGAUCGCCCUGUUGGUCUAGGCCAGGGAUCGAUCCUCCCCAGACGCAGUUUCGCUCUCUCACUCCUGUGGCCACCUGGGAAUUUACCUGCGGACUUGCUCAGGCGCCCCAGACCACCAGUUUAUCAGGGGGCCCUUAAGUGGAGGCUUAAAAAUCCCUGUGACGCGGGCUUAGGCCCAGUGGGCUAGUCAGAUCACUGUGUGGUCUGUAUACUGGGUUAUCAAAAAAAGAAUGUAGCUUUAUAAGAGUCCCCUCUAUCUGGCCAUAAUAGAGACCCUCAGCUAGCAUAUAUCUACUUUGCCACUUCUGUUCUAGUGCAUUCUCUACCAAGUUUAGAUUUUGACCUGGUGUCUUUUUUUUCUUCGAGUUCUCCAUGCAUUAGCCAGAGAAGCAUUCCUUCCAAUCCCCAAGUCAAUGACGCCUCUAGAACCAGCCAUAUCCAUUACGCACCGAGAUUCGACCAGUUGUCAUACAAAAAUGAAGUUGAUGCUCCAUUCCUUAAUUCACUCUUACAAAACGUUUAAGCCACUUUCAUAUAUUUCAACAAUUUUUGCAAUAUUUACGAUUCUGAACUCGUGUUCUCCCAAUUAGAGCAAAACAAUUCUGUCUUAACAAAUUAUUUUAAAAAUACUACUCGGUCCGUUUCAAAAUAUAAGUCGUUUUGGAGAAAAAAUUUGUUUUACAAUAUAAGUCGUUUUCAAGUUCUUAUACAAAUUAUAUAUUAUUUUAAUAUUUUAUAACUAUUUAUAAUAUGCAGUUUCUUUUACGAUUGACUGAACUUUUUAAAAGUGUAUCUUUUUAACCUGCAUGCUUUUAGAUAAAACAACUUAUAUUAUAAAACGGAUGGAAUAUUAGUUAUCAAAUAUAUACCUAGACAUAACUUAAAUUAUUAUUUAAUAUAACGCAAAAAACUAGUCAUAAUAGCUAUUAAAGCCAUCAAGCCAUCAAUAAAGAAUGGUGGUAAUAUUCAUUUUAAUUACUUGAAAAGAAAAAGAAAAAAAGAGUAUAGAUUUAGGAUACGACAUAGGACGAAAUCAAACUCACUAUUUAAGAAUAAAGUAUGAUUAGAUUAUAGAUUAUAAAUAAGAGUAACGUUGAUAUUAUUGUUGAGAAUACGAAUUUCGAUGAAUAAUAAAUAGAGAGAUGAUUAGACUCCGAGAGCGGAGGCUUUGCGUUGCACUAAUCAAAUAAUUAGGCGCACCAAAUUGGCUUUAUCGCUUAGCUGGAGUCUACUGUCCACUCUCUACCAUAUUAAUAUUAAUUAUUGGGACUCUUAUUUAAUCAUCAUCAAUCAUCCUUUAGUAUUCCCUUCGUUUCAAAAUAUAAGGCGUUUUAGCUAAAAACACGCCGAUUAAAAAGUUCUAUUUUUUAAACGUUCAACCAAUCAUAAAAGAGACUGCAUAAUAGAAAUAAUCAUAAAAUAUUAAAGUAAUAUAUAAUUUGCAUAAAAACUUGAAAACGACUUAUAUUGUGAAACAAAAAUUUUUUUCCAAAACGCUUUAUAUUUUGAAACGGAAGAAGUAUUAUCAAUACUAUAUUAUUCGAAUAAUGUUCGAUAAUAAGGUUUUAUGAAUAUACCUUUUCCUUAAUCAUAAUUUGGAACCCUUGAUCAUGUGGCGUACAAACACUUCACAAGCAGGAAUAUUUGAAUUGUAAAUUUUGAUAAUAAUGAGGAUAUAUAAUCACAUGACGCAUGUUAUAUCUCUACUCCAUUGUCGGAGUUAGAUUGAUAACUCUUUUGAUAAUUUUUUGCUGCAUAGAAGAAAUAUACAGUUUUGAUUGUUAUAAAUUCCGAAAUUAUAUAAAAAAUGAGAUAUACCAUAAUCUAUCUCUUACCGUUAAAUUUAUUGUCAUUUUAUGUCACUAAUUAGAUAUGUCAUGAUGCAAGUGCAUACAUGUGUCUUGAUGGAUUUCAUAGGUGUAAAAUUGUUUAAUAGUUCUCUUAACUUUACCCAACAUGACACAACGUUGUGCUGUGCUUUGUGACUACUGUCAUUAUUUAUUAGCCUAAUUUAUAGUUAUAAUUUAAGUUUUGUAGAUUCGUCGGAAUUAACCGUUACAAUGGGUGCAAUGAACCAUAUAUUUAAUAAAUGCGUACAUUAUAGUUUAAUAUUCUAAAAGUUUUCUUAAAGCCAUGAAACUAGUGUGGACAAAUUAUUCGUCUUUAGUAGUAGUAGAAGGCUAAAAGCAACUUGAACGUAAUGGUUUUGAUAUGUGGCAAUUUACCAUGGCAGCAAAAUCUUGUAGAAAAUAUUAUCAAUCGGAAAAGGGUAAAGGUUAAUAAACAUAAAUAAAAUCAAAAUUGUCAAAGAGCCAAUAUAACAAGCUAGCAAAAUUAAUGAUUGAUAAAAAAACACUAAAAAACUGAGAGAAAGUGAUCAAAAUCGAUAGAAUAUAGCUUUAUAUAUAUAUUGUUGAUAAAAAAAUUAACACAUUUUCUCUUAAAAAAUAAAAAAAUAAACACAUUUCUAUAUUUUUACGUUUUAUGUAUUAGUUCCUUUUUAAUAUUUCAUUCAUGUAUUGUUCAUCAUUUAGUUAUUUGUUAAUUUUUUUUGAUAUCAUAAUGUCAUUUACUUCAGUUUAGUUAUGUAUGUGGUCAUUUGACAAUUUUCUCUAAUCUUUCUUACCUUUAUCUUUAUUCUUUAAUAUUAAAAAGAUAUUUCUCUAUGUUUGUCACACUAUUAAAAAGAUAUUUCUUCAUAUGUUUACCUUUAACAAAAACAAUAUCUGUUUUUUUUUUUUUUUGUUACCCUACUAGAAAGAUAUUUGUUGUGAUGCUUUUUCUGUCAUCGCCCCAAUCUAGUCAAUAUACCAAAAUUAAUUAAUUUUUUUUUGUCAUCUAAAAUUUUUAUUGAUUAACUUGUUAUGGAACCGAGGUGGAAUACAAACGCCCAAAAGAGGGAAACAAAACCGGCAGACGACAUGAAUGUCCCCAAAGUCAUAGCCAAAGGAUAACGAGAAAUCCCCGGAAUCUAAACCUUAUGAAAAGAAAACUAAAGAUACUGAAAACACAAAGCUGAAUUAUUUUAACAUAAACCGAAAGUGGACGAAACAUUCAACUUAUUUUAACCUAGUCAAUAUACCAAAAUUAAUUACUCGAAGACAAAUCUUACAUAUAAUAUUAAAUCUUAUAAUGAAAAAGUCUAAAAGCGUAUGACUUGACUCCGAGGCCUAGAAGACUUGCUUUAAGACUAGUCAAUUAGGAAGUACAGAAGCAAUGUAUAAAUCUCAACCUCUUCGUGAUAUAUUCUUCUUUCUUAUAGCCAACUAAAUUACAAGUCUACGUUAAUGCAACUAUUACAAAUUCAAAUAUUGGUAGAUAAUAUUGUACUUACCACAAAUUUUUAAAUCUCCAUGAUUCAUACAUUUAAAAAGACGACUGUAUUCUCAUUGCACUAUAAAUAUGUUUAACUUGCAUAUAUUCAAAGUGUAUACAAGUCUUUUUUUUUUUUUUUUUUGGGCAAAGAGUGUAUACAAGUCUAACUUGCAAUAAUUAGUGUAACAUUUUCUUUGUGUCUAAAUUGCAACAAUAAGUGUAACCACUUCUAUCUUUUUUUUUAACAAAUUAAGGGGAGUGUAUUCAAUAGAGGAUUUGAAAUGAUUUGUAUUAAAAUUUUAAAUCCUAUAUUAUUCAAACAUGAAUUCUAAAAAAAUUUCUAAAAUCAAGUGUUAUUGGAUUAGUGAUUUUAAAAUUUACAAUCAAAUCCACUGUUAUUGGAAACAUUUUAAGUUGUAGAUUUGAAGUGACUUGAGUGACUUUGGGUGGGAUUUCAGAGAAUAUCUUAGUUAAAAAUUCAAACAUCCAAAUCCCAUGGUUUUAGGUGAGAUUUGGGAGAAUUUUAAUAACAAAUUUCCUAAUUCACCAAAAUUCACCAAAAUCAUCUCAAAACUCAUUAAAACUCAAAUCACUCUAAAUUCUUUCUUCAAUACAUCCCCCUAAGAAACUUUGGUUUUUAGCUAUUCUAAAAAUUCCAUCGAAUCCAUCAAACUGAUGUUACAGUUUAUUGCUUAACACAUACUCCCUCUGUUCCUAGAAGAUUGACUUUCUAGAGAUUUCACAUUUCUUAAGAAACAAUCAUUGUUUAAUUAUUUAUUUUUGUUAAAUAUUUUUUAAUAAACUAUGAAUCAAUAGUAAUCUGAAACAGUUAAUCAUUACGUCUUAAAAUCUACGAUUUAUUAAAAUCAAUUAAUUAAAAAUUAAAAAAAAUCUAGAAAAUCAAUCUUUGUGGAACAAACUCAAAACACUAGAACAUCAAACUUUAGUACAACAGUAGUCAUCUAAGGACAACAGUUUCUUUCUAUUUUAUAGUACAACGAUUUUGCUAAAGAAUAAAUAAGUUGAUUAUGAAAACAAUCAUUUCUUAUCAUAUUAUAAAAAUGUAAAGUUUUCAAAUUCAACUAUUCUUGAUAUUUUGCAAUACAUUUUUUUCCUUGUUUAUUACUCCCUCUGUUUCAUAAUAUAAGUCGUUUUAGGUAAAAGCACGCCGAUUAAGAAGAUCUAUUUUUUAAAAGUUCAACCAAUAAUAAAAGAGACUGCAUAAUAUAAAUAAUUAUAAAAUAUUAAAGUAAAACGACUUAUAUUGUGAAACAAAAAACUUUAUCCAAAACGUCUUAAUUAUGAAACGAAAGGAGUAUAUGUUAGUGUUAGAGCUUUUGUUUUUUGAAUGGUGACAAAAAUAUCAAUUUCCAUUAUAACUUUAAUAAAGUUUUUAUUUCCACUAUACCUUUAAAAUAUACAUUUUUCAUAAAUGUCAUAACAAAUCAUUGUGAUCACACUUCUACAUCUUUCACUGAAUUAUAAUGGAUUUGUGUAUGUAAAAACAAUUUUAAAGCAACUGAAACCGAGAAUAAAACUUUACUUAUUCAUGUAUCUUUUACCCAAAAGAAGAGGAUAAAAACAUUACAAAAGUGAUAAUAUGACUGAAUCUCAUAAAAUUCAAAAGCUAAAAAAAGAUGGCGGUUAAAAAGCUAGAAAAAGAGUGAGUGUAAAGAAAUUUAUUUUCCCAUAGAUUUUGGCAACAAGACUGCGACCCAAAUCUGAACAGACUGACACAUAAUUGUGUUGAAGUCACGCUCCCUCACAGCUAGGAACAUUAUCAUUCAUCACCACCAUGUGCAUUUAUGUGCUCAUCAACUAUUUUUACAUUUAAUAUUCUCCAAAAACAUUGUAUUAUUAAGAAAAUGAUGAAUAAUUAGUUAAUUACAAUGAAUAAGUUUACUUUUAAUAACAUCAGAAUAUUCUUUUCAUAAGAGAUUACAUAUAAUUAUGAAAUAAAGUAUAAACGGAUCAUUUGUAAAAGCGUAUUAAAAGUGAUUAGUUUGAUUAUAGGAAAUUUUUUCCAAGUUUUGUUCAAAGUCAGCAAAGUCGAACCCAUAUUUGUCUGCGGAAACUUCAUGCGUCUUUGUCGCCAAUUGCCACAUAACGUUGGAAGUUUAUUCCAUAGUCAAUGGACGACGAUGGAAGUUAAUUUCUAAAAUUUUACCAAGAGCGACGGGAAAUAUGCAAGCCAAUGAUUUAUAAUGAUCACUUGCACAUAUUGCAUAGUCAACUCAACUCUAUAACUUAUUAAUACUAUAAAAAUUGGAUAAAAAUUCGUCGCUAAUUAAGCACAUUGCAUCAAAUCAGAACCGGUCCAACGUUAUCAAAAACGGUACUUAAAAUUAAAAAUUUUUGUUAUCAUUUUUGAAUGUUAUAAAUUUAUAAACGUAAAGAACAUUAAAAAUUCAAUGGUAACGAUAAAAAAAAAAUGUUAAUCAUCAAAACCAAACUAAAAAAAUAACAAAUUUUUGGAUGUAAUUAAAUUUCAUCAUUUCAACAACAUUUUAUAUCAGUAAUUGGAUGUCACACAAGUACGAAUGAACACAAUUUGGAAGAUGGUCACAUUCACAUAUAAUAAAUUAAUCUUUUUUUUUUGUCAAUAAGAUACAUUUUACUGGAUUUGAAUAUAGAUUGUGACAUCCUUUUACCAUCUUAUAAAUACAUUUCUUAUUUUUGUAUUUUUUUGUUAUAUGUUAGGGUUCCUACGUUGACAACAAAGUAUUUAUAUACGUUUAACAAGCAAUAUAUGUAAACAGGUAGAUGGUUCGCCGACCUUUCAAACCGAAAGAAGUCGAUAGCACUAUUAUGAAGACCGAUUAAUUAAGUUUGAAUCGAGUUUUGAAUUCUAAAAAGCCGGUUUAUUUAAAUUAUUUAAUAACAUCCUACGUCGUACGUACUUGGUUGAUUAUAUUUUAAUGUAUUUUAUUAGCAUUCUUAUGGAUUCAUUCUUUGUUUCCUUGUUGGACAAGGGAUGCUUAAUUACGUAUUAUAAUUCGUAGGGUUUAUGUUUAGAGAAUAAAACGAUUCAUCUACAUUUGACAACAAAACGAGCCUUUUGUUAUAUAGAAUAUGAAUUAGCCUAAAUACAAAACUAUAUAUCAUUCCUCUUCCAAGUUGUUACGUUUUGGUUUAGUUUCUUUAUGUUAAACUUGAUUUGCUUCUCAAAGUUUGGUGAGAACUUUUAACUCUAAAAUGAUUCUUAAAUUCUGUGUUCGUUGAUGAAACAUAUUCUCUGUUUUAGUUUGAUUCUAAUUAAAAUUUAGAUAUCUUACGAUGCAUUUCAUGAUAUUAUUUUUAUGGUCAAUUUUAUUUUAUGAAGUAUAGACAUUUACAUAUUAUUAACAAUGUUAUUUAUCAAAUUGGAAUCCGACACAAUUUCUGGGGUAUGAUUUAUAGGAGAAAGCAUCCGUAAAACGUAAUACGGAGUGAAAACAAAUUCUUUUUCUUUUAUAUUCGUAUUAUUUAAUGGUUAACUAUCUCAAAAUAAUCAAAAACCAACCUCAAUAUUUAUUAAUGUGUAAUAAAAAAUUUAUUAGUCAGUCUUUGAUCGUAAAACAAACUAAAAAAAAUUGUACGAUAAGUAAAUAUCCUCUCUUUAUUUUUCUGGUAAAAAAACUCAAUAUCAGUAAAAAAUAAAGUUGAGUUAAAAAAAAAAAAGAAAAAAUAAAAAAAAGAAGUAAAUUUUUUAACACGAUAAGAGAAAGAAAAUAUCUUCCUCUCGGCGAUAAAAAUAGAGAAAGCUAACAGUCCCGUUUAAGCGUGUGACCGGCGCGUGGCGGCUUAGAUAGCGUCGGCGUCGGUCCUUCUUGUUAGUCUUCUGUUUUUUCUUUGUCGUGUUGGAGCUGUCGUCGUUGUUGGCGAAGUGAAGAUUUUUCUGGAUCUUAGAUCUAAAAAGGCUUGGUUAAGGGUUUCGAUUCGUCGGAGCCUUUGGCCUUUUGCGUGGUUGGAGUUUCUUCUCGGUGUUGUGGAUGUUGUGGUCUCUUCCAUGGUCGUUUCAGUUUUGGGUCCGACGAAGGUGAUGAGAGAUGGUACUUGCCGUGGCUAAUGUUUGCUGGAGGUCUGGCUCUCCUUCUUUUGAUGGGGUGCGACGGUAUCUGGUAUCUUAGCGUUUGUGGUUUGGCUACUGUCUUCUUUGUGCUUUCGUUAGUUUCGUUCUCUCCGAUUUCACUUGUGUUCAUGUCUUUGUGCCGUCAUUGAUGGGUGGUUGGAGAUUGUUUUGGGAUUCUGUUCUAUAUCCAGUCUUUUGUGGUUUAGCAUCGUUUUCCUUUGCCUAUUCGUUGUCUUGUGGAGUAAGUUUGUUUUUCGAUCCGGUCCGUUCUCUUGCCGUCUUCAGUCUUUGGUUGGUUGCGGAUUUGUUUGGGCUCAGUCCUUGUCUCUAUGCUAUAGAUCUGAUCGAGAUCUCUAUAUUGCUUGGGUAUCUUUCUUGGCGUUGUCCGAUCUUGGUUUUCUUUUGCCUCGAUUUCGCCGUUUCAAGGAGAUGUUUGGUUCUCUUCUUGCUGGAUGGGAUGCUGCAAUUAUUUGAAUUGUGAGGUAGUCUUCUUUUGUUAUAGGAGGAGUCGCUAUCCGGUGUUGUGGAAUUGAUCUUCCCCUUCGUUUAGCCACUACUGCAAGCUUUUCUAUUAUUUGGAUUGAUGGUAGGCAAAGCCUCUUGUGCUAGAUUCUGGUUAUAGUUUUUGAUCUUCCAUGCUUCAGUUUCUCUUUUGCCCUUCCUUGUAUUUCGCUUUGUUAUGCAUUUGAAGUUGUGUUUUUAGGCUUCCCAUACUCUUGGGCUUUAGACUCCGAGGAUUUCAUGUUAUCCGUCGGCUUAGAUUUUGGGGUUAUCUUGUUAAUCGCCAGCUUUGUAAAACUUAAUCUAUUUAUCUUUCAGUUAAAAAAAAAAAAAGUUAUAAAAAGAAGUGGUUUAUCUAACAAAUGUUAAGUAACCUAUUCUGGUAUAAUAUUGUUCACUAACCAUACAUAAUCAUAAAAGGGAAAAAACCCGAAAAAACCGCCAUUUAUUUUUUUUUGACCGUUUAAUACCUAUAGUUUUAAAUUUAGAAUAAAAAUACCUCGUUUAUUUUCGGUUGCCUUUUAAAUUCAUUGUUUUUAAAAUCUUGGUAAUUUCGGACCCGGGACUUAACAGCUGUUAAUAGACGUAACGGAAUGGUUUUAACCAUACGUUUUUAAAUAUAUAAAUACAAUAGGUUUACAACAGAUUACGUAUUUGUUGUCUUGGUCUGGUGGUACAACCCUUUAAUUUUUUUUUUUUCAUUUUUUUUCCUUUUUUAUCUCACUUCGUCUUCUCACGGAUCCCUGCAAUCGAUUUUAUUUUUUUCAAUUCAGUUCUCAUCAUUUAUGGUGGUGGUGAUGAAGAGAGAUGUGAUUGAUGGGAGGAAGGAUGAAGAGAGAGUUAGGGAUUUUGGUUUAAUGGUGGAGAUUGAUGGGGAAGUAAAGGAAUUGAGGAGUUUUGAGGAAGAAGAAGUAGUGGCUAGAGAUGAAAUCGCCAUUGACGCAGAGAAAAACUUAGUUUUUUUUGGUGAAUUUGGGAGAAAUUUUGAGGAGAGUGUGAGAUUUUGUGAAAAAGGUGAGGAGGCAAAAAAAAAAAAAAUUGUACGAAGAAGAUGAAGUGAAAUGAAAAAAGCAAAAAAAAUAUUAAAUGGGUUGCAGGCGGUUUCGAACCCUUCAGCUAGGGAUUAAGUAAGACGUGGGUUACCACCAGAGACACAAUAAGUGUGGAAACACAAUCAGAGACAAUGAAUUCUACGUACGGUUAAAAGUUAACUCCGUUAAACAAUUUCGUUACGUCUAUUAGCGGCAGUUAAAUCCCGGGUUCGAAAUUACCAAGAUUUAAAAAAUAAUGAAUUUAAAAGGCAAACGAAAAUAAACGAAGUAUUUUUAUUCCAAAUUUAAAACUAUAGGUAUUAAACGGCCAAAAAAAAAAUAAAUGGCGAUUUUUUCAGGUUUUUUUUCCAAUCAUAAAAUAACAAAAAUAAUUAUCUAAUUGGUCCCAUUACAUCAAUUAAUAAAUAGCUGGUAGAUAAAUAUAGAAAAAGUGAUAAAACAAUCUCCUUCAAGAAAAAGAUAUCCCAGUGGGCGACUAGGGUCAAUGAAAAUGAAAACAGAGACAAAUGGCAAUCCGUAAUUAUUCACAUUUAUGUCAGGGUACUUUCGUAACUUCUCAGCUGACCGUUUCUCGAAUCUGAUUACGUGGCAGUCAUCACAAAUGCCCACAAGAGCACUUCGCUGAAACUCAAUCUCAGCCGUUAGAUCAGAAUCCAAUUCUUUUCAAUACGGCAAGUUGAGAUCCCCAAACCCAUCCUGCUUAACCAUGGUUAAGUCAAUUAACCCAACACACAGAAAUCUCCUAAAAUCCCCAAAAAAGGUCACAAACUUUCUUAAUAAUUACAUAAAAUGCCAUUUAGAGGUUUAGCUAUAAAUUCGUCUUCUGAGACUCGCUAGGUUUGCCGAACCAAUCACCCUUAGGGGACACUUAAGAGAGAAACAGCAAAAUCCUUCUAAAAAAUUCUUCAAUCUUCUUCUCGAAGCUUCUCCAAUGGCGAUUACAUCUUCUAGAACCACCAGAUCAAACGGAUCUGCUCUCCGAUCCAAAUCACCGUCCGGUCGAUUCUGCGGCGUAUACUCAUCAUCAUCAUCUCCGUCGUCGUCAGGUUUCGCUUCUUCCACAAGCUCAAGUUUCUCGUCGCCGUCUACAGCGUUUUUCAGCAGCCACAAUCAAAACAACCACCACCAUAACCACCAACACAGAUCUGCAUCUCCGACGCGUGUGAAUCUAUUCACAUCAGCUCCGAUGACGCAAUCGUUUCGUUACUCGAUCGAUAACAGAUCUAUAUCACCGAAUCGAUCCAUUGCUGUUUCUUCCAAUAAACCUAGUAAUCAUCAUAAGAUUCCAGAUUCGAGAAGGAGAUGUAUGUGUUCUCCGACGACGCAUCCUGGUUCUUUCCGAUGUAGUCUACACAAGAACGUCGCGAAUCCACACGGUCAAGGUACAGGAACGUAUCCGACGAAUAGUUUGAAUAUGCGUAGAUCUGCGAUGACGAAUUCGCUUGUGAGAAUCGGUGGUGUUGAAGGUGAAUGGGUGAGAAGAGCUUUGACUACGUUGAUUAGACCAUCGUCACAUCAACUCAAGAGAAGAUCUGCUUAUGAGCCUCGUCGUAGCAGACUCGCGUCUAUGUCGAAAGCAGAAGAUCUUUGAAUCUUUCAGGUUUGUUCUUGUUUUUGAAAUCGGCCACAGGAAAAAAAAAAUACUCAGAUCUGCCAUGGAAGGAGUGAAAUUCGGAGCUGAGUCAUACCGGACCGAGUGAAAUUCGGAGCUGAGUUAAACCGGACCGAGUUAUGUAAACGGUGACCAAGACGACACCGUUUUUGUUUUGUUGGGUGGGAGAUGAGAUGAUGAUGAUGAUGAUGCAUUGUACAUACACAUAUUUGCUUAUUGAAGCAGAGAAAAAUAUUUCGCAAGUCGAAAGUAUCUAGAAAUCUAAAAUUGGAAAACAGUAGUGACAAAUUGGGUAAUUAAAAUCUGGAAAAGGACUUAGUAGUAAAUUUUUUUGGAUCCAAUUUUGCAAUUCUCUCCAUCGUUCGUUGCCUUCACCGUUAGUUUGUUCCGUCAAGUCAACGUUCUCCAUUCGCCGUUGACCCGUUCCGUUUGCCGUUAACCGUCGUCGUGUGUUAUGUGUGUUCCGUUAAUAUUCCCCAGGUAUGUGUUGUUCGUCGUGUCAGGUAUGUAUGUAUUUUCCGUUUCUUAUUUAUUUGGUUAAUUUUGUUUUAUUUUUUUGUGAACGUUUGAUUUUUAUUUUUUUUAGUUUGGUUUGUUUUUUUUCAGGUUUCGUACAAUGAGGAGAAGAAGAUUACUUAGUUUAACCGUUACGUUCAACUUUGGAAUAUUUUGGGGACUUUUGUGGACUAUGGCAAAAAAAAUGAAAUUGGACUAAAGAGAAGAAUCAAAUAUUUGAAAGAUUUUGAUUCGUGAAAAAAUUAAUUUUGGAGCUAAAGAAUGUGAAAGAUUCAAAGGAAUCAGAUUUUUCCUAAACAUCUCAAGAAGUAAAAGAUUCGUGGAACUAAUUUGUGAAUCACAGAUUGAGUGAGAUUCCUGAAACGGUCGAGGUUAAAGUGAAAGAUUCAAUGGAAUCUUAUUUUUACCUUAAACAUCUCAAGGAGAUGAUUGAUAUGAUAGGGUAAAUGAUGAAAUUUUUGAGGGUAAGUUUGGAAAGUAAAAGAUUCUUGAGGGGUAUAGUUGAGAAAAGGACAGCUGGCGGAUGAAUGGAAAACAGCCCAACAUGAAAUUAAAUUAAAGGAACAAAUCGAUAAAAAGAAUAUUAUGUUGGGGAUGCAACGUCUACCUUAUCUCCUUAUCUCGGGAUUAAAAAGUUGGAUUAUAAUACUCUCCAUCUUACGAAGAUAAAUUUGUCACAUAAAUAUAGAAGUUUUGUGUUUCUAAUGUCAAAUUUAAAAUAAUUUACCUGUUUUAUUUUUAUUAAACAACAAUAAAUAAUAUACUUUUUAAAAUAUGUUAAAAGGUUAAAAUUAUCAUUAUAUAUUAUUUCUUAAAGAAUGUGAAAUUUCUAAAAAUCUUUGUGGGACGGAAGGAGUACUAUUUUACGCAUAGGUAGAUUUUAUAGAUCCCAUUGAUUAAUUAGUUAAUAAAUAUUCUUUUCGUUUUUUUAUAAGUGAUGUUUUAAAUUUUUAAUUUUGUUAUUAAAUAGAUGAUGUUUUCAAUUUUCAUUGCAAAAUUAAUUACUUUUUAUUGGUUUUGACGUUUUAUAUUCUGUAUGUUAUUUUUUUAUUGGUAUAUUAGAUAAUAAAUGAUGUUUUAGUUUAAAAAUAAACAAAAAUUAAAUGAUUUAUUAAUCUAUGUGUAUUCUCCUAAAACAUCACUUAUAAAAGAACGGAGGAAGUAUUAAUUAGGUUUGAUUUAGUUGACUGAUUUGAUAUGGAGUAUAUCGUAAUCUCUAACUACUAGGUUCUAAGUAACAUUUUCUUCACGGUAGAUGAUGGAUUCUUUUUCUAAGUUAGAGCAUCGAAUAUUAGAAACUGAGCAUCACCAAUUCAAUUAAGAGUGAAUUCGAUAAAGAAUUUCCAUCGGAUGGAGAUUUUUCUCCUAUGGAUGUUAAUUGGCAUAUGCAGUCAAGAUCUGAGUAUCUUAAGGGGCAACAGAAAUGGAAAAGGAGGCAGCCAUCGAAAUCGAAAUCACGCUUCACUGUUGCACCAAGGGCUCAGGACUCAGCUGCCAUCACAAAGCUGACAUACAUGAAGAGUGGGAAAGAGAUGUCUUUCGUCAACCCAUGAGUUAGCAGCUUGACAUCAAGGAGUCAACAGCUUCACUCUACUCUAUCUUCAUCUUUCUCAUUGACCUUGAAACAUAUUAUUCUUAUGCUUGUUUUCUGGGACGCACUGUCAAUUUGGAAAGUCUCUAUAUUUUAGCUUCCACUCUAUUUAAUUUCAUAAACCUUGAAACAUAUAAUAAAAAAAAAAUUGAGGUUUUAUUUUUCUUAUAAACUUUCUUUACUCGUUUAGUAUACUGUACUUAACUAUUUUUUAUAUAUAUGUUAACUUUUUUAGUAUUUGUUUUCGUCAUUGUUUUUGGAAGUUAAUGAAUUUAUUUCAUAGUUUAUUAGAUGUUUUGUAUUCUAUUCAUCAUUAAAAUAUAUGAAGUUUUUUUUUCUCGUAAUCUGAAGAAUUUAAACUUACACAGAAAAUAUCACGAUUUUCUUGGAGUUCGUCUAGGACCAUUAGAGGUAUACAUGCCAAUUGUUUCUAAAGUUCACUAGACGUUUUAUGUAUGAAAAUACCUUCGACACACUCAACUCAUAAAAAAUACAAUUAACUUGGGGUCUUAAUGGUAAUCGAGGAAUCCGGCUGAAUUGCUGAAUCUGGCUGAAUUUAUUUGUGAUAUUUUGCAGAAUAUGGCUGAAUAAACUGCUGAAUCUAGCUGAAUUUUUUAAAUAAUAAUUAAUCAAAUAAACUUCUAAAGUAUUUAAUUAGAAAAAUAUUCCAACAAAAUGAUUUAAAAACGAAAUAUUAUGAAAAACUUGUAAAUUGUAAAAACUAAGAUUGAAUUUUGAAGAAAUUUAAAAUUAUUGUAUUAGACAGAUAACCAAGUUACCUAAACACCAAUCUGAUUUAUGUUUUUAAAUUAAUUAAGGCCAUGAAUGGAUGUUGUUUUUCAAUUUGGUUUCUGGAUUUUGUUUUUAGUUUUUGAAUUUUAGAUUUUAGUUUUAGAUUUUGUAAAUAGAUUUUUGUUUUUGAAACCCCAAAAAAGUGGUUUUGGUUUUUGAGAAAAAUAACGUAGAUUGAGUAAAAACUAGAUUCCCUAAAUUAUAGGAAAACUAAAAAUCUAAAAUCUUGAAUGGAAGAUCACAACAAAAAGGUGUUUCUAAAUUGUAGAGAAACCAAAAUUUGAAAAACUUGAUUGGUGUGAAAUGAGUUUUUCCAAAACAAAAACUAAAAACUCUUUCAAAAACUACGAAACAGUCAAAGCCUAAAUUCGAAAAUAUCUAACAUUUCUUAAGAUUAAAAAAAUUAUCAAAAGUUGUAAGUUAAUAUAUUUAAAGUUUUAUCAAACAUAAUUAUUAUAUUUUUGGUGAUUUAUGGUGAAAUCUAAAGUUAAUAUAUUUGAUAAUUUAAUCAAACAUAAUUAUCAUUUGAAACCAUAAACUCUUAAACUUAAUUUUCAUUUUUGAAUUGUAUUUCGCUAAUUUUUAAUUUUUUUAAUAACAACUUUUACUAUUGAAGUUAAAUAUUUAUAGUUUCAAGAAUUAUUUAAUUUUUGAUUAAAACAAAAAAAAAACCUAACAAAACAAAAUUCCUCAAGAAUUCUACUAAUUCCUCAAGAAUUCUACUAAUUCCUCAACAAUUCCUCAAGUCUUCAAAUGAUGUAACAUAAUUUUUUUCCACCAAAAUUCCUCAACAAUUCCUCAAGACUAAUGUUACCAUUUACACCCGCGCGGGGAAGAGCAUCUCAAAGUAUGGGGCAAAAGAUCAAGCGCUUUUACUUUGUUUGGUGCUACAAAAUUUGUGCAAAAUAAGUUAAUGAUGUAAUUUUUUAAUAUCAUGUUUAUUGAUUACUUUUUUUUUGGUAGGUCAUGUUUAUUGAUUACUUGAGUCAAUCAAAUAUCACAAAAAUUACUGAUAUGAUUCUAAAAUAUUAUUUAAUCAUGUUAUAAACAAUAUGCUAAAAUAUGUUAGACUACUUACAAUGGUGUGUUUAAUUUUUAUAUUAAACUGAUCGUUACAAUGGUUUGUUGAAAAAAAGAAAAAGGCUGAUGUGGAUUAAUUGGUGUUGAAUUCUUUCAACAUGUUGAAUCCGUAAAAGAGAAUAUUAACAUGUACACGUGGCGCCUUUUAAUUGGUAAAGAAAAUUACUUUUGAAUUAGAUAUAAAUUAAUGUAUUUGCUAUUGUUUUAUUGGCUGGUAAGGAUUUUUGGUUUUUUCUUUCUACCAAAAUAUUUAAGAUAAAUUAUCUUAUAGUAAAUAAAUUACUUUUUAUUUUUAUUUAUAUCAAAAUUCAUCAUUUUUUAUACUCUAUAAAUAGAGACUUAUUUCAUUUGAUUUGAGCAAAGAAAAAAAAUCAUUUUUUUGUGAAAUUGAUCCCAACAAUAAUCCAUUUAACAUCCAAAAUACUUCUAAUUACUCUUUUAAACGCACAAUCCUAUCCAAUCCGAGUCCGAGUUUACUAUUUGCACUUCGGACAAUAUUAUCCAAUCCGAGUCCCACUAUUCAUAAUGAAAUUCUAUAUGUUCUUCUUCUUUAAUAUUACUUUGAUUAUUUUUUUUAAGAAUUUAAAAGAAAAAUUAAAAAAUUAUUAACCCUUAACUAUUUUAUUUCAAUUGUUAUUGGUAUAUAAUCAUAAAACAAAAAUAAAAAAAAAAGAAAAUAAUAUAAAAUAAAAGAGUAGGGUAGAGUGUUGAAUUUUAUUAAACAAAACUACUGUAAAGAUUAAAAUUGAAAUGAAUGUUGAAUUAUUAGGUGGAAGAGAAACAAAAUGAUAUGGAGUGUUAAAAGUUAAAAAAGAGGGUGUUGAAUAAAUCAACCAUUGUACAUAGUCUUAGGCGGUAAUUCUAGGUUCAGAGUUGGCCUAUUGUUUAACUAAUAAUUAUUCAUAGAUUGGUCGAUAGCUUAUACCAAAACUGAUAUUUUUUAAUCGAAUUUUUUUUUUUAUGGAUUUUAAAAGUUUUUAGAAAGUUUUUAUUGUUUAUGCGGAUGUGAAAAUGUUUAGACAGUCAUUUUUUAAAUUUUAGUGAAGUAUAAAAACGCUAUUACGAGUUUAUUUUGAAGCUUAGAAAAUUUUAUAACUCUUGUAUUUGGAACCAAUUUUAACUGGUUAUACACAACUUAGUAUGUAUAUAGAAAAAGCUAUCAGUAUUAUUUUAGUUAAUGGGUAUACUAUUGCAAUAGAAAAUAUUAUCAAGAAAUUUUAACUCUAAUCAUAUUUGUUUUUCGUAUGAUGUAAUCAUUAGUCGACAUGAGAGUUGUUUGCAAGAUAAGAUAUUUUGUAAAGUUCCAGCCGACCUCCUAACAAAGCUAAGCAAACCGUAAGAAAUGAGCUUCUAGGCUAUAUAAUUCAUAAUUUCAUAUUAUAUGAACUAUAUAAAAUAUAAUUAUAUACUUAUUUUCUUCCCAAAUUAUUUGUCACUUGUGGGUCUUCCUUUUGGAUUUCGCUUUUCUAUCUUUAGUAAAUUUGCUAAAAUCGUCUUCUCCAAGUUUAAGGUUUAAUAGAAAAAAAAAAAAAAAAAAUUCCAACUGGCCCUCAAAAAUAAAAAAUAAAAAAUAGAUAUUCUAAUACAUGAUCAUCGAUCGAAGACUUUUCGGUUUCAAGUUAUUACAACAUACAAUAAUUACUCAUUCUAUUUGUAGUGGUGGUUCGUCGACUAGUGAACCGUGGCGACUCGCGAGUAUUCGUAUUGGCAAAUCUUCUUCAACUUCAUCAAACAUGAAUUCUUGAGACGUCUUUGAGAACAUCAGAUCCUAUUUUUUAUCUUUGAGAGAUCUUAUUUUCUUUUCAAAGAAAACUGCCAAAUACUUGAUCAACCAAAAAAAAGAAAAAAAAGACUUAGUUGAUUCUCUUUCAAAUCGUAUUAAAAUAGAAAUUUCAGAUAAAAACAAUAAUGGGGGCUAUCAAUUUCUCAUCCACUCGAUAACAGCUCAUCACGAACUAAGCAACUACUAUUUAUCUCAUUAAUUUAUUAAAAAUGUUUUUUCUUUAAACAAAAAGUAUCCAAAAUGCUAAGGUUUUUAGCUUACUUAUCUAUGUUGAUGUUGCUAUCAAUUUUGUCAACAUGUUAUUAUCCGAAUGUGUAUCUAUAUUUUAGGAAAUAAAGAUAAAGCUAAAGAGAAACGAUCGGAUAAUGUCUUUGGAUUAUGAUGUCAGGCUAUGAUUAUUUACAUUCACAUUCAUGCACUUUAUGAUUUAUCUAACAAAAAGCAAAGCAAAAAACAAAUUUAUUAGGUUUUUUGUGACAAAGAAAUAGGUGUUGGGAUGUGAAAGGACUCUUGACCCACAAGCCACAACAAUUUUAUGACACCACAUGUGAUGUCUGAUGAGACCACAAAAGAGAUAAGGUUUUCUGUUUUUGUGUUGUUUUGGGUUUUGGCCAUUUGCAUCACCAAAUGUCAAAUCCUUUUGAAAUUUACGAUUUUCAUUUUUCGGAGGCAUUACUUUAAGGUUUUAUCGUUAGAAGUUAGAACCCUUUCACAUGUAUGACCCACAUACAUAUAUGAUAAGGUUUUAAAAUUUUCCUCACCUAUUAAUUAAGUUUUUCAAAUUAAUAUUCGAUCACGUAUCCCGAUCUUGCAUCCAUAUCUAUAUGCUCUUUCAUUGAAAGUCCUAAUUUAUAGUGAGGUUUUAGAUAUGGAUUAGCAAGUUUUGUGGGAGAAAAAAGUAUGGAAGUCACGUUCAUAAAAAGUGAAAACUAUAUAAAUUAAUUGAAAUUAAAUUCGUUUAGAAAAAGAUUUCGACAACGCAUCAACAACUAACAAAUAAAGAACAUAAUGUGCUACUAAACAUGGAAAAUAAUUAUAUUUCUAUGACGAGCUUUUGCGUGCGAGGGGAUCCGUCUUGGUUAAUCUUGACUACUUGCCCCAAGUUGGUUGAGAAUAAGGCCCAUUAUUUCUUAAUAACUUAUCGUUUAUGGUAAAUAGAUUCCUAAAUCCUAUCCUAUCUCACCCAUGGAUUCUUCAAUAGUUAAAUGUAAAAAAAUAAAAGUAAAUUUGAUAGUUAUUACAAAAUAUGUUAUCAUAGAAUUAUAUCAAAUAAGAAAUACUAAUCGUUUUAACAAAAAAUAUUUUGAAUAAUGUGAAGACCCAUUGGAUAUGGAGUAGUAAAAAUCCAUCGAAUAUAAGGAAAAAUAAAGAUGUGUUCAAUAAAAAUACUGAAAUAAGAAAAUAUUAAAGUAGUAGAGAGGAGGAAGGAGACGUGAUCUUUCUUUAUUAUCUCGUUUUCUUCUUUCUACGUGUGUUGCUUCAACUUCUCAAAUGAGAAGUAUAUAUAGUACAACAAAACUUGGAGCCUAAGCUAAUAUUUAUGAAUGGAUAAACUAUAAUGAAGAUAAACUUUAACUACUUAACUUGGGGACCAAGUGACGUGAGGAGAAGAUGUAAUGGAUAAUCAUCAUAAUAAAUAUCUAUUUAUAACACUCCCCUUUGAGUAUCCAUCACUAUCGAUUUAUUGCGUACUGCCUCGUUAAAAACCUUAUUAUGGGAAAAUCGUAUAGGAGAAAACCCAUGAUAAAGGAAAAAAGAGUACAGUGACGCAAUCUCCCCCUAGAAUAGACGAGUCUUGUUUUCUUUAUAGGUUUCGUAGAUGAUGCAUCUCGAACAUUCUCUUCGCUCUUUUUGAUCUCGUCAAUAUAUAACAAAGAUUUUGAAGAGAGAUAGACCUUCACUUCGAUGUCUAUCUUUUGCGUGUUAUUUAAUUUGCUGCCUCGUUAAAAACCUUGUCAUGGAAAAACCCAGUGGGAUAAAAACCAUGAUAAGGGAAAAAGAGUGCAGCCACGCUCAUCAUCAUAUGUCUCCCCCUGAAAGCAUCUUCUUCAAAAGAUGAAUUUUGAAUGGCGUAGCAGGCAGCGUCUUUGAACAAAAACUGCUACACUAUUACUUGGCUGGAUGUACUGGACAUCAACUUCUUGCUUCUUCUCAGACUCUUGGGUGCAAGAGAAGAAUCUUGAAGAAAUAUGUCUUGUCAUCUCGCUAUUGACAUAGGUUCCUUUGAGUUGGAAAAUAUUUGUAGCAGUGACUUGUUGUUGGCUCUUCAUUGGUGCCUAUAUUGCUUGCUUCUUGUAUAUGAUGAGGCAUCAAUCUGAGCCAUACAAAUUCUCGACAUGCUUCAUGGAGCGCAAUAAUUUUGGCAUGGCUUGAGCAAGCGGCGACCAAAAUUGGUUGUUGGAAACGUCACGUAGUUGUUGUUUUGCGAUAUAUAUUUAUAUAGAUCUGAUAUAGAUCCUCCAUCUGCAAAACCAACUAAAUCAAACUCGGGAUUUCUAGAAUAAAAUAAACCCAAGUCAAUUGUACCUUGCAGAUAGUGGAAGACACAUUUGAACUCAUUUCAAAGGUCUUGUCGGAGAAAAUGAAUUAAUCCUGCAAGUAGAUCAGUAGCAAAUGCUAGGUACAAUAUAUUCACUAGAUAUAUAAAUGCUCGUCAGCAUUUAUAUAUGCUAGCUACAAUUCACAAAAUAUAUAAAUACUCGUCAGCAUUUAUAUAUAGUGCUUCAUGAUCAAACUAUAUAGAGUCGACUUCUUUUAGAAGUGGCUAAUAUAACAUCUCUUUCUUUGGAUGUUUAGUUGGAAUAUCUUGAGACACUUUUGUCUUUCCAAGAUCUUUUAUUCCAAAUAACUCUUAAAGAGUUUUGAUGAUGUUCAAAAACAUCAUGCUUAUAAGUUCCCGGGAAUAUAACUAUGAUAUCAAAUAUUUUUCGGGGAUUAGUCCUACAGACAUCCCAAGAGACGCAAUUCAAGUCAUUUAUUUAUCAACUCAAUAUCGAGUGAUUUUGACAAAACCCGGCGCGACACACCAUUUUGUCUUAAGUAUUAUAAUACUCUUUUGAUGCUUGGACCAUGUGUCCAGGAAUUACUCGUUUCUAAUACGAAAUUAAUAUAGACUUGGCUGUCUCUUUGUUUAUUGGCCAAUAUAUAUCUCUUUACGCUCACAGAGCGGAGAUUUAUGAUCCUCAUUAAUUUUAUUUGUGCGCUAGAUCAUUUUUCUUGUCGACAUUGUGUUGUCUUUGGUUCCAUAUUUGCCGUAAUGACAUGGUUAAUCGAUAUCUCUUGAUCAUUACAAAUGAUCUUAUUCAGGUACCUGAUUUCGUCUUUAACCAUGCCAAUCGGUCUCUUUUUACUCCUCUUUAGGAGUCUCUUUGCUCCGCUUGAGGAGUCUCUAUGCUUCUCUUUAGAAGUCUAUACGCUCCUCUUUUAAGAGUAUAAUCCUCUUUUUAGUAAUAAUAUGCUCUCUUUUUUUCGAAGAUUUUCUUUAUAUUUGGAACCAAAGUUGUCUAUCACGUUUUUAUCGUGUUAUAGACAAUAAUAUGUCAUCCGCCAGAGACAUAAUUUUGUAGAGCAUUUUUAGCUAGGACAAGAGAUUUCCUAUGAACUUUAAGUUCAUAUGUAUUUAUACGAGGAUCAAUAAUUUCAUGAAAUCUCAUCCAUCAGCUUGUUGCAUUUGAUUUGCAAUUAUCUUGCAAUAGGCACAUCUCUCAUAAGAUGGCUCAAUAUUAUAGAGCAGAGACUCAUCUCUAGCGUCUAUAUAUUUCAUCCUUUUAGGAUGUUAAUUUUUAUGCGGUGCAGAGGAGCAUUUAUAUAUAUCUCACACCCAUAAAAUUCAAAAUGAGAAAUAUUUGAUCUCCAAUCAUGUAUAUAUAACAUUGGAGAAAUAUUUCUUAUAAAUCGUUGGCCUUGUAUAUAAUCAUUAAUACAUGCAAAACUGCAUGCUCCAUGUAAAAAACAUAGAGACUAAAUCACCAUGAAUCGUUUUGCAAUCUCUUGGAUUUGCGCUAUGAACGAUUCGCUUAAAGCUCAUUUUGAGAGUGAACAUCAUUUUUAGAUGUUCCACUUUAUCAAAAAGCGAUAAAUUUUAGGAUAUGACUUCACCAGAGUUAUUUCGCUCUGGGUGUCAAACUCACCAAAAUUUACCGACUUAUUGUCGAUGUGGGAUUCCUUUAAUUCUCCCCCUCGAGAUGAUAACUCUUCGAGUUCAUUCAUCUCGAACUGAAUCCCACUUUAGGAUCAAUAACAUAUCCAAUAUGGAUCAUGUAUUUAUUUUUAGAUCCUUAUAAAAAUAUGGGACUUGUAAUAACCCCUCCCAAGAUGAUGGCUUUUCAAACCUAUUUAUCUUGGCCCGAAUCUAUUUUUUUUUAGACCGGUUAUACACGGGGUUUAAUUUGGAGAAAUAUUACGGGAAUCGACCAUUAAUGAGCUUAUCAAAGAAAAAUGGUGAUUUGGCCAAAAAUCAUAUGUUUCUGGAGGCUUAGCCUACUACAGAAUUAAGGAGGAGGAGAUAUAUAACCUUCAACUCCGUAUAUAAUAUUAAAUUUAAAUUUAAAUGAAUUUAAAUAAAUUCAACAUAAAUUAAAUGUUACCUCUGAAAUGUGGACGGAAGCAUGCAGUGCUUGAAUAGCAUUCUCUUUGUUUAUAUAACGUGUUUAUAUAAAAUUUUAGUGAUAUUUAAUCACUCUUUUUAAGUUCCAAUUUAGGUCAUCAACAUAUAGAGCAAUGAUCACAAAUCUUGAUGGAAAUUUCUUAAUAAAGACGCAAGAACAUAUUUCAUUAUAAACAUACUCUUUGUUUAAGAAAUGAUCGCUUAAGCAAUAUAUCAUAUGCGUCCGGAUUAUUUUAAUACGUAAAGUGAUCGCUGUAAUUUGACCGUACAUAUUUCAUUAGACUUUGAGUCUAAUGGCUCAGGAACUUUAAAUCCUUCUAGGAUUUUUAUGUAUAUAUUAAAUCCAACGAUCCAUAUAAACAUGUUGUCACUACAUCCAUAAGGUACAAUUCUAAAUGAUAAGAGACUGUUAGGCUCGUUGUGUACCUGAAUGUAAUUGCAUCUAUGACUGGAGAAUAUGUUUCUUCAUAAUCAACUCCAAGUCUUUGAGAAAAACCUUGUGUAACAAGUCGGACUUUAUAUCGUGUGAUUUCAACUUUUACGCACGAAGACCCACUAGCACAUAACAGGUUUUACAUCUUUAGAUGUAGUGGCAAGAGGUCCAAAGACAUCUCUUUUAUUAAGGAAGAGCAAUUCAAUAUAUUGCACUUUUGUUUUUUCAAUCAGGCCUUUGCUGGCACUGAUACGGAUCUUGGAUCUGGAUCAUUAUUUUUAAUUGCAUUUUUCUACCGGGAUGGCUUAACCGGUUAUACUAUGCAAUAGCAAUUAGCAAACUUCUGUUUACUAGCAUAAAUAUUUUUACCAUCUUUAUUUUGCAUGAUAUAAUCAUACAUUUGUGUGUCUCCAUUGUGGUCGGACAUUCGAUACCACAUUAAUUUAUAGUCUCAAUAUAAUAAUUAUAAAGAUCAAUUUCUUUGAAACUACACGAGUUUCUUUGAGACUUUGGAGAACACGAAGCAUCGAUUAUUAUGAAUCUGAUGCAUUUGGAAGUCGAGAGGAUUUCUCAUCUAGACCUUCCAAUUAUUUUGCACUGUCUAAAAAUAUAUUGACAUGUGCUUUAUAUAUUCUCAUAAGAGAAAUAUAUUUUUGAUUUUAAAGACAUAUUUCAAAGUCUUUAAAUCUCAUAUAACACAUAUUUAUUCUUUACGAAUAAAAUAAAUUAAAAUACUUAAACACAUAAAUAUAUAAAAUUAAUAAUAUAGAGACCAAAGCCCUUUUGUACAAGAAUUCAGGAGGCAUCGCCUUCCAUUAAGAAUUCAAUAGGCAUAGCUUUCGUUUGAUCGUAGAGAAUGAGGCAGAGCCUACCAUAUAUAUUGAUCAAUCCGGAAAAAAUAUAAAUUUUCAUUUGAUCGUUAGGAAGGUAAAACCUACCAUAUGACGAUCGAUCCGGAAAAAGCAUAGCCAUUUAUUUUAUCGUAAAAGAGGCAUAGCCUACCAUAUAUAACGAUCUAUCCGGAAAAGACAUAGCUUUUUAUUUGAUCGUAAAGAAGGCAGAGCCUACCAUUUAUAACGAUCAAACCGGAAAAAGGCAUAGUCUCACGAUGUCUAAAAUAAUUAUGUUCUAUAAACAUAAAUAAAUUUAAAUAAUAUAAAUUUUUACUUACCUCGUAAACGCUCAAACGGUAAAGACAUCGUGCUGAUAACGUGUUGAAUAAAAAUACUGAAAUAAGAAAAUAUUAAAGUAGUAGAGAGGAGGAAGGAGACGUGAUCUUUCUUUAUUAUCUCGUUUUCUUCUUUCUACGUGUGUUGCUUCAACUUCUCAAAUGAGAAGUAUAUAUAGUACAACAAAACUUGGAGCCUAAGCUAAUAUUUAUGAAUGGAUAAACUAUAAUGAAGAUAAACUUUAACUACUUAACUUGGGGACCAAGUGACGUGAGGAGAAGAUGUAAUGGAUAAUCAUCAUAAUAAAUAUCUAUUUAUAACAAGAUGUAUAUAUGAGUGAAAUAAUAUAAAAAAAGAAUGGAUCUACAAACUAAACAAUCAACUUUAAGUUUAAAGAACGAGAAACAAAUAGAAACAAAAUUUUUCUUCAUCAAUGAAGUUUUAAAACUAAAAUUUAAAAUUUUAAACCAGUACAUGCCAUUGGGCUUCUUUGAUAACGAGAGGCCCAAUUAAUAAAGUUGAAAAACCUUUGUUUCUUGUUCAAGAAACUAAGAUCACAAUCUACGAACAAGCUUCGAUUCCCCAUCUCCAGUUCACAAGCAAGCUUCGAUUCCCGAAACUCUAGAAGCAAUUAGACGCGAUUGAUACUUUGAUUAAAGUUUGGAAGCAUGUUGACUCUCUGGUCGGGAGAUUCCCAUGGACAUCUUGAGAUCUGUGUUCGAACGUUUGAGGUUUGUGGAUUUCCACCGCGCUAAGAUCGUGUGUUCGAAUUGGUAUUCGUGUUCCAAACAAACUUUACCUCGAAAAAACACAUCUCCAUGGCUGAUUCUGUUUCCAGAGGAGGAUGGUAAUUGUGCUUUGUAUAACCCGGAGGAAGCUAGGGUUUACAAAACAAAGAGAGACUUAUCAAGAUUUCGAUUCUUGGCAAACUCAGGUAACUGGUUCUUAGUUCUAGAUUCUAAGUCCAAUAUUGUGGAAGUCGAAACUAACACAAUCAAGAUUUGUCUAGGGUUUUAUUUUAGGGAUACGAUAAUCGUGAAUUCUCAAAGAACAACAGAAACGAUUAUAACCAAAGAUGGCGUUCUUGAUAUUAUUAAGAAAAAGAUGACUUUGAUCGUACAAGAGUUUGAUCGUAAAAGGAAAAAGAUGUUUGUGCUGUGAGAGCUUUGCGUAGUGUAAAUUCUAGAGCGAUCUUGCCUGUCCUUCUGUGAGAGCCUUGAGUCUCUUUAUAUAGGGGUGAUAAACCGCCUCUCCAGCGAUAUUCUCGGAAGAUUUCUAUUUAUCUUGAAGUCGGCUUAGAAUAUCGCGGAAUAAGGAUAAUUUCCUUAUUCUUCGGAGUUUCUUGGAAGAUAUCCUGAUUUGAGUCGAUCCUUCUAGAUUCCCUCUUAUCAUUUCCGGGUAUAUCGGAAAUGAUGUCUUGCUUGGAAAUGAUACUUUUGAAGGCGAAUAUUUACUAAGUACUUGCCUCGGGUGUCUUUGAUGAUUUCGGCUCGGGCAGCUUGGACGAUGUCAUGACGCCCGACCCGAGCUGAGGAGACUUUGAGAAGAUUGGGCUCGGAUACUCUCGUCGACUGAGCUCGGGUACUUGAGGGGAGGCGGCUCGGGCGACUUGUGAAGUUGGCUCGGACGAAGGGAGAACCCAGCUCGGAUAUGAUGGCGUAGUCCUUUUGCCUCGGGCGAUUCUGCGAAGUCGGCUCGGGGUGAAAGGAAAACUUUCUUUGCGUAGUCCCGAGCUGUCACGGCAAACGUCCCCGAGCUAGUAUAGGAUGACCCGAGCCGUAUCAAUCGGCAUUCUACGAGCUAGUUCAGUGACUGAUCCCGAGCUGUUUUGGCAGUUCCCCGAGCCGGUUUGGUGAUACGUCCCGAUGUGUUAUGUCUUAGCUCGGACUUAAUGCGGGUGGAAUCCGACCCCAACAGUUAGCCCCCCAGCUCGUUGUCUUGAGGAGCAAGUGAUGAGCUUCAUGAUUAUUAGUCCGAGCAGUUUAAACAUUGUCCCGAGCUUAUCCUUGUACGCCGAGGCUAUCGGAGAGUUUGAAUCCUUCGGUGGUCUGAAAUCUCCUGACGAUUCGAAUCCCUUCGACACUUCAUCUUCUUCUAGCGUGUGACGGUUGAAUUUCCCUCUCGAGAAGUGGAAAAGUUUUCGCUUAUUCCCGAGAAUUGCGGCGGACGUGAUACUAUCUCAGAGUCCACGCGCGCCCGACGCGCCGAAGCGUUUUAUAAAUACUCCUCUCGCGACUCAUUUUUCCAGUUCUGCAAUUCUUGAGCAAAAUUUUAAAGGUUCGUUUCUUUUGCUCUGAUCUUGAUUUCUUUGUUUUCCUUUGCUCCGCUUUAUUUUUCCGUUGUUUCUCCACCGUGUUAGAUCCUAGAUUUGAUUUUUCCGAUCUCCGAAUCUUGUUUAUCCGGCUGUUUCUUCGAUUCUCCCGAGCCCAAAAAAUGCCGCUUUCAGACUCAAGCGAUUCGUCCCGAGGUAGAAAUGUUCCGGUUUGCAAACGAAAGAUGGUUUGGAGCAGUUUAGAUGGGUCCGAGGCCAUUUCAUCGGGUCGACCCGAGCCGGGUAACAGAGCGGAAUCGUCAUCUGAACAACGUGGAGAUCCGAGCCACUUUGUGGCUCGGGAAGAUGCAAUCGCUGAUAUAGCUCGGGAUGAGGAUCUCCCUGACGAUCUCGAGGCGGUUUUGAAUAAGAGGACGCGUCCUCCGGCUUCGGAUGAAGCUGGAGUCUCUUGUUGGCAAGAUGUGCCCGAGCUGUCGGUUUUACCCGAGGUGAAGGGUGAAAUGGUUACCUAUGAUCCCGAGGAGGGAGCCAGGCUCCUUCAGUUGGCAAUUCAGGGUGCAAUGGCUCAAAGGAAGAAAAACCGAGCCAAGAAAGUGAAAAAACCGGAUCCUCCUGGUUCCACUCUGUCGACUUCAGACUCUCUUCGAGACUUAAAAGCACGUUUCAACUUUGGCGAAGGGGUGGCUCUGCGAUUGCCGACUUCCAGUGAGAGAGCCGACGAUCCUCCCGAAGGGUUACCUUGUACGAAGGAUUCUUCUACUUCUGCUUCCUCUGGUUUCCAAUCCCGAGGCCGAUCGUUGAGUACUUAUGGUCGUAUAAGCUUGCUUUGGCUCAGAUCACGACCCGAGGCCUUCGACACUUAGUCGGAAUCUUAGUACGUGGAUUCGAGACGUACAACGACAUUGGUCUUGAUCAUCUAAGGAAUUUGCUGGAGAUUCGCCGUGUUCCGAGCUGUGAGAUGGAGAGAUAUUAUAUUUCUCCACGUCCGAAGCGAAGGGUUAUCGGCGGCUUCCCGAGCAAAGAUGAGAAGUACACCGAUCAUUUCUUCUUCGUCGCCCUUGACGAAGAUUGUGUCCCCGAGGGCUGCCUUGAAAAGAUGAUUGGAAAAUGGAGAAAGAUUGGUAGUUCAUCCGUGAUUCUUGUUUGUUUUCUGUUAUAACUUGGCUUUAAAUGAUGUUUCGAUCUUCUUUUGCAGAUCGAGGCCCGAGCUUUCUGGAUCGUAUUCCCGAGGACUUUUUCAGCGUGCGUGAGGAGUUGGCUGCUCGGAAGUGUCACUGGAUUAAGCAUUUCUCCCAAGAAAGGGUUGAAAAGGCGUUAAGGAUUCUUCACGGCGCGUCCUGUUCCACUUCCUCAUCUUCUUCAGACCAAAGGCUAAGUUUUUUUACGGAGAUGCAAGGGGUGAAGAUGUCUUUAAGGGAAAAGAAGGCCGCCGAGAAGAAGGCGCGCGAAGAGCAGAGAACGUUAGAGGCGGCUUUCGGACCGGUGGCUCCGCCCGAGGCUAUAGCGGGGACCGAGGCAACUACCGUCCCCGAGGUGAUCGUUGAUCCCGUAGAAUCGGGUGCUGAUUUAGCUGUCACCAUGGCUCUGUCCGAGGUGCCAGAAGGUAUCCCGAUUGGGGAUGUUGCAAGCCAGGUUCCCGAGGCGGGAAACACGUUGGUGGUUGGUUUGCCUGCUGGUGGGCAGACCAGGUCCAAGAGAAAGCAUCCCCGAGGAGAACACUCCGGGGAUAGGCGUAAAAGGUCGAAACGGGCUCAUAGCUCCUCUCGGCCGAUAUAAAAGGACAAGGUUGCUUCCGCCAACCUUAUCGCUUCUUGCGCUUGGCCGCUACUUCCCGCCCCCGAAGGCUUAAUCGAGGCGGAGCGAUAUGGUGAGGCUGCGGCGAAUUUCUUGAAGGUACGUGCUCAGAUCCAUUCUCGUACGAGGCAGUUUUGUUUCAGGACUUGACACAUCUUUGUUAUUCAUUCUCCAGGCCUUUUCUUCGAUGAACACGAUGGUUCACUCUUACGACUCAGGGGCUCGUGAUAACGCGCUGGCUAUCGAACGGUCUGAGUCUGCUAAACUGAAGGCUGAGAAGACGGCGGCCGAGGCUGUUGCAGCAGCGCGAACUGCCGAGGCGUUAGUUAUUGCCGAACAGGAGUUGCGGAGGAAAGAAUCCGAGGAGAAUGCUCGAAUUCGCCGUAAGGCCGAGGUAGAGAUUGAAAGGCUCAAGCGUUUGCUCAUCGAAGAGAAGUCUCUUCGUGAAGUUGAAGUGGCCCGGGCGAAGAAAGCUGCCAAAAGAGAGGUCACCGAGGAGUUUAUGGAGAAGGUUAAGAGGACCGAGGCGAAGUUGUCAGAGUUUGACAAAAUCUCCGAGCGGUACGUGUACUUCUCUCAGGCAAAGGCUAAUGCAGAGCUAAUCGCCGCCCUUGAAGCUGGAGGGCAGUUCGAAGAUGAGAAGCUUGAGGUCAACAAGUGGAAAGAAGAGUUUGGGGAUGCCGAGGCUGAGUAUGCUAGGCUCGGGGCCGAGCUGCUCAGAGACCUCACAGUUCCUCCGGUGUCUCCUGGCUCUACUCAUGAUAACCUUGGAAACCGAUCGGUGGAAGGUGACGCGGUCGAAGUCGGAGUCACUGAUCAGGCUGGAACGAACCUGAGUUCCGCAGCUGCACAUUGUGAGGAGCGGGAUGAAUAAGCUCGAGGCGUCUUUCUCUUUUGUUUUCGAUUGUUUAUCGUUCUUUUGUAAGACCUUCGCCUGGAUGGCUUUAUCCAUUUGAACGUAAACGUUAUUGUUAAGUACUCGAGUCGUUUCAAGCUAUUUUGACUUAAAUACUAAAAUUGGAUGCCAGCGUUAAAUGACUGGGUUUCAUAAAUACGACUCUUUCGUCGAGAAGUUAAGUUUUUAGGUCCGUUUUAACUUCCGAGUCGAAAAAGAGUCGUGCACCAGUGUUAAGGUAACUGGGUUUUUACAAGCGUGUGACGUCAAGAAGUUAAUUCUUCCGGACCAUUUCAACCUCUGAGCCGAAAGUGGAAUGAUUCGUGCACCAGUGUUAGGACAACUGGGUUUUGGCUACGUGGGACUAAUCUUUAUCGGUUGCGACCCGAGCUGAUAUAGUCGAAGCCAGUGCUUAGAAGCGAACUGGGGUACCAGUGUCGAAGUCAACUGGGUUUUCUGAAGACAAUUUCUUUGUGGCCAGAUAUCUCUGACCGAAUUGUCUCGAAUAUUUAUAUAGCGCGCUGUAACCGAAGCGGUGAAAUGAGCUCUAUGUUCGGGGACGUGGCCAUCGUCCGGACGAACUGUUGGCUUUGUGGGUCGAUAAGAGGACCGUAAAAGUUCUCGAGAUGAGUUUUUGGGAAAGAUGUCGAGGUGAAUAAAAAUUGAAUAUCCGAAGGGUAAAAACUUAGAGAAUUUGAAAAACUUAGUGGGAGUAUAUGUAUACGGACCCACUCCCCCCCCUUUUUUAAUUAGGGGGGGUAGCUGAACUCGUCCGAGGACGAGCUGCCUACGUACCCUUUUCAGGGAUCAAGCCACCCCGUAGUUCAAGUACAUGCGUACCUUAGGUUUUUAGCGGUAAUAUUUCCUUAGAUGCAUUGCGUUCCAGGAUCUAGGUACCGCUUUGCCGUUCAUGUUGAUGAGUUCGUAGACGCCGGGACGGAUUACCUUUGCGAUCGUGUAAGGUCCCUCCCAAUUCGUACCGAGCUUACCUGCGUUCUGCUCGGCGGUAUUCUGGAAAACUUUGCGCAGUACGAGCUCUCCUUCGUGGAAGCGACGAUGCUUCACGUGAGAAUUGUAGUACCGAGCCGUUGCAUUCUGAUAGUUCUGCAUACGGAUCAAAGCUGAAUCUCUUCUCUCGUCAAUUAAGUCCAGCUCGUCCAGCAUCAUCUGAGUGUUGGAAUUUUCCUGCUCGGGGAGAAAACGUCUUCUCAGUCCCGGGAUCUCGGCUUCGGUGGGAAUCACACAUUCCGUGCCGUAGACAAGGGCGAAAGGUGUUUCUCCCGUGGUCCGCCGCGGCGUGGUUCUGUGCGACCAUAAUACUCCUUCCAAUUCGUCGGCCCAGCGGCCUUUCUUCGCGUCGAGACGCUUUUUUAUUCCGUCGAGAAUCGUCUUGUUGGCUGCUUCGGCUUGACUGUUUCCCUGAGGGUACCGAGGCGUAGACUUACUGAGGCGAAUUCCCCAUUUCUCGCAGAAUCCUUCGAACCGAGACGAAAUAAACUGCGAUCCGUUGUCUAUAACGAUUUCGUAAGGUAUCCCAUGGCGGCAUAAGAUGUUUUUCCAGACGAAGUUCUCGACCUGCGCAUCUUUGAUGCUGGCGUAAGAGUCAGCCUCGAUCCAUUUGGAGAAAUAGUCUGUCAGUACGAGGACGAGUUUCUUCUGCUUGGAGUUGUGUAGAGGUCCGAUGAUGUCCAUGGACCAUCGCAUGAAUGGAUAAGGCGAAGUUAUAGAAGAGAGGAGCUCGGCGGGUUGAUGAAUGGUUGGUGCGUGCCUCUGGCAUUUAUCACAUCGUUGAGAAAAUUUCUCGCAGUCUUUGACUAUCGUCGGCCAAAAAUAUCCGUGGCGUUUGAUCUUUAUAGCCAGAGCUCUUCCGCCAUAAUGGUUUCCACAAGAUCCGCCGUGAACUUCUUCCAUGACUCUCCGAGCUUCAUUUCCUUCGACACAGAUAAGGAGGGGACCGGAAAAUCGCCAUUUAAAGAGUUCUCCGUCGAUCAGAGUAUAUCGAGCCGCUUUGGCCUUAAGCUUCCGAGCUGCCCAUUUUUCAGUAGGAACUUCUCCAUCGGCGAUGUAGCUUCGGAUGGCUCCGAUCCAUUUGGCAUCGCUUCCGUAUUCGGGCUCGAUUGCGUCCGUAGUUUGCUGGUCUAGCUGUUCGAUGUCCAUUUUUUCCGGUUCUUCUGUCUCCCGAGCUGUUAGAACUUGAUCUUUGCUAUUAUCUUCAAUGCUCGGCUUUUCGAUGAACUCAACCGGUAUGAUUCUCUUCAGAUUUGGGUCGGAGGUUGAAGCUAGAGCCGAUAAGGCAUCGGCCGAUGUGUUCUCACCUCGUGGGAUUCUGGUUAACUCAAACUCUCUGAACUGUUUCGCCAAGUCUUGCGUGAGAGCAAGAUACGCUUCCAUUCGUUCGUCGCGAGCCGCGUAUUCUCCAUUGAAUUGAUUAGCCACGAGCUGGCAGUCGCAAAAGGCUCGCAGCUUGUUGAUCUUAAGUCCCCGAGCCAGCUUAAGUCCUGCUAUCAGCGCUUCGUACUCAGCCACGUUGUUAGUCGCGUCGAAAUUUAGCCGUAAGGAUUGUUCCAGGAUUUCACCCUCUGGUGACGCGAGGCGGAUUCUGACGCCAGAACCUUGUUUUGAGGAUGAGCCGUCGACGUGGAGGAUCCAAACAGCGUUGGGUGACUCUUCUCGGGCGUUCUCUGUUGGUAGCUCGAUGAUAAAAUCGGCCAGGACUUGAGAUUUUGCGCAUGUUUUGUUCCUGUAUUCGAUGUCAUACUCGCUGAGUUCUACUGCCCACUUAGCUAGGCGUCCUGAUUGGCUCGGACUGUGCAAGAUGGUUCGGAGUGAUACGGGCGCCAUGACGACAAUUGAGUGAGAUUGAAAAUAUGGCCGUAGCUUCCGAGCUGACAUUACUACGGCGAGGGCGAGCUUUUCAGUUUGCGGGUAGCGUGUUUCCGCGUCGGUGAAAGUUUUCGAGACAUAAAAUAUCGGCUUCUGCUCCCCUCUGUCUUCCCUGACUAUGACUCCACUUAUAGCCGUAUCAGAGACUGCGAUGUACAGGAAUAAUGGCUCGCCCGGGACUGGUUUCGCUAACACCGGUGGAUUGGCCAAAUACUUCUUCAGUUCCUGGAAAGCUUCUUCGCAGCGAUCGGUCCAUUCGAAUUUCUUGUUCCCGCGCAGAGUAUCGUAGAAAGCAAGGCAUUUGUCAGUGGACCGCGAGAUGAAUCGGUUCAAGGCUGCGACUCUCCCGGUGAGACGUUGGACUUCGCGCUUGUUCUGUGGUGAGGGCAUGUUCAGUAGAGCAUCGAUUUGCUUCGGGUUUGCUUCGAUGCCUCGGUGAGUUACGAGAUAUUCCAAGAAUUCUCCCGAUUUUACCGCGAAACGACAUUUUGCCGGAUUGAGCUUCAUGUUGUGCUUGUUGAGCUGGCGAAAAUAGUCGCGUAGAUGGGCUAUGUGAUCGCUUUCCUCAAGGGAUUUGACUAACAUGUCGUCGAUAUAAACUUCCAUCGUCUUCCCGAGCUGCUCGGAGAACAUCCUGUUGACGAGCCGUUGAUACGUUGCGCCAGCAUUCUUGAGUCCGAAGGGCAUGACUUUGUAACAGUAGAUACUUCGGUCUGUGAUGAAUGCUGUCUUCUCGCGAUCGUCGGGGUGCAUGAGAAUCUGAUUGUAUCCUGCGAAAGCAUCCAUGAAUGAUAGCAACUUAUUUCCCGCGGUUGCUUCCACUAAACGAUCGAUAUGUGGGAGCGGAAAACUGUCUUUAGGGCAAGCUUUGUUCAGAUCGGUGAAAUCGACGCAGACUCUCCACUUGCCGUUCUUCUUUUUAACCACGACAGGAUUUGCUAACCAGUCCGGAUAUCUUGCUUCAGAGAUCGAGCCGAUCUUCAGGAGCUUUUCUACUUCGGCGUUCACUGCAUCUGCGCGAUCCCGACCCAAUUUUCUUCGCUUCUGCUUGAUGGGCUUGAAAGAUGGAUCAACAUUCAGCUCGUGGCAGAUUACGUCGAUGCUUACCCCGGGUAGAUCUUCGGCCGAUCAGGCGAAGGUGUCGAUGUUCUCUUUGAGGAAUGAGAUGAGCUCGGUCUUGAUUUCUUCGGUUAAGUCGCUGCCAAUUUCCACGCAUCGUUCAGGCCGUUCGUCGUCGAAGCUAAUGGAGAUUACAGGAUCCGAGGUAGGCUUCUUCUCCUCGCGCGCCUCCUCGAUCUGUAAUUGCUAUAACUGUUUAGAUAUAGCCUUCUCUUCACUCCGGCCAAGUUUUGAUAUCUUGUGAUUGGUUUCAGCCUUUGCUUCGGUGACAGGGUUUCGAAGUUUGUAUGCUGCCAUGAAACACAUCCGAGAAUUUUUCUGACUGCCCCAUAUCGUCUUCACGCCAUUAGGGGUCGGGAAUUUGACACACAGAUGAUAUGUUGAUGCGACAGCUCGCAUUAGAUUUAACCAUGGGGUUCCCAUUAUGACGUUGUAGAUGGUAGGUCGAUCGGUGACUGAGAAGUUGACUAUCUUUGUUACCCCGCCGGCUCGGACUGGUAGUUGGAUGGUUCCAAGCGUCAUCAAAGUUUCCCCUGAAAAUCCGAGGACAGGCCUCGGGGUCGGAAUCACCUGUGACAUGUCAAUGUUCAUUCGUUGGAGCGUUUCGCGAAAGAUCACGUCAAUGGUGCUGCCGGUGUCAAUUAAUACUCGGUAAAUAUCGUGGUCUCCUGUUGCUAAUGUGACGACGAUUGGAUCGUUAUGAGGCAUAUCGAGCCCGUUUGUCUCGCUUUCUUCGAAUGUGAUCACGUCGUUAGGUCGAUCGGAGCGUCUUGUCCAGUUGCUAGGCGUCUCGGCUCGGCGUUGAUAAGCUUUGAUUGCCGCUACGGUGUCAGGACAGUAAGGUGAUCCACCCAUUAUGGUAAGAACCUUCUGCCGCGUACCAUCUCGGUCUUCGUCUUCCGACCCCCGGGUUCUUUUCUGAGACUCCUGGUUCCUUGGUUCGGGGUCUCUUCCUGGGUUGGUCUGCUCGGGCUCUGGUUCGAGGUCCUUAAGAGUUACGUUUGUCCCGAGCUCUCCAGCUAGGAAUUUGGUUGCUAACUUGGCUCCGAGGCUUCGGCAUCUCGAGGUAUGAUGGCCGAAAAUUUUGUGGUGUUCACAAUAUUCUUGAUCAUUGCUCGGUGGCUGAUCCCUCGUCCAAGUGAAGGACUCUCUUCCACGCCCACGGCCUCGGCCUCUGCCGCGGCCACGGCCUCGGGGCGUGUCAAUCUAGUAGCUAUGGUAUCCUGAGAAAUUGCGCCCUUCGUGAUGCGUAUACGUACCGCUCUCACGCGUUUUCUUCUGAACCGGAGGUGUCGCUUGGGCUUUCUCGUUUUUCUUGGUUCGGGACGCCUGUUUUGUUGGCUCGUGCCUCUUUGCUAGUAGCGCCAUUUCUUCUUCGUGGGCGACGAAAUCCGAGGCUCGAUGCAGCGCGUCGCGAAUUGUUGUUGGUUUAGACAGGUUCAACUCUUUCCUGAAUUCUGACUUGUACCAGAGAGCUUUCUUCAAAGCCGAGAGAGCUGCUACAUCCGUAAUUCCUUCGACCUUGGCUAGCGUCGAUUUGAAGGUCUUGAGGAAAUCCCUUAAUGGCUCGGUGGGCUGUUGAGACAGAGACCACAGAUCCGCGUCGGAAGUUCCGGGGUCGAUGAGCACGGAGUAUUGUUUGAGGAACAAUGUCGACAGCUCGUCGAAACUAUCAAUCGAGUUUCGUUCCAAUCUCGAAAACCAUUCUAAUGCGGGUCCUUUGAGGUGUUCCACGAACAGUAGGCACAGACCUGCAUCCUUUUCCCCGGGUUUGAACCUGGCUCGGGCCACAGAUAUCACGAACGAUUUAAUGUGGCACUUAGGAUCGGUUGAUCCGUUGUAAGAGUCAAUUUUGAACUUUCCCAGAUUGGACAUCGUCGUUUCGGAAAUUCUUUUGGUGAAAGGCGUGUUCCGAGAUUCUUCCAAAAUUCGGUCGAUGUUUGGUGCGGAGGAUGAAACGCUAUGUAUCUGGGUUUUGACGAGCUUCAUAUCAGCUUCCGCCUUGGCUAGGGAGGCUCGGAUUUUGCUUAGCUCGUCUUCUCUUUCGGAUUCUUCGGCCCACCUUAUGUUUUCCUCAGUUUCUUCAUCGUCAGUGAGAUCUGUUCGCUCGGCGGAGUUAGCUCCGGCUCGGGUACGCUCAUCUUGCAGAUCAUCUGGCUCGUCCGUCAAGUCCACUGCGUCCGGCUCGGUGGGAUCAUCUUGGUUCUCGCGUCUGGCAGGGUCGGCUCGGGUUGCGACUCUUGUGUUGCCGGUUGGUGUCGCGAACGUGAGUCUUGUUGUGUUGAUGCCAGGCAAGUCCCUCCGAGCUCGUGGCGGCCGAGUCUGGAAACGUGUGGUUUUUUGUUGCCCGCGUGUUGCGAUUUCGUCGACUCGCUGCGCCAAGGUUUUGUUGGCUUUCUCUUGGUCGUCAGCUUUCUUCUGGAAUUUAACCAUCAGGUCUUUCAGUUCGGCUAGAGUCGCCAUGAUCGUCGGAUCGGCUUGAGGAUUCUGAGGGUUCGGAGGGUUCGGGAUCCCUCCUCCAGCUGGUGGUGUAUGACGACCGUCUUCGUUCAUCGUCCUUUUCGGUAAUCGAGUUCUGCGUCUUAGGGUAAGAGAAUUCUAAAGUAUCCCCACAGACGGCGCCAAACUGUGGAAGUCGAAACUAACACAAUCAAGAUUUGUCUAGGGUUUUAUUUUAGGGAUACGAUAAUCGUGAAUUCUCAAAGAACAACAGAAACGAUUGUAACCAAAGAUGGCGUUCUUGAUAUUAUUAAGAAAAAGAUGACUUUGAUCGUACAAGAGUUUGAUCGUAAAAGGAAAAAGAUGUUUGUGCUGUGAGAGCUUUGCGUUGUGUAAAUUCUAGAGCGAUCUUGCCUGUCCUUCUGUGAGAGCCUUGAGUCUCUUUAUAUAGGGGUGAUAAACCGCCUCUCCAGCGAUAUUCUCGGAAGAUUUCCAUUUAUCUUGAAGUCGGCUUAGAAUAUCGCGGAAUAAGGAUAAUUUCCUUAUUCUUCGGAGUUUCUUGGAAGAUAUCCUGAUUUGAGUCGAUCCUUCUAGAUUCCCUCUUAUCAUUUCCGGGUAUAUCGGAAAUGAUGUCUUGCUUGGAAAUGAUACUUUUGAAGGCGAAUAUUUACUAAGUACUUGCCUCGGGUGUCUUUGAUGAUUUCGGCUCGGGCAGCUUGGACGAUGUCAUGACGCCCGACCCGAGCUGAGGAGACUUUGAGAAGAUUGGGCUCGGAUACUCUCGUCGACUGAGCUCGGGUACUUGAGGGGAGGCGGCUCGGGCGACUUGUGAAGUUGGCUCGGACGAAGGGAGAACCCAGCUCGGAUAUGAUGGCGUAGUCCUUUUGCCUCGGGCGAUUCUGCGAAGUCGGCUCGGGGUGAAAGGAAAACUUUCUUUGCGUAGUCCCGAGCUGUCACGGCAAACGUCCCCGAGCCAGUAUAGGAUGACCCGAGCCGUAUCAAUCGGCAUUCUACGAGCUAGUUCAGUGACUGAUCCCGAGCUGUUUUGGCAGUUCCCCGAGCCGGUUUGGUGAUACGUCCCGAGGUGUUAUGUCUUAGCUCGGACUUAAUGCGGGUGGAAUCCGAUCCCAACAAAUAUCUAUAUCAUAGAUUUGUUUAGCGAGAAAAAGAUCGAUCUUCCACCUCUAGAGUCAAUCAAAGGUGACAAGUAUAAUCUUAAGAGAGUCGGAGAUAAAAAAUUCGAGGAGGUAGUCUUAGGAAUCGGUUAUACCUCUUUUGUCAUCCGAAAAAUCUGAAAGGUCUUUUGUGGAUAGACGAGAAGAAAGAAGAGUAUGUUGUUGUGUGGUACUUUAGUAUAUUAAGGAGAUAGCCUUUUGCAAGAACGGAGAAGAUCAUUAUCGUGAGAUUCCGACGGCAUACAUUGAGUUAACAGACAUAUCUGAUAUGGUACUACAACGUGGUGACAGUCUUUACCUCUCAAGGAGUUGUUAUUACUUUCGAAAAAUUGAUUUGUCUAGACAAGAUUUCAAGGUUGUGUCCAAGAUUCAUAUAUUAGUACCAUAUCUUCCGAGGCCAUGUCUUGAUAAUGAAACAACAAUUAGCAAUAACAUUUCUGUUACAACAUCAGGAGAAGUUUUGUGGGUCAUGAGCAUCUUUUACAAAACAACAAAAGAAAUUUUCACGUUUCCAAUGAAAAAAAGAUUUACUCUCAACGUUUGGCAAACUGAGAUUUCAUUCUCAUGGUUUGACAGUUAAAGCUUAUUAUGACGAAAAUACCCCUAAUGAAUUAAACCAAACAACACAGUUACUUUCGGUUAAACCAAACAACACAGUUACUUUCGGUUUAGUUACUUUUUCUUUUCUUUGCGGUUUGGUUUUUGAAUUAAAAAAAAAAAACAAUUACGAAGAAAAGGAAGAAGAAGAACGAGAGAGACUUGAGCCAUACUUUGGCUUCUUGUUAGAAAAAAAAAAAACCCAAAAUUGAAUUGAAAGGGGAAUCUAGGGUUUACUCAAUAAUCGAGAUGGUUCCCAAAUCAAGCGACGGCGAGGCCAAGGAUGGAUCUUCAAGCGAAACCCAAUCGACGGAGUACAUGGAAAUUUCCACGGGCGAUGAAUCUUCUAUGCUGGGGAAGCGCAAGGUUGAAACCCCCAUCCUGGAGGAUCUCAGUGAAAACGAAGGCGACAUAGAAGGUGUCGACGAUGAUAGUGAUUCCGAAUGGGAUAAGGAUAGCUUCGAUGGUCUGGAAUAUCAUUCCUGUGAUGAUCAGAAGGAGUAUAUCGACAAAUAUUUUGAGAAGAGGGCCCGUUUUUACAAGCGCACGGUCAUCGAAACCAAAGUAUGAUCAUCAUUUUCAUCUCUAUACGUAUCGAAUUUUGAGUCUUUUAUUGAUUGGGUCAUAUAAAAUCAAGUAACAUUGUUGUAGUUAAAUUUUUUGUUUUGGUUUUAGGUUUUUUUUGAGGCAACUGACGAAUUCCCACCUUACCUUUUGGCUGGAAUUGCUACAGUCCCUGGACGAUGACCUUGAGGAAGGUUUGACCGUUCGUCAGUUUUUAGCAAACAUGACAUCUCUGUGUCUUGACAAAUAUAACAAACGAAAGGUAACAUCUCUAGUUUGACUUUCAGAGUCCUAGGCAAUAUGAGAUGAGCCAUUCUUGUCUCUUGUUUUCAGGGAUUCAAUGUGAAGUUGGAGCAUGUUUUGAGGGCUAAUUUCAACCCAGGGGGCAGGACAACAUACUACAUCACAUUUGCUGCUAGAGAGUCUGAUUCUCCUGAUGCACCUCUAGUGGAAUAUCAAGUUAAGGUGGAUUGGUCUGCGGGCAAUACUUAUCCCAUCCUUUGCAGACCCACUUCUCCACCACAACUGGUUGAAGGUAGCCGAGGAGAUCUGAUGCGGUCAUCAACCCAAGAACCAACCAUGGAGAAGAUUAUGGGCGAGAAACAACAACCCAGGAGCAGCCAAGUGGGAAUUUUAACCAAGUUUUAUCCAAAACUUCAGGACAAAGCCAAUUCAGCCUACCCGAGAAGACCCCUCAGCAUUUUUCAGUCCAGACGAAGGCCAAGAUCAAUUCCUCCUGCCCAGAGAUCACUUGGAAUACAUUCUCAGCUCAACUACCGACAACCACGAAGAAGAAUCAGCCCAAACGGAGUUCACACGAAGGAGUUAUUCAAUUUUCAAACGGGAUGAUCCCCAACGAACUCGGUUUGGACCUACGUGCAGUUAUUGGAGGAUUCCGACCAAACCAGAAGGCGUUAAGAUACAAAGUGAAUUUUCGUACACUCUUGACUCAUCAGAGGAGCUUUUCGAAUUGGAGUCAAGUCAAUACCGAUUUUGGUUUAGAAGAUAUUAAUUUUCUAAACCAGAUGAUGCUCAGCUUGCCUUAUUUGGAAGCUGACGGGUUUAAUUACUUGCAAACCAAACUUUGGCGUCCAGGAGAGUUUCUAUUACAACUAGAGACUCCUAAGAUCACCUCAAGCUUCAUUCUCAGCCCUUGGAUCAAGUGGAUUCAAUCUUUCCUAAUCAUACACCAAGAGUUACCAUAUCUUCUGAUUUGGUGCGAAUUAAGGGAGUUAUUAGAAGAUUAAUAAGCCAUGGAAUCAUCCAGAAGCUGUCAAGAUACAAGAUCCCACGAAUUACUCCUUUUGGCCUAAGCAUUCAAAGCCUAACGGCUAAUAUUCUUUCAAGGCACAUCUCCACUUGAUUUCUUUGAUUUAUUUCGUGUAUUGCUUUCCUAUUUUGAGUCAUGAGACUGUUGUACCAAUCCUAGAGUCGAGCCUAUAUAAGCUCAAGUCAUUUCUUUGUAAAAACCACCCUUGAUCAAUUUUAAAGUAAUAAGAAACAUUUUCUUUUUGUCAAAGUUCGAGUCUUUGUCGUUUAUUCAUUAGUCUUAAGUGAGUGAGUCUCUUAGGCCUAUUUGAAUCUGCGGAUUAAGUUUGUUGAUAAGUUCAACAUCCUUCUUUCGUUCAUUGAUCGAGUGAGUCGAUUAAGUUGGCUCUACUCUUUAGUUUAUUUCUUCGUAAUCUACUCUACUCUGUUUGUCUUUAUGCAUUGUAUUCCCUUUUUUCGAGCAGUUAUAUUAUGAAUGAAUGAACUUUUUAUUGUUUGCAGACAACAUGUAUGAAAUACGUAUGGUUUUGUGUACGUACACUGGUUUUGUACAUAGCGGAUUAAACUUGUAAAACGUACGACCACUUAGUAUAUUUCAACAAGUAUGAAAGACUUUGUCUCUGGUGUACGUACACUAAAAAAGUACAUAGCGUAAAACUAAUAUUACGUACAUAGCCGAUUAAACUAGUAAAAUAUACGACCACUUAGUAUAUUUCAACAAGUAUGAAAGACUUUGUCUCUGGUGUACGUACACUAAAUACGUACAUAGCUGAUUAAACUAGUAAAACGUACAUAGACAAUAUAUUUUAAUAAUGGCGUAUAGCUGUACGUACAAGUAGCAUAUAUUUUAUUAUUCAUAGUUUUAUUUGAAAAGAACAAUAACUUUAUAUAGUUUAAGAAACAAUACACUUCGUAAGCCUCAGCUGCGGUAACUAGCCGAUGAUCAUUCAGUGACCCACUUGCUGAAGCUCAAAUACCACACUCGAGAACAUCAUCCCCAGUGACUUUGUCUAUACCAUUAAGAUUGGUAUCCAUGUACGUAACAAAAUCACUUUCGCAGCAUGUAUCUUGUACACAGUCUCUAGUAUACGUACAUUGGUACAAACCAUGUUGACACGUACGUGUUGGAGUCACGGUUGGUGUACUGUCACCCAAAUGAGAAAAGUUAUCUCCGCCAGGUACACGAUGACUUGUGUACGUACACUCUGCCAAUAGACGACUGAAUUCCCCUGGAUGUUGAACCGUUUGUUGAGUGAGAAUGACGUUCUCCUCAACAUUCUCUAUUCCAUAUUCUUCAACAAUUACAUCGUUCCACUUGUUGUAAUCGUAAUCUUCGCCAGUACCUUCACUACCGUCUAUAGUAGGAUCGAGGGUACUUCCCCCCAUAGAUCUAUCAUCACCCUGAUAAUCAUCAUACCCAGCACCAUCUUCGUUUUCCUCCUCCUCUUCUUCAUCCUCAUAUGUUUUAUCGUAUUCAACGUCGUCUUGCUCAUCUACGGCCUCAUUAUUUCCAUCUACAUUUGAAGCCGCUACGAUGGGAUUUGGUGUUGUUGCACUCCCACACACACGGUAACUCUCACCAUCGUCACCAUCGGUCCUAGGGACAGUAUUCCCGAGUGCCUUGACGGUUGUAAUGAAAGAGACAAACAAGGUGACACUAAGAUCCCCACCACGAAUCAAAAAGAAGGUAUUCAGGCUCAUUUGAUUGUUAAUGUAGACAGGAGGGCGUUUACUUUCUAUCAUCACUGACAUCUUUCCCGGCAUCCAGUAACUAAUUAUUGGAUUGCAUUCGGUGGACUUCAAACUGAAAACCUCGCAUAAUGUACGUACAAAUUCCGUGUACGUCAUGUUUUCCUUAACACGUACACAACGACCAAACCAGCCUUCCCAUGGUUCAAAUUUCCAUUCUUCUUCUUUGCAUCUCCACUCACCCACCAUAGUAAAUACAGGAAUAUCCAUUACUCACCUGCAUCAUAAAUUCAGCAGAACCCCAUUAAAUGCAAAUGAAAGCAUGAUUAUAUCUACAAAAAAACAAAAAGAAUUCCCAACUACACACUUAUAUACAUAAAUCUAUCCUCAUUUAGCAUUUUCAACUAAAAAAAUUGGAAAUAAAAAUAUUCUGGGUUUUUAUAUAAAAACAAUGUUGAUUUCGAACACAAUCAAGACGCUAGUGUGUUAUAAUAAAAAACUUCUUAACUAAUUUCAUUACUUACACGAUCAAUGCUUGUCUUGGCUCCAAACUUUGUAAAUCAAGAAGAUCAAAACUUCUCCAGCAUCACAUUCGUUCAAAAUAAUUUGUUUGUUUGAUGGAUCAUGUUUGUCUCUUACAACUCCUUCAGCAAAUAGCUCAGCUAGUCCAUCAACAUGUUUGAUGUCCGCAUCAUACGACCUCUCCAAACAGUUACAUCCUAAAAAUGCCUAAAUCACAUAAGUCUUAUACUAUGUACGUACACAAAAAUAUUUAUUGAAGCGUACAUGGUACAACAUUAAUUUAAUUUUUUGACAUCAAAAUUAAGUUAUUAUGUCAGUUAUUUGUAUGACUGUAUUUUUUUCAUAUGUUGUUCAUACAUGAUUUGAAUGUUUUGUUUUUAUAGUCAAAAAAUAUUUGAAACGUAAAUAUACAAAUUAUUUAGAUAUUUACGUACAUAUAUACACACACAUUACUACCGUGUACGUACACAUUAUUACCGUGUACGUAUAUAUUAUUACCGUUACACACAUAUGUGUAUAUGAUAUUGCUAAUCCUGAAUAGUCUUCGAUAAUAAUAAAUAAAAUAUUAUUUAAAAUAGAAAUAAAAAUAUGAAAAUGGGUCUGAUAGAAAAAAAAGAAUUUUAACUAAAAAUAUAAAAACAAUAAAUAUUUAUAAAAUGGAAAAGCGAAUCAUCUACUGACAAGUGUUUAAGAUUUUCAAACCACACACGGCUCUGUGUCACGUUUAAACAUACUAUUCCUCAAUGUUUUUCUUUAGUUGUGAGGUUUGUUUCUACUGCUUCUCGUAUUUGACAUAUGAUUAUGUAAAUUGCGUAACAGAGCUGGAGUUUUGUGAGUCUCAUUAGAGUCAAUUUGUGUGUUGAUCAUAGUUGAUUUCAAUUAUUUACUGAAAACAAAUUAUAAAUAUUUUUUUAAUUGAGUUCGUAGAAAACUUGUAUGAAAUUGGUAAGAUAUUUUUGGUAGAAAUAUGUCCUUAUUUGAGUUUUUUCUAUUUACAUGUAUGUAGUUUACGGUAUACACAGUAUUGAUUAUAAAAUGGAUAUGUACUUCAGUUAUAUCAUGUACUAUUGUGGAGACGGUGUACGUAAUAUUUAUAGAGUUUGUAUUUUAGUUUUUCGACUUCAAAAUACGCUAAUAUAAACUAGAUUUACAAAAUCAAUAAAUAAAUUAAAUGUAAAAAAACAAAAGAUUAUAAGAAAAUUGUGAACAGUCAAUCGCAUAACUGAACCGCAUAACUGAACCGUGUACAGUGUACGUAACUGAACCGUACAGUGAACAGUACAUCGCAUAACUGAACUGCAUAACUAAACCAGAACAGUGUACAUAACUGAACCGCAUAACUGAACCGUACAGUGAACAGUACAUCGGUACGCUGGCAGGGGUAAAAUGGUCAGAUUUUGGCUAAAUUGUCAAAACUUGAAAGUCAAUUCUCACUUUGCCAAAACAUGAAAUUAAAACUUGGUCUUAUGCCAAAACAUGCAAUUUACCCAAACAACAAGGCUUAGGAUCUUGCGUCUCUACAAGAAGGAUCCUAAUCCAGACCCCCUUUCAUAUUAUCUACAACCCGAACCCGUUUGUUGAAUUAGAUUCUCUAGGUGAUGCUGACACUACCCUCAGUAUCGAACCAAACUCUGUCUAUUUUACCUGCCAUGACCAUGCUUGUAACGAUUGCUGGGAUCAGAAAUGUAUUGGCGUUUUAUUUCCCAAAACGACUUCGUUUUAUUUGAGGGGUUUUACUUUUUGCCAAAACGUUGCCGUUUUAGGCAUCUCUUCUUCGCUUAACAAGCAGAUGCAAUUUUUUUGACAUUUGAGUUUCACUUCUUCGUUCUUCACUUGAUUACAUUACAGACUUGCGUAAUUUCGGAAUCAGUAACUUUGCACAGCAAAUCUUCUGUGUCGAAGUUUCUAAAGGGAAGAGGUUAGUUCUUCUUCUAGCUUGUGUUUCUAGGUUUCGACUGAUUGAAUUAGGGUUCUGAAUAAUCUUCAAAUUAAUCUUCAAAUUGGACAGAGAAACACCAAAAUUAUAGUCUCUUGCUUGUUUGUUACUUUUUUGUUAUAUCCUCUCAUUGUCCAUUUCUCAAUUCUACCGCUUAAAUUUUGAUCUUUCUAGUAACAAAGUUUAACUUUUGAUCAAUUUGAUAUUUCUAGAAACAAAUAAAAGCAUGGAGACUACUAAUUCCGGCCGCUGGUCGGAGCUCCCUAUAGACAUCUUGAGAUCUGUGUUCGAACGUUUCAGUUUUGUGGAUUUUCACCGCGCUAAGAUCGUGUGUUCGAAUUGGUAUUCGUGUUCCAAACAAUCGUUGCUACGAAAAACCGGAUCUCCGUGGUUGAUUCUGUUUUUAAACGAUGGUGGUUGUGCUAUGUACAACCCGGAUGAAGCAAGAAUUUACAGAACGAAGAGAGGCUUUUCCGGGAUUCGAUUCUUGGCAAACUCAGGUAACUGGUUCUUAGUUCUAGAUUCUAAGUCCAAUAUCUAUAUCAUAGAUUUGUUUAGCGAGAAAAAGAUCGAUCUUCCACCUCUAGAGUCAAUGAAGGGUGGCCUUUUUAGUCUUGAGCAAGUAGGAGACACGGCAUUCAAGGCGAGAUUAAAUAAUGGUAGUGCAUAUUCAUUCCAUAAUGCGGAAGAUCUGAGAGGUCUUUUGUGGGUAGACGAGAAGAAGAAAGAAUUCGUUGUUGUGUGGUUUUUCGACAAAGGUACCGAAUAUUUAGCCUUUUGCAAGAACGGGGAAGAUCAUUACCGCGACAUUCCGAUACGAAAAAAUGUUGGUAAAGAGUUACAAGGCUUAUAUGAUAUGGUACUUUAUGGUGGUGACAGUCUUUACAUCUCAACCACUCGUCAAUCGAUUCAAAAGCUUAACUUUUUUGGACAAGAAGGUUUCAUUGAUGUCUCCAACAGUGAGAUAUUACCAUUUCGUAAAAUCUCAUUUUAUCUCCCAGAUGGAGCAAGAUUUGGCAAUAACAUUGCUGUUACAAUAUCAGGAGAGGUUUUGUUGGUUCAGAACUUCUUUUACGAGGCAACAAGAUAUAGGAGCUUCCGUCUGUACAAGAAAGAUCCUAAUCCAGAUUUGAAUACUAUUAUCAACAACCCGUACCCGAUGGUUGAGGUAUAUUCUCUAGGUGAUGAGGCUCUGCUUCUAGAUUUGGGUAUCACCGUGUCUGCGGACGGUACAUUACUUGGUAUCGCACGGAACUCCAUCUACUUCACCCGUCAUGACCGUGUCCGUAGUGGCUGGAAACAUUCAUGUCUGGACAUCUGUGUGUUCAAUCUUGCAACAAAGAAACUCAAACGCUUCCCGGGUCUCUCCAACUUAAAGCUCACGGAUGCUCGAUGGUUUAUCCCGUCUUGAUUUGUUUCUUUUUCAUCCUUUGUGGUGUUCUUGAGAGUUUCCACACAUUAUUUUUAUGUUUAGGUUUCGGUUAAUAUUAGGGUUCUCGGUUUUUCAAGUUUCAGUCAAAUUCGUAUUGUUGAUAUUUGGGUUUGUUUUGUCUCGUUGAUAUUCAUGUUAGACUUUAAAUCUGUGUGUUCAUGCCUGGACAUCUGUGUGUUCAAUCUUGCAACAAAGACCCUCAAACGCUUCCCCGGUCUCUCCAACUUAAAGCUCAUAGAUGCUUUAUGGUUUCUCCCGUUUUGAUAUGAUUUGUUUUUUUUUUCUUCUAAUCCUGUGGUGAAUUCUUGAGUGAAAACUUGAUGAUAAAAAAUAGUGAAAUCUUUGCCAAAAAAAAAAAAAAUAAAUAGUGGAAUCAUGUUUGCAAAAUGUGAAUAAAUAGUAUUACAUUUCAUCACCAAUACAAAUUUGGUUUUCUUUUGUGCCAACCUUGAUAAAGAGACGAGAGUUAUCACAAAACUAUUAGUUGUAAGUUGUAACCAUAGCUCACAGGCUACACCCGAAUACUCACUUCUAGCUUGGUUUGCAAUAAAGAAUCAUUUAAUAACAGGAGAUAAAAUGCUAAGUUGGAAUUUCGGAGUAGAUAUUUCAUGUGUUUUUUGUCAUGAACCGUUGGAAAAUCGCAACCACUUGUUCUUCACAUGUCAAUACUCGGCAGAGGUUUGGUCGGGACUAACUAUGAAGCUCCUCUCUCGACACUUCUCAACAACUUGGGAAACUAUCAUCAAGCUCCUCACAUAUACGUCUCUUGGGAAUGAGUGCUUGUUCUUGACGAGAUACACAUUUCAGCUCACAGUACAUUCGCUAUGGGAAGGAUGGAACAGUCGUAGACAUGGAGAAGUACCAACUCCCUCAGCUCAAGCAAGUCCGAAACAGAAUAUCCUCCAUUCGAAAACAAGGCGAUAGGAAAUACGAAAUAUAAGAAAGACGCAUUCAUCUUUGUUUUUAUUUUGAUCUUUGUAUUCUAAAAUCGCUCAAACAAACGCAUUCAUUUUUCCGAAUAAAUUUUAUAUUUUAUUCAAAAAAUAAUAAUCAUAUGAUCAUUUUUAUCAGGAAAAAAAUAAAAUCAUAGAACGUUUGUGCUUCCCUUAGUUAAGCCUUUACUUUUUCAUCCUGGGGUUUUCCCCUUUUUUUUUGGCAAAAACGAAACGCACCGUGUUGUUUGGUGUUCUUGAGGGGGAUUUCCACACUUUUUUCUCCUGUUAUAUUCUUUUUAUUGCUGUGUCUUUUAUUCUUCCCUUUGUUUUCCAAAAAUUUUACGACUAACCUUAGUUCACCCUUCAAAACUAAAUCCACUCUAUAUUUUGCACAAAAUCGUUCCACUUUAUCGUUCAAAAAUCUUGUUAAGUUGGAACCACUGCACAUCUAUUGACAGCUUUAGUUUAAUGGUACUCCAAUUGUGAUGGUCGUAACAGUCUUUACGUCUCAUCGACAUGUCAAUUCAUUCAACAACUGUACUUGUCUAGAAUAGGUUACAUGUGCCUGCUGACCGUAACCUUGGUAUCGAACCAAACUCUAUAUAUUUCACCCGUCAUGACCGUGCUUGUUACCAUGGCCGAGAACCUUCAUGCCCGGACAUAUGUGUGUAUAAUCUUGCAACAAAGACCCUCAAACGCUUCCCCGGUCUUGGUCUCGAUCUCUCCAACAAUUUAAAGCUCAAGGAUGCUCGAUGGUUUCUCCCAUCUUGAACAUUUUGGUGUUCUUGAGAAUCUCCACACCUUUUCUCCUAUUUUUCUUUUUAUUUCUAUUUCUAGUCGGCUCCAAAAGUUUACAACUAACCCUAUAGCACCAAACUUGAAGAGAAGUCAAAUUGGGGUUUCAUUUGUGCCAAAAUUCUUUUUGUUGGAACUCGGUUUACGUGUUAGCAAGUUAUAACAAUAGAUUCUUUCCAAAAAAUCGUUACUCAAACAUAAGUAAAGCAUUAUACUAACCUUCUCUUUAAAAACCAUAUUGUUUCUUUUGGUAUCACCAUUUUGUUGUGGUGUGUUAUUGUUGGAAUUCAGACCAUGAAUUAUGCUCUAGAGCUUUUGCACCAAAUCGUUCCACACUAUCGUACAAAAACGUAAAUGGGCCGGCCCGUUUUCAAAAACGGCGCCGUUUUAGGUUCACUUUAGUACUACGACAAGCAUUUGGCAACAAUUUUCGAGAUCCUCAAGCUUCUGUCCUGUGUUUCCGAGGUUAGUUUUUUUCGUUUCACUAAAUUCGUGUUUUGAUAUAUUAGGGUUUGUUUCGAUCGGAAUAAUUAUAAGCAUUGGCAACAAUGAUCUAUUACAUGUUAGAAGCUUAUACAUAGCGAAUUGCGUUACAUUAUUUAUUUGAUAAAACUCAACUAUAUAGCUGUAUUAAACACAUGAUUCAGAUAAUGGAUAAUUUUUUUUAAUAGAUCAGUGAUUCUAAAUUUUUUGGAAUUUUCAUUUGCAGAUAUGGAUUCUGAAUUUCAACAAACAACUGCUCAGAGUGAAUUUCUAGAUAUGAAUGAGGAAGAUUGUCAAAUUGAGAUCAAUGAGAAAGAAACAAAAAUUCAAGAACAUGAUCAAAGUGAUGAAUCUCAAGCUAAACGUAAGAGACGCCGCCUAACUUCUUCUGUAUCACUACGUGGAGAAGCAAAUGUCAAAGAAACAGAUAAAAGCAUGGAGACUCCAAAUUCUAGCCCCUGCUGGUCGGAGCUCCCUGGUGACAUAUUAAGAUCUGUGUUUAAACGUUUGAGUUUUGUUGACUUCCAGCGCGCUAAGAUCGUGUGUUUGAGUUGGUAUUCAUCUUCUCCCAUCUUUCUUUGUUGUUUCUCUCCACAUUUUGGUGAUAAAUGUUAAGAGUUUUGGUGUUUUUCCUUUUUAGAUUAAGAUUAUGAUUUGGAAUGUCUCGUGGUCCUAUAUAAGGGUCUUUGGUU